UAGCACAAAGUCGUUUAUCUCGUUUAUUGAACAAACAACGAGGACAACAAUGUCGUUUUCUCUCUUUCGAAAUUCAUAAACAACAAAAUUGAAAAUUCUUUCACAAAAAUUACCAUAAAUUUUGACAGAAUUGGCGGUUAAAUUAUAAGUCUAACAGGCAAAUCGAAAACAAUCACAAGAUCUUAGGACAUACAUACCACAUCAACAUUUAGCAAGCAGUCCAUAAGAAAUUGCAAUCAAGAUAAAACCUUUCAACAGUUUAUUAAAUUUCUCCUUUCAUAUAAGAGCAUGGUUCGGAGGAUUAGAGUGCGUUUCAGCAACCAUCUAUAUAACAUAUAGUAUCGAGCUCCAAUUGCCACUGCUCCAACCACGGCAAAAGCUACGAGAACAGCGAUUUCGUCCAAUGAAAAUCUCCUCAAAAGCAGUGGGCAAGACCAAAGACAUAGGAAUGACGUUGCUACAACUGCAAUCAAUAAUACAAUCCUCCAAAUCUUUCUUAUCACAGUAGGCUUAUCAAGCAAUAUCGGCACAUCAUCAGGAAUGACGUUGCUACAACUGCAAUCAAUAAUACAUAAUAUUCAAACUCCUUCAUCGAUCCCAAUACGAUAAAUUUAAAAUUGUUAUGAUCCGGAUAUUACCUAUAUUUUCUUAUGAUUCCAUAUGAAUCUGGGAUGUAGAUCGUGAGUGUUCCAGCAUAAUUGUGGCCUCCAAUAUGAUAGCAAGCAGUAACAAAUACCUGAUUCGUCAAUCCUUCAGCCUCCUUUUUGAACUGAUCAAUGAGAAUACGUGCCGAAACACGAUGGCCUUCAUGUCGACCAUUAGUUGCACAUACAAAUACAUGGGAGCCACUCAACAGCUCUUGCACUCCGGAAGCCCAUGGUUUGUGAUUCACAAGGACAUCUUCAACAAAGAUGUCCACAUCCGACUCUUUCAAGCCCCUUUGAUCAACAAACAAAAACAACCUCAGAAUCACAAAAAGGGAAUUAGUCGUAAACUAAGCCGUUAAAUUCAAUUUAUAGAACUAAUUUCAGAAGCUAAAACAUAUCUAAUUAACUAUUUAAUUCAGUACAUUCAGCACAAUCUCGUAAUCAAAAGAGAAUUUAAAACAGAAAUUACUUCAGUCUAAACUAGGAAUGGGCCUUCGAUUAUGAAUUAAUUACGGUUUGCCAUUGGGUGUCUUGGUGUGGGCCGUGCUUAACAGUUGGGUUGGGCUGCUGCAUUUAGGCCCAGGGUGUAGUUCUCACGCGUUUUUCUUUAAAAUUUUCUUUAUUUCUUUAUUUCUUUAUUUCUCAUCCUUUAAACUUUGUAUUUUCUUUAAAAUAUUUUUCUUUUUGGUGAUGCAGCAGAUAGAUGAACAUGUUCAAAGGGAAAUCAUGAACCACAGAUCACUGCAUCCGAAUAUCGUUUGAUUCAAAGAGGUCAGUGAUCAUAAACUAUUUUCAUUUUGUAUUUUAAGAAUGAAUUUGGCAAGUUCUGUUUGAAUUUUGUGUAAGUAUCUGCUGAGGGUGGGUGGAUGAAGACAGAACACACUACAUUUGGCCUCUGGUGUGCUUAAACUGGUACGGGGGAUGGCUAGACUUUGAGCCUGGGAUGCAGUAGGACUAAGAGAAAUGCCCUACCCACCGGGGCAAUCCACCACUUGCAGAAUUGUUGUCAAAAUAACUCUGCUAAAAAUAUGAGCUAUACUUCCUGCACUUCGUUUUUAAUGUGAAGUGGAAAUAGUCUUUAGAGUGGCUUAUAUGAGAUAAUUGAUAGAGGUUUGUGUUUAAGACUUGAGAGUAGCGCGGUGUCUUUCUUGCUGGUUCUGCUCACACCACCUCAUCUAGCCAUUGUGAUGGAGUACACGGUUUGGUGAGAACUCUUCGAGAGAAUAUGCAGUGUUGGCAGAUUUAGCGAGGAUGAGAUAAAGUAGUUUCAAAUGCAGAGAAAAUUUCGUUGGAAGUGAUUUUAGUGUAGAGUCUCAAAUAUGGGAUCUCUGAAUGUCCCCUGAAAUGGAAUCCAUCUCGAUUUUCGUUUAGUUUCAUAUGGGAAAAGUUAGGUCUGAAGCAUUUUUACAGUCAGUCAUGACUCAUAAUAUAACUAAAACUUACUUUUUCGAUUUAAUUGUUGUUUUGCAUCAGGCAAGGUUUUUCUUCCAGCAGUUGAUAACAGGAGUUAGUUGUCAUUUGAUGGUCUGUAAUUUGGCACUUGUAGCAAGGAAAUAAUUCGUUUCAAUAGUAUACGACUUAGUUUUAAUAGUAUAUGACUCAGUUUUUGAAUAGCACUUGGAUGGUUUUCGAAUAACGGUAUUACGACUUAGUUUUCUCAAUGCUUAGUUUUCUAAAUGCCAAUAACAGCUCUAGAUUUUGUCUUAGUUUUCUAAAUGCCAAUAACAGCUAUAAAUUUUGUCUCAAGUGGAGUAUUCUUACUAAUGUAGCAUUUUGUUGACACAUCAGUAUGUUUUUUUUUAUUGUUUCUCUGCUUGAACAGAGAAUUGUUAGCGUCCGGGUGGGAACGUGGGUCGACUCAUUUUUUUAGUCUCUCCGUCGUAAGCAGUUUUAGAUGGCAUUCUUCAAUGUAGCUAUAGGUAAGACAACACUCUCAGUAUUCCAUAAUCAAACCACCUUGUGAUUUUUUUUAUCCACCAAGUUAAGCUUUUAUGUGCCAUCUUGAAUAGUUAUAAGUUAUUGCUCCAGAUUACUCCAGUGCGACAUUGUUGUUCUCUUCCUUACCUCUUAAGCUUGCUUAAUAUACUUAAUUCUUAUUACUGUUGUAAAAGGUCGUACCCAAUGCACAAGGCUCCCGCUUUACGUAGGGUCUGGGAGAGGUAAAUGUCGGCUAGCCUUACCCCCAUUUAUGGAGAGGCUGCUCCCGAUCUUAUUACUGUUGUAUUGUUAAGAAAUACUCAAUUGCGGUUUCAGUUCAUCGUUAUGAAUCGGAUUAAAAUUAACCACUCAUUGGUUAAUUAUCUAAAUCCUAUAAAUUCGGAUUAAUAUUAAAGCAACUACAAAACAAAAAGCUCAAGAAAUCAAUGCGAAUUUACCUGUAUUUGAUCAUUUGUGGGAAAAUCAACACAUCGCCGUCCGAAAACUCAGUUCCUUCGUGUCCUUCAAUUACUGUCAGCAACGUCUAUCAAAAACCAAGAAAAAAGUGAGUAAUGAAGUCAACUCAUCUGAAAACCAGAACUCAAUAGCUCCAGGAAAUAAGAAGCACUGAGAAAAAGCAAUCAGAAAUGGUGAUGAAUUGAGCUGGAAAAUGAACCUUAACGAUGAUGUCGUUCUUGCGAGCUUCGAGAGCAGAUGCGAAGAACUUAGGGAGAGGAUCGGACUCAGAGCCUUCGAUGCGCCAUGGCCAGGCCUCGGGGGUCUUGUAGCAGAGGAAAAUAUGUUGUGUAUCGUCAAGAGUGUCUACACAAGACUCAUAUGGCAUAGUCACAUAGUUGUCCCAAUUAGUACCACCAUCAGACAAAUCCCAUUUUACAAUAUCCACUCCUAUUUUGUUCACCGUAAUUCUAUUAUCUUGUCCACAAAAUUGUGCUUGUACAAGAACCGUGUCGCCGCCUUUUAGAUUGAGCUUCUUGUUUGAAAGAUUUCCCAACCAAAGACGAUAUUCAGGGGAAGCAAUCACGGUGUCCUCCAGUGGUCGGUUGCGUCGGAUGCAUAGGAUGCGAUGGGAAGCAAUUACGGUGGCCUCCAUUGGUCGGAUGCGAAAAUAAGUUCGCUGGGUAGAAUUAAUAACAUGAAUUUGUAGAGAACCAGUAGAGUAGUAGAAGUCUGAAGAAUAAACGAUGCCCAAAGCCAACCCUCCUAUAUAAUCAAUACUUGGCGGCACUUCAAAUUUGACAGUUACAUCCUUUCUCGCGACAUAGGCUAACCGGUUAGGAAUAUCAUUUCCAGAGAGAAAAAUUCCACCAAAUGCAUUUUUCUACAACAUGGGGUGCAAAGUCAGUAUAAGCAACAAUAUAAAAAGCAGAGAGAGAGAGAGAGAGAGAGAGAGAGAGACAGAGAGACAGAGAGAACCAUACCGUUUGGAGGUUCUCCUUGAAAGUAGCAGUGAGACUGGUACACCCUUCCAUAUGAAGUGAAUCCAUGUAGUCCAAUGAGUUCUCCAAGUUUGGAAUAUCUUUGAGUUUGCGGCAGUCUUUCAGUUCCAAUACCCUCAUUUUCGACAUCUCUGAAAAGUCAGACAUUAUUUCCAGUGCAGUGCAGUAAUUCGCUUGCAGUACACACAAACUGUUUGGCAAAUCUGGGAUUGCCUUAAGGUUUGUGCAAUUAUUUAGACGUAAAACCUGAAGCUGAGAAAGGCCACUGAGAAUGGGUAGCCAAUUAAAACCAUUCCCACAUAGAACUAAAACUGUUAAAGAAGAUAGACUCCCAAUUGUUUUGAGAACGGCACCAUCUGUUAUAUUGCAGUCGCUGAGAUAUAAUUCCUCAAUCAUCUUCAGUUGUGCUAAAAAAUGGUAACCCCCACACAAACCCUUACAGCCAUUGAGGUCCAAUGCCUUGAGAUGUUGGAGUUUUGAAAAGUCUGGUAAUUCAGUCAAGUUAUGGCAGUCAUUAAGUAUGAGAUACUUCAACUCCUUAGGCAACUGUUACUCAAAAAGAGAAAACAACAAUAAAAAUCCAAAUAAAUAAAAGAGAGAAUGCAUGACGAUGACUGAUGUUGAUAUUUACAAGGACAUUGAUAAUUAUAUCGUACCAGCUUCGAAUCCUCCCAAACUCGUACCAUCUUGCUGUUGCUCAGGUUUAAACAAACUAGGUUUCGUUGAUCAAAAUUUGCUGGUAUGGCUUCAAGAGGAAAUCCAUCCCAAAUCAACAAUCUUAACUCCUUGGAAAGAUGUUUGUAGCUUCCAGUCAGCUUUACAUUUAUCAGGUGGAGAAAUUUCAGACGCCACAUCUUCUUAAACGCUUCUGUACGGAAGCUUUGCUUGUCAUCAGAAUCUCCUGUGUGUAGUCCUUCUACUGCUUCUGUUCCCUGUUAGAGAGAGAGAGAGAGAGAGCAAAAAAAAAUAAGAAAAGGAUAAUAUUCACAUGAAGCAGAGCCGUGAAUUGGAUGAGUGAACUACUAGAAAGGUAGGGCAUACAACAUAAUUAUGUAUUUUCUCUUUGGAAUUACAGUGGAUGAAAUCCUUUUCUUUUCUUUUUCUUUUUUCGUAAAAUAUAUUAUGUACGACAUACAUCAUAUAUAUGCGGAUAUCCGUAUGUACUUCUCUUUCUUUACAUGUACUUAACAUAAUAUCUUUUUAUUGUAAAAGUACUUACCGAUUCAUUAUUGAGCACGCUUUUUGCAUCUUUAAUAUUCCACAAUCGACUACGUUUUCCCUCCAUAGGAGAUUCUGCACGCACAAUUUCUCUUCCCAUAUCUCGAAUCAAAUCAUGCAUCUUCAAUGUUUUAUAUGUUUUAUUUUCAAUAUAUAAGAGACAUCGUUUGCAGAGUAUGGCAAUUUCUGCUUCUACAGAAAAAUGAUUACAACCAUCCAAUAUUGCCGUGACCACAUGUACAGGCAGUCCAAUAAAGAAAUUAGAUAUGUCAAGGAACACACCCUUCACAUGAUCAUCACAUAGUCCAUCGUAGCUUAAUUUAAGCGUUUCAUGAAUUUUUCCAUUUGGAAUAUUUCUCAAUUUAUCCAAUGUACCUUCCCAUAUGGUUUUACUCUCUUCCGUAGCCAACAAACGACCAACAACUUUAAGAGCUAGGGGCAAUCCUCCACAAUAAUCAACAAUAUCUCUUGCCAAUUCAAUAUAUUCGUUAUAUUUUUUAUCGAGAUAAUCAUUUCCAAAGGCAUGCCAACUAAAGAGCUCAAGAGCUUCUUUCUUUGUCAUUGCUUGUGCCUUAUAUUUUUUAUCCACCUUUUGUAUAUUCAGCACUUGCUCAUCUCUUGUUAUUAUAAUAAUUCUGCUCCCUGGACCAAACGAUUCAUGUUUUAUUGCCAAUUUAUCUAACUGGUCUGCAUCAUCUAUGUCAUCAACCACGACAAGUACCUUUAUCCUUCCAAGUCUUUUCAUGAUCUCUUUGGUCCCUUCGGCAACACUGCUUAUCUUAAUGUCAGGCUGUUUUAAAAUAUCUCGAAGAAGUUGUUCUUGCAGACACACCAUCUCUUUCUUUUUACUCCUCACAUCUUCAAGGUAACAUUGACGACUAAAACUCUGCUCAUAAUUGCUACAAACUGCUCUGGCAAGUGUUGUUUUACCUAUACCGCCCAUACCAUAAAUUCCAAUUAUUCGAACAUUAGGUGAACCUCCAACGUCUAAGUAUUCAGUACUGAAUUCUUGCACGCGAAAAGCCAUUCCAACUGAGUGCUUGUCUUCUUUAAAGUCUAUGGUUUUCAGCCGUCCCUUGACGUCCCCAACAAUUUUCUCGAUAAACACCCAUUCACACCUACGAGUAGAAAUUCCAAAUUACAAGAGCCAUACUAAAUGCCUUAUUCAUAAUGACUAGAUAUUUACAUGUUGAAACAGAUUUGAAUAAACUGGAUUAAUUGAGCUCAAUUCAACCACGUAUCUAAUCUUUAAUUAUAAUGUGAAUACAUUAGAUCACUGGUGAUUGGACUAUUAUGCAAUUGUAGCUUUCAGUAAUAUAAUUAAGAAUCCAUUAGAAUUGGUAUUUUAAUUUGAUAAAAUGUGGAGCAUUUGUCCUUCACACACCCAUAAAAAACAAAGCAUGUACCUUGCGUUUCACUUCCUUAAUGUCGACGAAAAUUCUUAUGCAAAUGCUCUACCUUUUAUAUAAUUCAAGAUCCUUGGUAUUAAUAAUAUCAUUAAUUAUUUUCAAUAAUAAAAUAUUUUUUAUUUUUAAAUAUAUUCAUUUAACGUUAAAAAUGUUACAAUUAGUAUAUUUAUAUUUAUGGCUAAAUUUUUUAUCAUAUAUUUUUAUUUUUAGUUUGUACCUUUUUUUAAUUUGCAACCGUUUUUUAAUUUGUAUCAAUUUUCUUUUCAGUUUUAAUUUGUACCCAUAUAUUAAUUUCUUUUUGUAUCCAUAUUUUAUAAAGUUUUAUUUGUAUUUGUACCCAUAUUUUUUUUAUUUAUUUCUACCCAUUUUUAAUUUUGCUAAAUGUACCCAUGCUAAUUAUAUGCACCAUUCAUGUAUAAUUUUUUUCAAAUUUUUAAUCUUAAAAUGUACUCAUUCUUAAAUAUACCAAUUCGUUAUAUGUAAAAUGUACCAUUUUUUAAUAUAAAAUCUAUUCAAUUUUUUUCUAAUUCAUUUUUAAACUUAUAUGGGUACAUUCUUUUUUCUUUGAUUUGAGAAUGUAUCCAUGUUGAGUUUAAUUGAAGAAAUUUACUAAUUUUAUUAAGCUUAAUAUCUUUUUUUUUGGUGAUUUUGAAGAAUGUACCCAUGUUUAUAUAUAUAUAUACACACACACACAUACACACACAAUAGUAUAUUUAUAUUUUAAUAUUUUUAAUCCCACAAAUUAUGGUUUUUUAUUUAAAAUCUCAUUAAUAUAAACAACUAUAAAUUUCAAUUUUUAAUUUAAAAAAAUAUAGCAACGUCAUAAAAAUAAAUUACCACAUUAAUUUCAGGGUCUUAGAUAAAAAAUUGAAAACCAACAAAAUUUUAGUCAAAGAAUAUUCAUAGGUAGGGACCGCAUCCAAAGUCUCUUUGUACGAAUUGUAAUAAAUUUUUAUGUAGGGGCCAAAAUUACAGUUCUAUCAUAGAUCAAAGAUCAACAAUCCAAUUUUUCUCAUCACAUGUAAAAUCAGAUUCAAUGCCUUAAUUAUAAUAUCUUAAUUUUGGUUGAUUAGUGAAAUACGAUGAUACGAAAAUUGAAGUAGACAAAAAAAAAAAAAUACCCGUCGGCCGUGGUUUUGAGAUUCCAGCCGCUCAAAUCUGCAGAAGCCUUAAGAUCCUCUCUCCACUGCUUGACCUCGUUUGGAUCUUGAUCGCUUUCAUGCUUCCGAAAUGCUUCCUCAAAACUACCACCCUGUCUCCUGACUUCAGAAGGGUCAACGUCGUAGAAUAUUGGACACACUGUCUUCCCCUCUUGAUCUUCUCGGCACCUCAUGAUCUUCGACAGCUCCCUCAGGCACCAUCGGGACUCCGCGUACCUCUUCGAGAAGACGAUGACAGCGAUUCUUGACCCUUCGAUUUCUUGGUCUAGUUCUCUCUGUAUGUUUUCCCCCCUUGUGAGCUGGUCGUCCAUAAACGUGUUAACUCCGGCUUUGCAUAACGCACUGAAGAGGUGGCCUGUAAAGGUUUUGCGGGUGUCUUCACCUCUAAAGCUCAGGAACACUUCGUACUUCCAGCGGUUUGAGCUCCGCGAGGAAGACGAAGAGGCGGCAGCGGCGGCUCCAUGGGCGGAGCUGCUGGUAUCCAUUGCAGCCUGUAGAAGUGCAGUUUGGCUUUCAAAUAACCAAAGUCAAGUAUUUCCCCAGAUUCCCAGUCUCGGUGGCCCUUAUAAAUUUGUCACUGCCGUCCAUAACGCGUGAGUGUUUUCCCCCCACAGUUUAAUUUGUAUAAAUGUUACCAUCAAAUUUAAAAAAAUAAAUAAAAAAAUGUCUAACUUCUUUACGAUGCAAUUUCCUUUUGUAGUUUUCUGAGAAAUCUGCCGCCCAACUUUGGCCAGUUAACGACCUUGUUGUAUUUUAACUUUAAGGGUGGUGCGCAGGCCGGUGGACGUAAGAACGUAAGAAUCAAUGGGAAGAGACCUCAUCUCAUUAUUCUGAAUCUGAUUGCCGUUUUCUUGGCGCUUCUCCUCAAUUUUCUUACUUUCUCCUCCAUUUGGAAGCUUCUGGUCAUUAAUUUUUUUCAGCUUCAUCCGAAGAUGCUCCCAUUUGGCCCCUGUAAGGAAUGAAAUUGAAUUUCGUGUUCAGCCAUUUAAAGAUUCAACUCUAUGUUUCAUCAAUACCAAUCAAGUAAGGACAGGUAUGAUCAAGCUUAAUAAACAAUUUGACAACAGUGCCCACUUGACCCUGUCCCUCCCUUCCCCAAAACCACCUCUGGUUUGGUUUAUCUAUAAAAAAAGAGUUGUUUGAUUUGGUUCAUACGAGUUGUUUGAUUUGGUUCCUCAAUGUUAAUGUAACUCCUUAUCAAUAAUCUAUCAUACAACACUAGUCCAAAACGACCAACAAGGAAAAUUUCAGAGUAAACAAGGAAAAUUUCAAGGUGUCAAUCAACUCGACAACUAGUCCAAAACAGACUAAAUUAGCUCAAUUCGAGACUUCUUAAAUUGAAAUGGGAAAAUCAUAAACUCAUCAAUAAACAUGUGUGGCUGUGAGUUUCCAACGCCACACUUAGCUGCUAAGUGUUCUAAGAGUUCACCAUCAGAUGGAUCGAACUUCACACCAAGUGGUAAGCCAGGCCAUUCCGAUAAAACCUACACAAGUGGAGUUGCAGAAGUACUUAAAUGAAUAAAAAGCUUAACCUAUAAGCUGAAAGUUUUGGACAACAUAUAAUCAUUUGCAUAUGAAUAGAACUAAAAACCCAGCUUACAUCACUGUUGUCUAUAACAAAAUGGCAAUUCGGGCAUUCACGAUUUGCCCCACAGUCUUUGAUUGGACACGCAGACGAUUGAGAAGCAUUCUUCACUUUGUUUGCAAGUCCUCUGCUGUUAAUCAGCCAAGCCCUACAGAAACAUUACACCAUAAGCCACAAAAUUUCAUCACAGAAGCAAUUUUAUCUAGAAUCUAAAGAAGCUAUGACCAACAGAAAAAACAACCGAACCCAAAUUAUCAUCCAUUUCACAUUCCCAGUACAAUUGAAGAGGGCGAAAACUGAAAUGGGUUUCUCAGGAAAAACACACAAAUUCACAAGAGAAUUAACAAAAACGCUGAAUCAAAUAUCAAUCAAGCAUCCGUAUAGUCAUAUUUAACUACAGAAAGUAAAAUUAAAUAUCAAUCAAGCAUCCGUAAUGAAUCAAAUAUCAUUACACAUUACAGAGCUAGAUUGAAUAUUCCUGUUUAAUGGGUUCCCCCCAAAAUUAAAAUUUAAAUACAAAUCUAGCAUCUGAACACUUCAAAAAGCAAACAACUUUCGAAACAGUAUUUUCAUCCGAAUAAAACCCAGAGACCAAAAACUAAACAAGAAUAAAUUAUAUGGGUUGACGAAGCUGGGAAAAUCUGUAUAGAGGUUUCUCAGCUCCCAAUCAAAAGAAAGUUUCCAGAAUUUCGUUUAUUAUUUUUUAAUAAUUGCUAUAUUAAAUAAUUAUAUUGUCCGCCCAUAUUUUCAAAUUGAGUAAAUUGUAGCUAUGGUCCCUGAACUUUACUCAAAUUGGAGCAAUGGUCCUUCAACUAAAAAUCCAUUACCAUUGGUCCUUCAACUCAUUAAAACGUGCAGCUAUGGUCCCUCAACUAAAAAUCCAUUACCUUGGUCCCUUAAUUUUAAUUCAACUGGAGAAAUGGUCCCUUAACUUUAUCCCAAUUGUAGCUAUGGUCCUUCAAACAUAACUCGGUUUGACAAAUUUUUUUAAGUAGUUGACGAAAAUGACCAUAAUUACACACUUUGAUGAGUUGAGGGACCCUAAUUAAAUAAAUGGUUAUUCCAACAUAACAUAUUUUGACAAAAUUUUGAAGAAAUUAAUGAAAAGGACUAUAGCUACAUAUUUUGAUAAGUUGAGGGACCAAUGGUAAUGGAUUUUUAGUUGAGGGACUAUUACUCCAAUUUGAGUAAAGUUCAGGGAUCAUUGCUACAAUUUACUCUUUCAAAUUUUCAUCACUGACGAGUGAAAGGGCUCUCACCUUGCCAUUUCUUCGAGGUCGGAGACGAUGUUUCAACCAAGCGCAUUCCGAUUUAUAGAUAGAGAGAGAGAGAGAGAGAGAGAGAGGGAGGGAGGGAGAGGGGUCCCUUUCUGCACUGGAUUAAGUUAAGAGCAACUCCACCCAUAGAGCCCUCCCCCUGGCAAUCCACUAUUCAAUCCACCCUAUUGAACAGUAACUGCCUUAAAUGAAUAGUAAUUACCAUUAAUGAACAGUAAUUGCCAUUUACAUCUCCACCCUUGGAACCCUCUCCCCUGGCAAUAAGCAAUAAAAAUAAUAGUUUUUUAUGUUUGUUUAAAUAAUAAAAAAUUACAAAAGCUAUAUAUAUCUCUCUCUCUCUCACACAAAAAAAAUACAAAAAUACAAAACCCUCGGGCCACAGGCCCGUCGACUCCCCACCCCCCUUUCACUCGACCUCCCACCCUCACUCGGGCCCUUCCUCGCUGGAUUUGCUCCCACCGGCCCGAGGGCCCUUUCUCCUCGCCUGACGCCCGAGCAACCAGCAAGGCUGGAGUUGCUCUAAAGUAGCUAGAGACAGAGUGCGUGUGUGUGAGCGGGAAAAUCCAGCUUCGGACCCAACGAGCCGUUACCUACAAGCCUCAGGUUCGGGUACAGAGUCUUUGGUCGAUAAGAAGGCGGACCCACCGCCAUAGGCUGUCUCAGUGGGGUCUGGGGUUGACGAAACCUAAGUCCGAGGCUGAGGUUCGGAGAGAACGAAGGUGUCCUGUCGUGCUUUUGGUGGGGGUUCGAACACCGAGUAAAGUGUAAUUAUGGUAUUUUUUCUGUCGGACUUGCUGACUGACUACCGUGCUCCCCAAGCUACAUACAGAAACGUUUUGGAGACUUUUGUGGAUUCUCGAUUUUGCCCCUCGAUAUUGAUGUGACUCGACUGUUUGUCUUGGGCAGAAAGUAGGCUUGGUAAAUAUAAUAACAUAUAUAUAUAUAUAUAUAUUUAAUGAGAGACAUCAACUGUCGUUGUAGUAUAGUGGUAAGUAUUCCCGCCUGUCACGCGGGUGACCCGGGUUCGAUCCCCGGCAACGGCGAUUUUUUGAGCUUUUCUCCUUCCUUUUAUUUUUUAAUUUUUUAUUUUUACAUAACUUUUGGUUUGUAAACUUUGUGUACUGGAUUUAAAGGGUAUCUGCGGUCAUCUUCACAGUCCGGAAGGAAGACCACGUCCAUUAUUUGUAAGAGAGUUUGAACUCGACAUCGAUGGUUGAGAUCGAGAUUACGAAAUGCUCAGAAGAGAUUUUAUUGAACAGGAGCGAAGGCUUUUGGAUGAACCCCUUAAUUUUACAACGUCAAUACAUCACAGCAACCCAACUCCACAACUCUUAAAAAUUCCUUUCCAUUUGAUCUCAAUCAAACCAAACUAAACCUAACGACUAUCCGAAUUUCAACAGUAACAUCAGACCGUAGGCCGCUAAAUGAAAAAUUACUUUUUUUCCCUACAAGUAGUUGUCUACUAAUAUUUCGGGGGGUGCCUUAUUGAGCUUUCCUAAGAGAGUAAUUAGUAAACAUUUGGAAGGUAAAGAUUACAGCUUGCAGGAUCAAUAACACUGGCUAAAGCAGGAGAAAAAACCUUUAGGUUUGUCUUCCAUGUGCGUGUUGGAUUUAGGGGUUUCACCCGAGUCGUUGUGAGUAACCAUCAAAGAACUAGUACCAGGCGACUCUGGUGGGAGUACAGCGUUCUCAGAUUUGAAUAUCCGUUGAGGGAUAGCGGGUGCUGGUGCCGAAAUAGUAGAGAGGUAACGCAGCAGCAUCUGUAUAAUUUGGGUGAAGUUGGGCCGGUCAUUGGGAUCCUCUUUCCAACAUGAAGUUACAAUCAACGCCAAAUCCUUGGGGAGGCUAUCAGCACUCGGCCUCACAUUCUGAAACAAUUCGUAUAACCUCAUAUUACGAAGCUUAAAAAGUACCAAGUUAUGAAUAAGAUUAUUGUGGUAUUUUGUUACCUUAAAAGCAGCUGCAUACGCAGCUUGUAAAUUCGACAUGCCUUCGAAAGGCAGCUUGUUAUGGAUGAGUUCCCACAAUACAAUUGCAAAGCUGUAAGCGUCCACCUUAUGAUUGUAAUGCUUCUUUUCUCCAUGUCGUAAUGUAACUGUGCUGUAAAGCUGCCACCAAAUACAAAGGUGGAAGAUUAAUUUGCUGAUACCAAACAAAAAUUAAUUUGCUGAUAUCAAACACACUCACAAGACAUAUGAGAAACAAAUUCUCAACCUUUGAAUGACCGAGUUAAGUACCGUACCUCAGGAGCCAUCCACCGGUAUGUCCCAGUUUCGGCGGUCAUCAUCUCUGUCAAUGACUCUUCUCUUGCUAAGCCAAAGUCUGCAAGUUUGACUGUUUUUUGGUCGGCAGUCAAGAUCAGAUUCUCUGGGAAAAGGACAGGAUAAAAGUGUAAGAUUGUGGAACAAACCCUGUUUUCGGAAAUAAGCUUCGCCCUAACAAUAGUUGCAAUUCGUUUUGUGAUGCUGAAGUUAUCUCUGCUACGGAAGUCUUCAAUCAUGCUGAAUACUAAACUAUCAGCGACUAACACUAAAUAGCAAUCCUUCGGAUUUCCAUAUUUGAGACAUGCUUACACAUAGACUUCACUUUAAUCCUUCUCGGUUCUUCUAUGUAGGCGUUCCCUUCUUGACUCUCCUAACGUCGAGCUAAGUGACUUCGUUCAAAGGUCAACCCUUAUGUUAAACAAUGAACUAAACCACAUACCAGGUUUCAGGUCACAGUGAAUGAUACCGUGGGAGUGUAAGCACUCCAUAGCACGAGCAAUAUCAAGCGCAAACCCAACUGCCAUGCACGUGUCCAAGCACCUUGGCCGCAUACUGAACAAGUAUUUGCGCAAAGUUCCGCCUAGAAGAAGCUCAGUCACUAUGACCAUGACAGGUUCUUUGCAGGCACCAAUGAACUGGUAAUACAAAGUUAAAAAUCCCCCAUCAGAUAUCGCAAAUACGCCUAUUUAGUAAUCAAAAAUACUUAUCGAAAACUAGACAACAACCUUCACUAAGUUUUUGUGCUGCACUUUCGACAUCAUUGCCACUUCCCUCGCAAACCGCGCUUCUCUCUUGGCAAUCUCCUCGAUGAACAAUUUUUACAGCAACAUUUUGAUUCUUAUAUCUAGAACAAACAAAACACAACAAACAAACAGAUUGACAACACAACAGAACAGAACAUCAUCGUUGUAACUCGACAAGAAAAACACAUAUUCGGCAUCGUAAACACCAUAAAUGCCCAACACCAAAGCAAGUUUUGAUCUUUGAUUAGUUCUGCUAAAACCCAACUCAAUUUUGCAUUUAUGUUUAACAAUAUACAAGAGAUAAUAAUAAAUUGCUAAACUUGAGAGACCAGAAAUUCAGAAUCUAAGACAAAACAAACACAGAGGUUGUACUGAGGUUGACUUACUUUCCUUCGUACACUUUGGCAAGCGCGCCUUCCCCAAUCCUCGGACCAACAAAAAGAUGCUUUGGAUCGAUCAGCCACUUGGCGUCCAAAUCGAAAUCCGCAACUGAGUAAACCCCAUUACCAGAUCCCAUAAUUUUCCCUCUCUAAACUUCUAAAACAAGAACAACAUACACUGACUAAUUAACCAAACAAAGGGUACCCUUUAUUUGUAGGACUACAUUUGAAGUAAAGAUGGAAGCUUUGGUCUGGAUAAAAAUGGAAAAAAAAGUAAUAAAGUAAGGAGACUUUGUAUGAUUGAAGAGGGAGAAAGAUGAAGACUUUCUAUUUCUAUAAUAAAAGGACAUGCUUGGUACUGUAGGUUUCGGAAAACAGACCCAUCCCCAGGAUCACGGUUGAGGAUCCUACAAAUCUAGGAUGUGCCUUUUGUUUGGGGGGCAAAGAAUAAAAACCCAGAGGCACCCACCAACAACCCUACAAUAUAAAAAUGGCCACUGAUGAAAGCUCUAUCAGUGGGAGUGGAUUAGAUUUAUUAUUGGGAAUUGGGGAGAGAGAGGAAAUCGGAAGAAGAGCAAGCAGAUAGAGUUGAGCAAGGCAGAGGAGGAUGAAACUGAGAGGAUCUAGAUGGAGAUUUGGGAACUUGGUGGCGGCGACGGUGGCGGUGGGUGAGUGGGAAGUGAGUUCAGUUGAGAUUAAUUUAUUGGCCUUCUCCGCGUGUGGAAUAUUAGGGCCCGUUUGUUUGACAGGAUUAGGGAGGACUGGACUGGACUAGACUACAGUCCCUUGUUUGGUCUGCACCAGGAUUAGGUUUAAUGGGAUUAGGUCUGACUCGCUAGGAUUAAACCCCUCACUAGGAGUUCUAAGCGAAGCACCCCGAUCACCCUCGGACUUGUAAGACCUCCUGCGCUCCUGCGAGAGAGAACCUCGCUCAACCUCGAUCCUCAACGUGCUCCCUCCUUGCCCUGCUCCCUCAUCGUCGUCCUCCUCAUCGUCGUCCUCUUCAUCAUCAUCUCUGCGUCUUGCUCGCCCUCAACUCCAUCCUGCUCGCCCUCAUCUGGUAAACUUCGUAUCCGACAUUAUAUUUUUUUUUGCAGAUCGUGAUAUUACUGGGCUUUAUUUGAUUUAGGUGUUUUGAGUUUGAGAAAUUUUGAAUUAUAGACCUCUGCACUUGAACAAAUUAGGUUUUUGAUUUUUAGGGUCAAAUUGAGAUUAGAAUUUGGGGUUUUCACAUUUUAUGCCAUUUUGAGUACCAAAAUGAUGAUAAUCAUCACGAAAUUGCUGCUGUAAACUUCGAACGCCACUGUUACUUUUUGGGUAUGUUUCUGUCCUACUUUUACCCAGUUUGAAUAUGUAUUCAUAGUUGUCGGAUUAAAACGUAUAUGUGGUUUUUGGGAAGUGAUGAGUAAAAUGGCUAGAAUUUUAGGAAGCUUUGCGCUUCUGGUUUUCAUCGGAUAGAGGGAACACGAAGAGGGAGAGGAAAAGAGAAAAUAUUAAGUUUAAUUGUAAAUUUUAAAUUUGUUUUUUAUAGUGUUAGUGGAGGAACCCAUCUGUAGUAUUUUAAGAGAAGAUGAGAAGAUGUAAACUGCUGGACAUCCUUAGCAUUUCCCAUGUUCUUUAUUAAUUUGAGAGUGAUCCUGUGAAUAAUUUUGGCUUUUAGAUUUGUUUGAAUCUUUUUCUGAUUCAACUUGCAGGUUUAGUAUCAUUUUACAGCUUUCUACAACUCUUUGUUCUUUCUCUCUUCCUUUAUGGUUAGACAGCAUCGAAUAUCUAUCAGUAAUCAUGUCCAGACUGACUGCGUUCAUACAACUUGUGCUGUUUAACUAAUGAAUAUAAUUUCGGAACUAAUAUGCCAUGCCUAGAUGAUUGAAGUGAGUAUCUUAGAUGAAUCAUCCAUGAUUGAUGUGAGUAUCUUAGAUGAAUCUAUCCACCUUGGGAACUUGCAAGAGUUGAGUUCAAGAUGUCCGGAUGCUUUUUCGUAUAUAACCAAGGUCUAAAACACAGCCUUAACCUUAUUCUUAAAAGGAGGUUUGUUUUUUGUAUGUCACUAAGUUAACUGCAUAAAUCCAAAUAUCAAGACCAAAACAAAUCAUAGGGUUACAUGAUUUCUUCCAAAUUAAUGCCAACAUAUUGUUCAGCAACGGGGAGAUUCUGGGGCCUUGCUUGACCAGCCACAUUAGAUAAAUCUCAAUACAAUCUAUGCAUGCAUGCUUAGUUGUAACCAGAUUCUUACCAGGCCACUGAUGGCGUAAUUUCAUUUGAAGAUUACAAUAAAUGAUAUAAGAUUUAAGGAAUUCACAAAAGUCAUGUGAAAAUAAAAGGUGCUGGAUUUCCCUUUGAAGGAUAUGAAAUUACUUGAUGUUAGAAUUGAGGUUUUACAGUUAGUCAGAGGUUUACGAUCAGAUCUGUAUAAUGUGUUUUAGCAUCCUUUUGUUGUUUGGCAAGCAAUUCACGUGCGUAGUUUCCGGUGUUUGUUUCAUAUUUAGAAGCUUGUUUUGAGUUCGAUGUCUCUAUUUUUUUUGUCGAAGAGUUCGAUGUCUGUAUAUCAUGUAGAAAAGUGAUUCCUUUUUUCUUUUGGAUGUCUGACCUUGUAAACUUCCGAAUCUAUUUUUCCGUAUUCUUCUUAUUGUUCUUCUAUCCCUAUCUAAAGCUUUAUCCCCAAACUGUUUCUUCAUUUGGACAGACCUAUGUAACUGUUGGUAAUAGAUUUCUGAUUUGUCUUUAGAAUUGCAUCCUAAGUGGUGGUUACAAGUUACGACUUCCCUGAUUGACUUCGUAUGAACAAAGUCAUGCGGAGUUUAACGAUUUUUCGUAUUGUAUAAUGCUUCACGUGGAUGUAUUAGUAUACCGUCAUGCUUUGGUAUCAUUCUCUAGUGUCAUAUUCUAACUAAAAGUAAAUGAUGUGGCCAAUUGCAUACUAGACAUACCUCGGAAUUGCUGGAAUGACCUCCUUGCAGCUUACAGGGGAUGUGGAGGGAGAGUCCAUGUUAGAUACGUUGUUAGUGAUAUGCAUGCAGACUUCAUCCAGACUGAAUGUGACUGCUUAACCUUGGUUGCUUCCACCCUUCCACUUACACUUAGGUCAAUGUGAUUUCUCCCACUUACCAUCGAAUCGAAUUGAAAUUUUAAUGCUUUAUGCAUGGAUACUAGACAAAGGCAUAAACAGUGGCACUGAUGGAUUUGCUAUGCUCUUCACUUGAAAUUGGUGUGCGUGAUCUUCUAGCAAUAACUUAUGAACAAUUGGUAUUUGUGAAUAAUUUUUGAAUUGCAGAUGCUUGUCAUUUACUGAUAGAUAAUCAAAAGAAGGGUGACAUUUGAUAGUCUAUUUCCAAUUUGGAUGUCUAAUUAUCCAUCACGGAACUGUCAAGGGGCACUUGGCUGAUAACUUUCACAGUCCAAAGAUGGUCUGCGCUGAAAUGUCAGCUGCUUAGCCUCUCUCUCCAUCUGCUUCAUUAUGUUGUCCUCUUUGCCUGCAUGUUUAACGUACAAGCAGAGUACAAACAAGGGACUUUUAGAAAAGUUAACCCUUUCUUUAGCACAUUAAGGCCUUGUUUAAUUUGGUGGCAUAUUGGUUUGAUGUCCGUGUGUGUGUGUGUGUCUAUUCUGCACAUUUGUUUGAUGUCCGUGUGUGUGUGUAUUCUGCACAUUUGGUUAAACAGAGGUUUACGGUUAUCUACUUGGUUUAUAACCAUGAUAUUACAUUGUGAAUGUUUUGUACUGUGUGAUGUUGAUGCUGAAAUAUUAUGUGAUUGUUGGUUGCAGAGAAGAGGAGCAUAAACGGAAGGCUAAGGCUAAGGCUACUGGAUUUUGUAAAUUAUGGAGAUCUACUUUGGAAUGCUAUACUAUAGUUCACUGGCAUUUUGUAAAAUAUCCUGGAUGAAAGUUUAGUGAAUGAUGUUUUAAGAGUCAAUGCAAAGAUUGACUUGUCACAAGUAUCUUCUUAUGUACUUGUAUUUGUUGAAGUUGCAUGUAUUGGGCACUAUUCUUUUUCUUAUUUUGGGUGAUAGAGUUUAAAUCAAGUUACAUUUGCAAAUUAAACUCAACUAUUUAUAAAUAGUAUGUCCCAACUAUAGUAUGCCCCAAUUCUAUUAGCAGGUAAUAGAAACAAAACAAUUGUCCUCUUUUUUUAAGAUUCAUAAUAUACAUGGCAAAAAUAUGCUCCAAUUAACCCAUAUCAUGAGAUUUGUAGCAUUACUCUAUUACACAAUGGCAAAAAUUUGUAGUCCUACUCUAAGCAAACACAAAUCUGGUGAACAAUACUGUUUUUAUUAUCCUGCUUCUUAGUCCGACACUACACCAAACGCUUCACUAAGUUAGUCCAACUUAGUCUAGUCUAAGCCAGUCCAGCUUAGUCCCUGCAGCUAGUCCAGUCCGAGACAAUCCGGCGCAACAAACGCACCCUUACUGUCUUUUCUUCUGGAUCCAGAGAUAAACUUGUCUCUGUCAGAGAAUAGUGUGUUUCCUUUGUUUUUCUUCCUUUCUAAUUCAUUUUCCCUUAUUUAUACUAGCAACCGUAAAAAUUUAUAAGAAGAGAAAAUGUAAAAUGAUUUCUAUUUUUUUUUUAUGAUAUUCAAAUGAUUUUGCGUCGCUGAAUGAGACUGUUCAUAUAUUUGACUACUAGUUCUGAAUAAAUAUUUUUUUACUAAAAGUUUACAAGGUAACUGAUAUGGUUAUUUGGUUAUAAAACUUUCAGAAAAAAAAAAUAAAAGUAUUUUGUGUGUAAUUUACUAUAUUCUACGUAGCUUUUAAUUUAUUUAAGUUAAUUUGGUCAUCUCACUCUCUUUUAAUUGAUUAAGAGAAUUUCGUUGAUAGGUAGUUUAGAUUAUAAUAAAAUAAAAUAAUUACUAAAUAAAUAGUUUUUUUUUUAAUUAUAUGAUAUUAUGUACAUUAAGUGGUGGAGGGAAUAAGUACAAUGAGACAGUCAUAAUAAUUUGGUUCGAAUUCAUUUUGACGAGAAUCGAACUUAAGAUUUCUUAUUUAUGAGAUAUUUUUCAAUUUACUAGAAACACGUUGUAAUAAUACAAUUGGUCAGAAACACGUUGUAAUAAUAAUUUAUUAUGACACUUAAUGUAUCGAGUUAUGUUCAAUGUUCACAACACACUAAACAAAAUUUCCUCACUUACAAGUUAAAAAGGAAUACUAUUAAAUCAUAAUACUAAGUAACUAUUAAAUAACUAAUUUAUAUAUUUGAUUUGUAAAAGUUUAGGGGAAAGGAAAUCUAAUCCAUCAAGGUUAGGACAUAUCAUAAGUCUCCUUGAGAACUUACACAAGAAGUAUUAGUCUUUUUUUUUUGUUUUUACAUAUCGCGCAUCAAAAAUGGUUUGCAAUGGAACUCAAACAUAGACCUUACAACUCAACUAAUCCUUGUUGGAAAAUACACAUAUAUUUGAGCAAUCUUUUAAUUAAUUUAAACUAAAUUAUUGAGCCAAAACUCAAUGCAAUAAUAAGCACAUUGUUUUAAUCAAAUUAGCUAUAUAUACGAUAUAAAACGUCUAUUUAUAUCAUCGAUUCUAAGAUUUGAUAAAGAGAAUAUUUUCAAGAUGAGCAUAAACAUAGAACACGUACACACUGCUCUACGAAAUUAAUCAAGAACAAUUCCGCAAAAAAAUGGAAGAUAUGUGACUUUUAUUUAUUUCAUAGAUUCUAUGAAGGAUAAGAAAAUGUUGUCGGAGAAAAAGAAAGGUAAACGGGCGAUAAGAAGACGAAUACAACACAAUGAUACAAUUGGGGCUUCCAGAAAGUGCCCUUUUGAUAGCCACUAAGGCCAAAAACCCAUCACAAUAAUUGAAUUACCAUUGUCUUAUUAGAAAGUAAAACACAUUACUUUGGCGUUUUUUAAACUUGAAUGUGACAAAUAUGACAUAGACAAUAAGGAUGUGUGACUUAGAUAUCAGGUUGGAGGAAAAUGGACUGAAGUACAAAGGUUAAGGCAAAUAGAUAUGUGAGAGGUAUUGCACGAGUUCGAUGUCAAAUUAUUAUGACAUAUUUUAUCGCGAUUCUUAUAAGAGAUUUUUCAAUAUGCUGAAAACACAACUCGAUACAUCAAGUGUCAUCACACAAGUGAUUGGAUACUUGAAAAAAAUAAAAUUCAACCACUUGUAUGAUGAUACUUGAUGUACCACGUUGUAUUCUGGCACGCUGAAAAGUUGUCUGUCUCCUAGUUCAAAUCUACUGCUCUUUAUUUUAAAGGAAAAUUAAUGAAAAUUGCUUGAAAAAUUUGAGUUUUAACGAUAAGAACAAAAUAAAGGGUAAAGUUAAUAGUACUAGGAUUGACUUUUUAGUGUAAAAAUAUGAUUUUUCGUUAAAGUGAACAGUACCGGGAGCUUUUCGUUAAAGUUCCCUUAUUUUAAACACGUCUUUGGAUUCAUUAAAAGACAAAAAGACAUGCUAAUAUUUUGAUCCCAGUAUGCAAGAAUUAACCAUACCAUAUACUUAGAAAUACCAAGAAUCCCGCUGCAAAUCAACUGUAAGUCAAAUAUUACCAACGAAACAAAAGAAGGAAUUGCACAAUUCAUUUGGUGAUUAGGCGAACUAACAACAACAACAAAUAUAAAAAAUAACGAGUCAAUAAUUUAAACACUAAACUAAAUGAUCCUUACGAAGAUGUGGGUUGUUGAAGAGUUGGAUCAUCACUUUCCUUAACUAUAUCAAACAACAUACUCCAUAUGGCUCUUGCAAUCGUUGUUUUACCUAUACCGUCCAUACUUUAAAUUCCAAUUAUUUGAACAUCAGGUGAACCUCUAACAUCUAAGUAUUUAGUACUUAAUUCUUGCACGCGAAAAGCUAUUCCAACUGAGUGCUUGGCUUCUUUUAAGUUUGUGGUUUUCAGUAGUCUCCUAAUGUCUUCAACAAUUUUCUCGAUAAACAAUCAUUCAUGUCUCGCAGUUAAAAUUCAAAAUUAUACAAAAGUAAGAUUCAUCAUGCAACUGCAAGAUUUAUUUCAACUAAAUGCCUCAUUCAUCAUGAUUAGAUAUUUUGGUAGUGAAAAUGUUUUGAAUAAAUUAGAUUUGAUCGGGAUGAUUAGUUUAGUUCAAUUCAGCCGUGGUUCAGCCGUGUUUCCAAAAUGCAUUGUAACCAUAUUAGUUAAACUCAGUUAGAUUGCUCCUGAACUAUAAGAAGGUGUUUGUUUGCCCUCACUAAACCAUAUUAUAGCUUUUAGUCAUACAAAUAGAAAUCCAUUAGAAUUAGUAUAUGGGUUUGACAUACGAAGGAUUCGUCCUUCACGCAUUACCAAUGCUCAUCUCCUUAUUUUUGGUGGAUUAGUGAGUCUUAGAAGCUAAUACAAGACAUUGGAAUUAAAUUUAGAGGAAGAAUUAAAAUACCUGUCCGCCGUGGUUUUAAGAUUCCGGCCACACAAAUCUGCAGAAGCCUUAAGAUCCUUCUCCACUGCUCGACCUCAUCUGGAUCUUCAUCCCUUUCAUGCUAACAAAGUUAAAAGAAUAAGGUAAAGUGAGACACCUAAUAAAAGUUUAGGUGGUAAAGUGAACAAAUCAUCAUAUAGAGUAAAGUAGAAUUUUGUGUACAUAAGUGUCAUAGAAAUGCCUUUAGUAUUUUGUACAUAUAGAAAAUAAAUAGGGUUAAUUACAUCGAUGUUCCUUGAAUUUGUCAUUUAUCUUCAUUUUCGUUCUUAAACAUUUUAUUUGUUUUAUGUGAUCUUCAAACUCGCUAUCGCAUGACUUUUUUUAUAUAUCCUUUUCGUCGACUUCAUCUAUUUUUUUGUUAAGUAGAGAUGAUAAAUUUAAAAUUCAUCCCACAACCUGAAAAAUGGGAAAAUGGAGGUGGGUGUACAAAAUUCUUGCCAUGCCCUCUAUAUUUAACAGAAAAAUAAGUUUUUUUGGGUCAAAAAAUAGAUUUUGUUAGAUUAGCCACCGACAGAGUUUGAACUCACACUUUCGUACAAGAGUUUAACUUCUUUCCACCACUAUAGUAAAAGGCCACUUGCAACAAAAAAAUAAAUUGAGUUAACGGAUAUAAUUGAAUUACCACAUGAUAGAGUUUGAGAACCACAAUAAGAAAAAAAAAAAAAAAACUAUUCUAGAACGAAAGUAAAAUUCAUGACAACAAUGUUGUAUAUCUGAAAAAUAGUUCAAGCAGAUUAAGAUGUUAGCACAGAGUCAUUUAUCUAGUUUAUUGAACAAACAACGAGGACAUCAAUGCCGUUUUUUCUGUUUCGAAAUUCAUAAACAACAAAAUUGAGAUUUCUUUCACAAAAAUUACCAUAAAUUUUGACAAAAUUGACGGUUGAAUUAUAAAUCCAGCAGGCAAAUCGAAAACAAUCACAUGAGCUUAGAACACACCACAUCAACAUUUAGCAAGAAGUCUCAUAAGAGAUCCCAAUCAAGAUAAAAUCAUUCAACAGUUUAUUACAUUUCAUUCAUUUAAGAGCAUGGUUCGAAGGAUUAUUUAAUUGACGUUAUAACAUCUUUCUACAAAGAAAAAAUGAAAAUAAAUAUGGCGUUGACACUCGUGGCAAAACCCGACAUGGAUUUAAGUACGUUUCAACCUGACCUUCUGUAAAAGCUGUAGGCCACAGCCACUGUUGCCACUGCUCCAACCACGGCAGCAGCUGCGAGAACGUCGCUUUGCUCCCAGUUCCCUAUCAAACUUGAUAGCUUCUGUAAGCCAUCCUUCCUAGCACACGACUCUGUGGUUUCUUUCGGCUUUUUAUCCUCACUUCCACCGUCCUCCUCCAAACUUACUUCUUUGCAGUAUGUAAAUCCAUCACUAUUAGCACUCUGGCAAUAGCCUGAAAAGUUCUCAUUAUUCUCAAUUUGAUUGCCCUUUUCUUGGUGAAUCUGAUUGCCAUUUUCUUGUGGCUUAUCCUCGAUUUUCUUAUUUUCUUCUCCAUUUGGAAGCUCCCGGUCAUUAAUUUCUUCAGCUUCAUCAGAAGAUGCUCCCAUUUGGCCCCUGUAAGGAAUGAAAUUGAAUUUCGUGUUCAACUAUUUAAAGAUUCAACUCUAAGUUUCGUCAAUAGCAAUUGAGUAAGAAUAGGUAUGAUCAAGCUAAUAAACAAAUCACAACAACAAUACAAAUCAGAAACAUAUACAGGGUAAUGCAGUUAUAUCUAGUUCUUUUGUGCUUUCUCCACAAAAGUUCCUCCAUGUUAAUGCAACUCUAUAUCAAUUAAUCUAUCAUACAAGACAAGACAUAAUCAACAAUUGAAAAAUAUGACAACACUAGCUUUCGUCCAGUGAAAUUUUCAUCCAAAGACAGUAGGCAAAACCAAAAAUGUACAAACCUCCAACGUCGUUCUAUAAUCUCUCCCUUCCCAAUAUGCUCAUCAAGCAAUUCCGGCACAUAACCAGGACUGACGAAUGGAUACCUGCAAUUAAUAAUACAUAAUAUUCAAACUCCUUCAUCGAUCCCAAUACGAUAAAUUUUAAAUUGUUAUGAUCCGGAUAUUACCAAUGGUAUGUCAUGCUUCCAUCUGGGUCGGUCGUGAAUAUUCCAGCAUAGUUGUGGCCUUCAAGGUGAAAGCAAGCAGUAACAAAUACCUGAUUCGUCAAUCCUCGCAGCUCAAACUCUUCUUUCAACUUAUCAAUGCGAACACGUGCGCUAUCACGAUUCCAUUCCUCUUGACUCAUAUGUGUGUAUACAAAUAUAAGGGCAAAUACAUGGGGGCCAGUCAACGGCUCUUGCACUCUCGAAGCCCAUGGUCUAUCAUUCACAAGGACAUCAUCAACAAAGCUGUCCACAUCCGACUCUUUCAAGCCCCUUUGAUCAACAAACAAAAACAACCCCAGGAUCAUAAAAAGGGAUUUACAAGAAACAAUAACCUAACACUCUUUACUUUCUUGUAAGGCAAGGAAUUAGUGUAAGGCAAUGAAUUAGUCGUAAACUGAGUCAUUAAAUUCAAUUUCGAUCUAAUUUCAGAAGCUAACACGUAUUUAAUUAUCUAUUUAGUUUAGUACAUUCAGCACAAUCUCGUAAUCAAAAGAGAAGUCGAAACAGAAAUUACUUUAGUCUAAACUAGGAAAAUAAAUUGCACUGCUCAUGUUGGUUAUUGAAUGGGCCCUCGAUUAUGAAUUAAUUACGGUUUGCCAUUGUGUGUGUUAGUGUGGGCCGUGCUUAACAGCUGGGUUGGGCUACCGCAGUUGGGCCCAGGGUGCAGCUGUCACGAGUUUUGGGCUGGGUUUCACUGAAAGAUCAAAUGACUCUUUUGCCCCCUUCAUUUUUAAUCUAACGGCCACCAUUUGGGGCGUUUUUGUUCUGCAAUUCGGUGUGGUGCUAGUUAAGGAGAUCGCGUGUGGUGCUCGUCAAGGAGAUCGCGCAGAGAGGCAGAGAGGCAGAGGGUGACAUCGAGUUUAGGGUUUGCACAGUGAGAGACAAAAGUGUUGAUGGGAAGGGUUGGGGGUGGACAGAGGGUUGAUGGGAAGGGUAGGAGCUAGAGAGGGGGGGGUGGGGGUGAGGGUGGGUUCUGUCCACUGACGUUGGUUGCAGAGAGAGAGAAAGAUGGGAACGGGUACAGAGAGAAAGAGUGAGUCUUUAUUGAGUUUCAGAACUUUCCUCUCUGAUUUUCUGAUUAUUUUCUCAAUUGGGCUUAUUUCUUACCAAUUUCCUUUGAGAUUUAUGCAUGUGUGUUUGUUAAUGCUCUGUUUCUUCGUUUUUACAGGAAAUGGAAUUGCUCUCUUCCUCUUCUUGGCAACCAUGUAUGCCCUCUCUCUCUCUCAAAUUCUUUCAUUAGGGGUCUAAGGUGAUGCCUUUUUGCCUAAAAUAUCAUUUUGUUAAAUGGCUUAUGAUAUUUUGAUUCUCUGCACAUUCUGCGUAGUUCAAAAAGCAAAAUCUCUCUCUCUCUCUCUCUCUCUCUCUCUCUCUCUCUUUUCCUUUUUGUGGCUAAAGAUCAUGUCUUUUGUGUCAUAAAUUUGUUUUUGUUACAUGGGGUUCUGUAUAUCUUUUGGAUAAUCAAAAAGCUUGAAUGUUUACUAGGUUUCUUUAAAUUUCUUUGAAUUCUACCUUGUGAUUUUGGUUUAGAAAUGUGUAGAAUUACAUUUAUGAGGAUCAUAAGGAAGAGAAGCACAUAUCAGUUCUUAGGCAUUCCAUACGUAAUGACUAUGCUUAACUGCCUACUCCCACUUGGAAUGCUGCUUUGCCUCUCUCUCUCUCUCUCUCUCCCCCCCUUCUGCUGUGUAUUGCCUAAUUAGUUAUUUACAUUUGUUUAUUUGUCUCUGUAAAGCUUUCAUGCUUGGAUUUUAAAUGUAUGAUUCAAUUAGAAACCUUUAUAAUGUUGAUGUUAUAGAACAUUCAACAGAUAUAUAUUCAACAUUAGGUAGCUCUGGCAAAAUCAUAUAGACUAAGAUUUGGUAAUAUAUGGAGGUGAGAGUGAAUCUGCCUUGCUUGCCAUGAUAUAGGCUUGCAAUGAUGGCUUUCUCUUUGUAGUACUACAUUCUACUCUUACAUGCUAACAUCAGAAAGCAGACUAAGAUAGAUCCAAACCCAAUUUUAUUAAUUAAAGUUAACGGAAAGAAAAUGAUUUAUGCAUGCCUUUGUUUAUUUGUCACUUGAUUUUGGUUUAGGUUGACCAUAGCUAAAACAUCCAAGACUUGCCUAACACCUAAUUUGACGAAGACCGUAUCCUUUUUAGCCUUUAGGUGUGUGUUUGCUAGCUAGAUGGGUGGUGGGUGAGUCUUGGAUGUUAUCUUGGAUGUCUUGAUUAUUUUGGUGGGCGAGUCUUGGAUGUUUUGGUUCUGUCUUCUUCAACUCUUAUAUCUUCCCUUUUUCUGAAUUUUCUUUAUUUCUUAUCCUUUAAACUUUGUAUUUUUUUUUAAAUAUAUAUAUUUUUUGGUGAUGCAGAUAGAUGAACAUGUUCAAGGGGAAAUCAUGAACCACAGAUCACUGCAUCUGAAUAUUGUUUGAUUCCAAGAGGUCAGUGAUCGUAAACUUUUUCAUUUUGUAUUUUAAGAAUGAAUUUGGCAAGUUGUGUUUGAAUUUUGUAUAAGUAUCUGCUGAGGGUGGGUGGAUGAAGACAGAACACACUAAAUUUGGCCUCUGGUGUGCUUAAACUGGUACGGGGGAUGGUUAGAACUUUGAGCGCGGAAUGCAGUAGGACUAAAAGGAAAUGCCCUACCCACCGGGGCAAUCCACCACUUGCAGAAUUGUUGUCAAAAUAACUCUGCUAAAAAUAUGAUCUAUACUUCCUGCACUUUGUUUUACUGUGAAGUUGAAAUAGUCUUUAGAGUGGCUUAUUUGUGAUAAUCGAUAAAUAGGUUUGUGUUUAAGACUUGAGAGUAGUGCGGUGUCUUUCUUGCUGGUUCUGCUCACACCACCUCAUCUAGCCAUUGUGAUGGAGUACACGGCUGGGUGAGAACUCUUCGAGAGAAUAUGCAGUGCUAGCAGAUUUAGUGAGGAUGAGAUAAAGUAGUUUCAAAUGCAGAGAAAAUUUCAUUGGAAAUGAUUUUAGUGUAGAGUCUCAAAUAUGGGAUCUCUGAAUGUCCCCUGAAAUGGAAUCCAUCUCGAUUUUCGUCUAGUUUCAGAUAGGGAAAGUUAGGUCUGAAGCAUUUUUACAUAAAUAGUCAGUCAUAAUAUAACUAAAACUUACAUACUUUUUCAAUUUAAUUGUUGUUUUGCAUCAGGCAAGGUUUUUCAUCCAGCAGUUGAUAUCAAGAGUUAGUUGCUGUCAUUUGAUGGUAUGUAAAUCCUAUAAAUUCGGAUUAAAAUUAAAGCAACUAUAGAACAAAAACCUCAAGAAAUCAACGCGAGUUUACCUGUAUUUGAUCAUUUGUGGGAAAAUCAACACAUCGCCGUCGGAAAACUCAGUUCCUUCGCGUCCUUCAAUUACUGUCAACAACGUCUAUCAAAAACCAAGAAAAAAGUGAGUAAUGGAGUCGGCUCAACACCAGAACUCAGUAGCUCCAGGAAAUAAGAAACGGUAAGAAAAAGCAAUCAGAAACCCCGACGAAUUGAGCUGGAAAAUGGACCUUAAAGGUGAUGUCGUUCUUGCGAGCUUUGAGAGCAGAUGCGAAGAUUUUAGGGAGUGGAUCGGACUCAUAGCCUUUGAUGCGCCAUGGCCAGGCCUCGAGGGUCUUGUAGCAGAGGAAAACGUGGCGAUAGUAUGACAGUGUAUCGUCAUCAGUGUCUUCAUCAGACUCAUAUGACACAGUAGUGUCUUCAUCAGACUCAUAUGACAUAGUCUCAUAGUUGUCCCAAUUAGUACGAUCAUCGGACAAAUCCCAUUUUACAAUAUCCACUCCAGUUUUGUUCACCUUAAUAAUUGUAUUAUCUAGUCCAUAAAAUUGUGCUUGUACAAGAACCAUGUCGCCGCCUUUCAAAUUGAGCUUCUUGUUUUGAAAGAUUUCCCAACCAAAGAUAAUAUUCAUGGGAAGCAGUUACGGUGGCCUCAAUUGGCCAGAUACGAAAAUUAGUUUGCUGGGUACGAUUAACAACAUCAAUGGUUAGAAACCCACUAGAGUCGGAGUUGUCCGAAGAAUAAACGAUGCCCAAAGCCAACCCUCCUAUAUAAUCAAUACAUGGCGGCACUUUAAAUUUGACAGUUUCAUCCUCUCUCGCGACAUAGGCUAACCGCUUCGGAAUAUCAUUUCUAGAGAGAAAAAUUCCACCAAAUGCAUUUUUCUACAACAUGGGGUGCAAAGUUAGUAAAAGCAACAAUACAAAAAGCAGAGAGAGAGAGAGAGAGAGAGAGAGAGAGAGAGAGAGAGAGAGAGAGAGAGAGAGAGAGAGAGAGUACCAUACCGUUUGGAGGUUCUCCUUAAAAGUAUCAGUGAGACUGGUACACCCUUCCAUAUAAAUUGAAUCCAUGUAGUCCAAUGAGUUCUCCAAGUUUGGAAUAUCUUUGAGUUUGCGGCAGUCUUUCAGUUGCAAGUGUUUCAUUUUCGACAUCUCUGAAAAGUCGGACACUAUUUCCAGUGCUGUGCAGUAAUUCGCUUCCAAUACACAUAAACUGUUGGGCAAAUCUGGGAUUGCCUGAAGGUUUGUGCAAUGAUUUAGACAUAAACUCCAAAGCUGAGAAAGACCACUGAGAAUGGGUAGCCUAUUAAAACCAUUCCCACCUAGAUCUAAAAUUUUUAAAGAAGAUAGACUCCCAAUUAUUUCGAGAAGGGCACCAUCUGUUAUAUUGCAGUCGCUGAGAUGUAAUUCCUCAAUCAUCUUCAGUUGUGCUAAAAAAUGGUAACCCCCACACAAACCCUUACAGUCUCUGAUGGUCAAGUACCGGAGAUGUGGGAGUUUUGAAAAGUUUGGUAAUUCAGUCAGGUUACGGCAGUGUACAAGAACGAGAAACUUCAACUUCUUAGGUAACUGUUACUCAAAAAGAGAAAACAAUAAUAAAAAUCCAAAUAAAUAAAAGAGAGAAUGCAUGACGAUGACUGAUGUUGAUAUUUACAAGGACAUUGAUAGUUAUAUUGUACCAAGUCUGAAUCCUCCCAAACUCGUACGAUCUUGCUGGACCACAGUUCCAUAUAAACUAGGUUUCGUUGAUCAAAAUCUGCUGGUAUGGCUUCAAGAGGAAAUCCAAUCCAAUACAAUAAUCUUAACUCCUUGGAAAGAUGUUUGUAGCUUCCAGUCAGCUUUACAUUUCCCAGCCAGAGAAUUCUCAGUCGCCACAUCUUGUUAAAUGCUUCCGUACUGAAGCUUUGCUCGUCAUCAGAAUGUUCUGGCAAAAAUAAUUCUAGUCCUUCAACUGCUUCUGUUCCCUGUUAGAGAUAUAAAAAAAAAACAAGAAAAGGAUAAUAUUCACACGAAGCAGAGUUGUGAAUCGGAUGAAUGAACUACUAAAAAGGUAGGGCAUACAACAUAAUUAUUUAUUUUCUCUUUCAAAUUACCCAGUGGAUGAAAGCCUUUUCUUUUCUUCUUUUUCUUCGAAUAUACUAUGUAUGUCAUACACUAUAUAUAUACAGGAUAUGCUUAUAUACUUCUCUUUUUUCAUAUGUACUUAACAUCUCUUUUAUUGCAAAAGUACUUACAGAUUCGUUCCAUAGCACACUUUUUGCAUCUUCCAUAUGCCACAAUCGACUACGUUUUCCCAGUUCCACAGGAGAUUCUGCCCGCACAAUUUCUCUUCCCAUAUCUCGAAUCAAAUCAUGCAUCCUCAAUGCUCCCCCUUUAUCAAUAUAUAAGAGACAUCGAUCACAAAGUGUGGUAAUUUCUGCUUCUACAGAAAAAUGACUACAACCAUCCAAUAUUGUCGUGACCACACUUAUAGACACUCCAAUAAAGAAAUUAGAUAUGUCAAGGAACACACCCUUCACAUGAUCGUCACGUAACCCAUCGUAGCUUAAUUUAAGUGUUUGAUGAAUUUUUCCAUCUGGAAUAUUUCUUAAUUUAUUCAAUGUACUUUUCCAUAUGCUUUUACUCUUUUUCGUAGCCAACAAACGGCCAACAACUUCAAGAGCUAGGGGCAAUCCUCCACAAUAAUCAACAACAUCUCUUGCGAGUUCAAUAUAUUCUUCAUCGGGACAAUCAUUUCCAAAGGCAUGCCAACUAAGAAGCUUAAGAGCUUCAUCAUCAGUCAUUCCUUGUGCUUUAUACCUUUUAUCCACCUUUUGUAUAUUCAGCACUUGUUCAUCUCUUGUCGUUAUAAUAAUCCUACUCCCUGGACCAAACGAGUCAUGUGCUAUUGCCAAUUUAUCUAAUUGGUCCGCAUCAUCUAUGUCAUCAACCACGACAAGUACCUUCAUGCUUCCAAGUCUUUUCUCUAUCUCCUUGGUUCCUUCAGCAACAUUGCUUACCUUAAUGUCAGGCCGUUUCAAAAUAUCUCCAAGAAGUUGUUCUUGCAGACUAACCAUAUUUUUCUUGUUACUCCUCACCUCUUCAAGGUAACAUUGACUACUGAAACUAUGACCAUAUUUGCUACAAAUGGCUUUGGCAAGUGUUGUUUUACCUAUACCGCCUGUACCCCAAAUUCCAAUUAUUUGAACAUCAGGUGAACCUCCAACGUCUAAGUAUUCAGUGCUGAAUUCUUGCACGCGAAAAGCUAUUCCAACUGAGUGCUUGGCUUUUAAGUCUACGGGUUUCAAUAUUCCCUUGAUGUCCCCAGUAAUUUUCUCGAUAAACACUCCUUCACGCCUACAAGUAGAAAUUCCAAAUUACGAGAGCCAUACUAAAUGCCUUAAUCAUCAUGCCUUUAUAUUUACAUAUUGAAACAGAUUGGAAUAAAUUGUGAUUUACUGAGCUCAAUUCAACCACGUAUUUAAUCUUCGAUUAUAACGUGAAUAACCAAUUGGACUACUACACAAUUGUAGCUUUCAGUUAUAUAAUUAAGAAUCCAUUACAAUUGGUAUUUUAAUUUGAUAAAGUGUGGAGCAUUUGUCCUUCACACACCUAUAAAAAACAAUCACUUCCUUAAUUUUGACGGAAAUUCUUAUGCAAAUGCUCUACAACAAUAACAACAACAAAGCCUUUUCCCACUAAGUGGGGUCGAUAAAUAAAUGAUGCAAAUGCUCUACCUUUUAUAAAAUUCAUAUGCCAAUUCUAAUAAAUUUUUAUGCAGUGACCAAAAUUACAGUUCUAUCAUAGUUCACGGACCAACGAUCCAAUUUUUCUUAUAACUUAUAAAAUCAGAUUCAAUGCCUUAAUUAUAAUAUCUUAAUUUUGGUUGAUUAGUGAAAUAUGGCGAUAUGAAAUUUGAAGUAAACAAAAAAGUAUACCCGUCGGCCGUGGUUUUGAGGUUCCAGCCGGCCAAAUCUGCAGAAGCCUUAAGAUCCUCUCUCCACUGCUUGACCACAUUUGGAUCUUCAUCCUUUUCAUGCUUCUGAAAUGCUUCCCCAAAACUAUCUUUCUGUUUCCUGACUUGAGAAGGGUCAACGUCGUAGAAUAUUGGACACACUAUUUUCCCCUCUUGAUUUUUUAGGCACCUCAUGAUCUUCGACAGCUCCCUCAGGCACCAUCGGGACUCGGCGUACCUCUUUGAGAAGACGAUGACGGCGAUUCUCGACCCUUCGAUUUCUUGGUCAAGUUCCCUCUGUAUGUUUUCCCCCCUUCUGAGCUGUGUGUCUAUAAAUGUGUUAAUUCCGGCAUUGCGUAAUGCAAUGAAGAGGUGGUCUGUGAAGGUAUUGCGGGUGUCUUCACCUCUAAAGCUCAGGAACACCUCGUACUUCCAGCGGUUUGAGCUCCGCGAGGAAGACGAAGAGGCGGCAGCGGCGGCUCCAUGGUCGGAGCUGCUGGCAUCCAUUGCAGCCUGUAGAAGUGCAGCUUGACUUUCAAAUAACCAAAGUCAAUCUUUCCCAAGCUUCCCGAGUGUAGGCGACCCUAUUAAAUUUUUUGCAUAGGGCAAUGAUGUCACUGCCGUGUCGAUAACGCGUGAGUGGUAUUCCUCCCACAAUUUAAUUUGUAUAAAUGUUACCAUCAAAUUUUAAAAAAAUAAAUCGUAUAACUGCUUUACGAUGCAAUUUCCUUUCUUUUGUAGUUUUAAGGGUGGUGCGCAGGUAGGUUCAACUGCGGCUGCUGGUGGACGUCACGACAGCGUUAUAAGAAUCUUCGGUGAAAACAGGUCCACAAACACCACAUCUAUUAUCUCGACACCAUGUGCACAUACAUUACAUGGGAGCCAGUCAACGCCUCUUGCACUCCGGAAGCCCAUGGUUUGUGAUUCACAAGGACAUCAUCAACAAAGCUGUCCACAUCCGACUCUUUCAAGCCCCUUUGAUUGAGAAACAAAAACAACCACAGAAUCACAAAGUUAAAAAUCCCCAAAUACUUAUCGCUAACACGCCCAUUUAGGGCUGGUUUGGUAUUGCUGUGCUUUGAAAAAAAGCUGCUGUAAGAAUAAGCGGCUGUGCUGUGAGAAUAAGCGGCUGUGAAAUAAAACCAGUAGAGUGUUUGGUAAACUUUUUUGUGAAAGUGCUUUUGGAAAAAAAAAGCAGGAUGAUAGUGUGUCUUUUUAUUAAAAGAGCACCGUAGCUCUGUGUGCUUUGAAAAAACUGGUUUUUUUUUCAAAGCAGCAAAUAGCAGCUUCAGCUUUUCCUUUGAUUUUCAGCUUAUUCUCACAGCAGCUUCCAAAAUAAGCUCUUUUUUUUUUUUCAGUUUACCAAACACAAAAAUGACCAUCAGUUUUUUUUCACAGUGGCUUUUUUUAAAAUCACCUCAAUCCCAAACGGGGCCUUAGUAAUCACAAAUACUUAUCGAAAACUAGACAACAACCUUCACUAAGUUUUUGUGCUGCACUUUCGACAUCAUUGCCACUUCCCUCGCAAACCGCUCUUCUCUCUUGGCAAUCUGCUCUGGGGUUUCUCCUCUAUGAACAUUUUUUACAGCAACUUUUUGACUCUUAUAUCUAGAACAAACAAACGCAACCACCAAACAGAUUAAGAACACAACAGAACAGAACAUCAUCGUUGUAACUCGACACGAAAAACACAUAUUCGGCAUCAUAAACACCAUAAUUGCAGAACACCAAAUCAAGUUUUGAUCUUUGAUUAGUUCUGCAAAAACCCAACUCAAAUUUGCAUUUAUAUUUAACAAGAUCUAAGGCAUCAUAUUAAAUUGCUAAACUUGAGAGACCAGAAAUUCAGAAUUUAAGACAAACAAAAGAUGUUUUGGAUCGAUCAGCCACUUGGCAUCCAAAUCGAAAUCCCCAACUGAAUAAACCCCAUUACCAGAUCCCAUAAUUUUCUCUCUCUAAAAUUCAACAAGAACAAAACAAGAACAACAUACACUGACUAAUUAACCAAAACAAAGGGUACCCUUUAUUUGUAGGACCACAUUUGAAGUAAAGAUGAAAGCUUUGGUCUGGAUAAAAAUGGAAAAAAUUAAUAAAAUCAGCAGACUUCGUAUGAUUGGAGAGGGAGAAAGAUGAAGACUUUCUAUAAUAAAAGGACUUGCUUGGUACUGUAGGUUUCAGAAAACAGACCCAUCCCCGGAAUCACGGUUGAGGAUCCUACAAAGAAUUUAGCACAAGAUUGUUUGCCCUCCCACUUCCGGUGCCCUCUCAUGUCCUUCUGUUUUGUGUGGUCACGAUUAAGCCAUAUCAAUAUUUUAUAUUGUUUUUUUUAUAGAGAUAAUAAGAUAAAAAUAAAUAGUAAUAUAAAAUAUUGAUGUAGCUUAACCGUGACCAUACAAACAGAAGGGUACAUGAGGGCACUAGAAGUGAGAGGGCAGACAAUCCUUGUCCAAAAAUAAAAUCCCAGAGGCACCCACCAACAACCCUACAAUAUAAAAAGGAGGUGGAUUUUCUGCUCUCUCAUUUCCAUACUCUUCCCAUUCCCUUCUGUUUGUGUUAUCACGGUUAGGCCACGUUAACAUUUUAUAUUCAUAUUAUUUUUUAUUUUAUUAUUUUUAUAAAAAAAAUAAUAUAAAAUGUUGAUGUGACUUAAUCGUGACCACACAUCACAGAGGAGAUGAGGAAAGUAUGAAAAUAUGAGGCAAGACAAUCCGCCUCCAUAUAAAAAUGGUCACUGAUGAGAGCUCUAUCAGUGGGAGUGGAUUAGAUUUAUUAUUGGGAAUUGGGGAGAGAGAGGAAUCAGUAGAAGAGCAAGCAGAUAGAGUUGAGCAAGGCAGAGGAGGAUGAAACUGAGAGGAGGUGGAGAUUUGGGAACUUGGUGGCGGCGAUGGUGGCGGUGGGCGGGUGGGAAGUGAGUUCAGUUGAGAUUAAUUUAUUGGCCUUCUCCGCGAGUGGAAUGUUAUUGUCUUGUCUUCUAGAUCCAAAGAUAAACUAGUCUCUGUCAGAGAAUAGUGUGUUUCCUUUGUUUUUCUUCCUUUCUACCUCAUUUUCCCUUAUUUAUACUAGCAAGAAUAAAAAUUUAUAAUAAGAGAAAAUGUAAAUUGAUUUCUAAAUUUUUUUUCUUUAUGAUAUUCAAAUGAUUUUGCCUUGCUGAAUGAGACUGUUCAUAUCUUUGACUACUAGUUCUGAAUAAAUAUUUCUUUAACUAAAAGUUUACAAGGCAACUGAAAUGAUUACUUAGUUAUAAGACUUUGGAAAAAAAAUUACAAGUAUUUUGUGUGCAAUUUACUAUAUUAUGCAUAACUUUUAAUAUAUUAAUUUAUUUAAGUUAAUUUGGUCUUUUAACUUUUAUUUGGUUGAUUAAAAGAGUUUUGUUGAUAGGUAGUUUAGAUUAUAAUAAAAUAAAAUAAUUACUAAAUAAAUAGUUUUUUUAAUAAUAUGAUAUUAUGUACAUUAAGUGGUGGAGGGAGUGAGUUAAGCUUCACAAUGAGAUAGUCAUAAUAAUUUGUUCAAAUUUAUCUUAAUGAUAAUCGAACUUAAGACUUCUUAUGUAUGAGAGAUUUUUCAAUUUACUAGAAACACAUUGUAAAAAUACAAUUGGUUGGAAACUUAAAAAAUACAAUUUCAAACUAUUUUAUUAUGACACUUGGUGUAUCAAGUCAUGUUUAGUGUUCACACCACACUGAAAAUUUUCUCCUCACUUACAAGUCAAAAGGAAUACUAUUAAAUCGUAAUAUAAGUGACUACUAAAUAACUAAUUUAUAUAUUUGAUUUUUAAAAGUUUAGGGGAAAGGAAAGCUAAUCCAUCAAGGCCAAGGCAUAUAACAAGUAUCCUCGAGAACUUACACAAGGGGUCUUAGUCCUUUUUUUGUUUUUACAGAUCUUGCACAAAAAAUGGUUGCUUACAAUGGAACUCAAACAUAGACCUUGCAACUCAACCAAUCCUCAGUGGAAAAUACACAUGUAUUUGAGCAAUCUUUUAAUUAAUUUAAACUAAAUUAUCGAGUCAAAACUCCAUGCAAUAAACAUAUUGUUUUAAUUAAAUUAUUCAUAUACAAUAAUAAAAUGUCUAUUUAUAUCAUAGAUUCUAAGAUUUGAUAAAGAGAAUAUUUCCAAGAUGUGCAUAGACAUAAAACACAUACACACUACUCUAACUAAAUUAAUCAAGAACAAUUCUGCAAGAAAAUGGAAGAUAUGUGACUUUUAUUUAUUUCCUAGAUUCUAAGAAGGAUAAGAAAAUGUUGUCGGAGAAAAAGAAAGGUAAACGGGCGAUAAGAAGACGAAUACAACACAAUGAUACAAUUGGGGCUUCGAGAAAGUGCCCUUUUGGUAUCCACUAAGGCCAAAAACCCAUCACAAUAAUUGAAUUACCAAUGUCUUAUUAGAAAGUAAAACACAUUAUUUUGGCGAUUUUGAAACUUGAAUGACAAAUAUGACAUAGACAAUAAGGAUGUGUGACUCAGAUACCAGGUUGGAGGAAAAUGGACUGAAGUACAAAGGUUAAGGCAAGGAGAUAUGUGAGAGGUAUUACAUGAGUUAAUUAUCAAAUUAUUAUGACAUAUUUUAUCGCGUUUUUUAUGAGAGAUUUUUUAGUGUGCUGAAAACACAGCUCGAUACAUCAAGUGUCAUCACAUAACUGAUUGGAUACUUGAAAAAAAUAAAAUUCAACUUGUAUGAUGACACUUGAUUUAUCGGGUUGUAUUCCGGCACACUAAAAAGUUGUCAUCUCCUAGUUCAGAUAUACUGCUCUUUAUUUUAAACACAUCUUUGUACUCAUUAAAAGACAAAAAGACAAGCAAAUAUUUUGGUCCCAGUAUGCAAGAACCAUACAAUAUACUUAGAAAUAUCAAGCAUCCCGUUGGAAAUCAACUGUAAGGCAAAUAUUAUCAACGAAACAAAAGAAGGAAUUGCACAAUUCAUUUGGUGAUUAGGCGAACUAACAACAAAAAAAAUAUAAAAAAUAACGAGUCAAUAAUUUAAACACUGAACUAAAUGAUCCUUACGAAGAUGUGGGUUGUUGAAGAGUUAGAUCAUCACUUUCCUUAACUACACCAAACAACAUACUCCAAAUGGCUUUUGCAAUCAUUGUUUUACCUAUACCGCCCAUACUUCAAAUUCCAAUUAUUUGAACAUCAGGUGAACCUCCAACAUCCAAGUAUUUAGUACUGAAUUCUUGCACGCAAAAAGUUGUUCCAACUGAGUGCUUGGUUUCUUUUAAGUCUGUAGUUUUCAGUAGUCUCCUAAUGUCUCCAACAAUUUUCUCGAUAAACAAUCAUUGAUGUCUCGCGGUUAAAAUUCAAAAUUAUACAAAAGUAAGAUUCAUCAUGCAACUGCAAGAUUUAUAUCAACUAAAGGCUUUUGAUUCAAAAUGGUCCCUGAGAUUUGCAUCAUCCAUAAGUUUGGUCCCUGAGAUUUAAAAUUAAUAGAAGUAGUCCCUGCGAUUGUCCACCAUCCAUGAUUUUAGUCCUUCCGCUAAAGUUUUUGGCCAGAAGUUGGGCAAUUUUCAAAGCUUCGUAACUCAAUCGUUUUUUAACCAAAUUCGACCCAUAAUAUAUCAAAAUGAAGAUAGGAAAGUGUAGAAUAAGAUUAUAUCUAUUUGGAAGCCCAAUCAAUGGAAAACUGGAAAACUUGCCGGAAACUCGCCGAAAACUGGGUAAAUUUUAAACAUUCAUAACUUCUUCAAUACUCAACGAAAUCAAGUGAUUCAAAAACAAAAACCAUACUUCUCAACAAGAAGAAGAGAAUGGUACCUUUUUAAAUGGCUAACUCGCCUUGGUUUGGCCGGAAAACGGCUCGAAAGUGGCUGUUGAAAAACGAGUUAGCAACUUUCGAGCCGUUUUCCGGCCAAACCAAGGCUUUUUAGCCGUUAAAAAAGGUACCAUUCUCUUCUUCUCGUCGAGAAGUAUGAUUUUUGUUUUUGAAUCACUUAAUUUUAUUGAAGACGUUAUGAACGUUUAAAGUUUAUCCAGUUUCCGGCGAGUUUUCCAGUUUUUCCUCGGACCAGUCAAUUUUGAGGCUAUUUUCCGACCAUCGUCGGCAACCAUUGGGCUUCCAAAUAGAUAUAAUCUUAUUCUAUACUUUCCUAUUUUCAUUUUGAUAUAUUACGGGUCGAAUUUGGUUAAGAAACGAUUGAGUUACGAAGCUUUGAAAAUUGCCCAAACUUCCGGCCAAAAGCUUCAACGGAAGGACCAAAAUCAUGGAUGGUGGACAAUCUUAGGGACAACUUCUAUUGAUUUUAAACCUCAGGGACCAAACUUAUGGAUGAUGCAAAUCUUAGGGACCAUUUUGAAUAAAAAACCUCAACUAAAUGCCUCAUUCAUCAUGAUUAGAUAUUUUGGUAGCGAAAACGUUUUGAAUAAGUUAGAUUUGAUCGAGAUGACUAGUUAAGUUCAAUUUAGCCGUGUUUCUGAAAUGCAUUGUAACCGUAUUAGUUAAGCUCAGUUAGAUUGCUCAUGAACUAUAAGAAGGCGUUUGUUUGCCCUCACUAAACCGUAUUAUAGCUUUUAGUCAUACAAUUAGAAAUCCAUUAGAAUUAGUAUAUGGGUUUGACAUACGGAGGAUUCGUCCUUCACGCAUUACCAAAAGCUCCAAAGUUUUUUCCUAUAAACGUAUAAAAUCAAAGUCUGAUCAUAAUCUCCUUAUUUUUGGUGAAUUAGUGAGUCUUAGAAGCUAAUACAAGACAUUGGAAUUAAAUUUAGAGGAAAAAUUAAAAUACCUGUCCGCUGUGGUUUUAAGAUUCCGGCCACACAAAUCUGCAGAAGCCUUAAGAUCCUUCUCCACUGCUCGACCUCAUCUGGAUCUUCAUCCCUUUCAUGCUAACAAAGUUAAAAGAAUAAGGUAAAGUGAGACACCUAAUAAAAGUUUAGGUGGUAAAGUGAACAAAUGAGCAUAUAGAGUGAAGUAAAAUUUUGUCUACAUAAGUGUCAUAGAAAUGCCUUUAAUAUUUUUUACAUAUAGAAAAUAAAUAGGGUUAAUUACAUCGAUGUUCCCUGAAUUUGUCAUUUAUCUUCAUUUUCAUUCUUAAACAUUUUAUUUGUUUUAUAUGAUCUUCAAGCUCGCUAUUGCAUGACUUUUUUUUUUAUAUCCUUUUCGUCAACUUCAUCUAUUUUUCUAUUAAGUAGAGAUGAUAAAUUUAAAAUUCAUCCCACAACCUAAAAAAUGGGAAAAAGGAGGUGGAUGUACAAAAUUCUUGCUAUGCCCUCUAUAUUUAACAGAAAAAUAAAAAUAAAUUGGUCAAAAAUAGAUUUUGUUAGAUUAGUCACUAACGGGGUUCAAACUCACACCGUCAUGCAAGAUCUUAACUCAUUUCCACCACUAUAGUAAAGGGCCACUUGCAACCAAAAAAUAAAUUGAAUUAAUGGAUAUAAUUGAAUCACCACAUGAGAGAGUUUGAGAACCACAAUAAGAAAAAAAAAAAAGAAAAACUAUUCUAGAACGAAAGUAAAAUUCUUGACAACAAUGUUGUAUAUUUGAAAAAUAGUUCAAGCAGAUUAAGAUGUUAGCACAGAGUCAUUUAUCUCGUUUAUUGAACAAACAACGAGGACAUCAAUGCCGUUUUUUCUCUUUUGAAAUUCCUAAACAACAAAAUUGAGAUUUCUUUCACAAAAAUUACCAUAAAUUUUGACAAAAUUGACGGUCGAAUUAUAAAUCCAGCAGGCAAAUCGAAAACAAUCACAGGAGCUUAGAACACACCACAUCAACAUUUAGCAAGCAGUCUCAUAGGAAAUCCCAAUCAAGAUAAAACUAUUCAACAAUUUAUUACAUUUCGUUCAUAUAAGAGCAUGGUUAGGAGGAUUAUUUAAUUGACGUUAUAACAUCUUUCUACAAAGAAAAAAAUGAAAAAGAAAAUAGGGCCUCGGCACCCGUGGCAAAACCCAACAUGGAUUAGAGUACGUUUCAGCCUGACCUUCUGUAAAAGCUAUAGGCCACAGCCACUGUUGCCACUGCUCCAACCACGGCAGCAGCUGCGAGAACAUCGCUUUGCUCCCAGUUCCCAAUCAAGCUUGACAGCUUCCGUAAGGCAUCCUUUGUGGCACACGACUCUGUGGUUUCUUUCGACUUCAUUUCCUCACUUCCACCGUUCUCCUCCAAACUUACUUCUUUGCAGCAUGUAAAUCCAUCACUAUUAGCACCCUGGCAACAGCUUGAAAAGUUCUCAUUAUUCUCAAUAUGAUUGCCCUUUUCUUGGUGAAUCUGAUUGCUAUUUUCAUGUGGCUUCUCCUUGAUUUUCUUAUUUUCUUCUCCAUUUGGAAGUUCCCGGUCAUUAAUUUGUUCAGCUUCAUCAGAAAAUGCUCCCAUUUGGCCUCUGUAAGGAAUGAAAUUGAAUUUCGUGUUCAGCUAUUUAAAGAUUCAACUCUUAAGUUUCUUCAAUGCAGUUACAUCCAAUUUAGAAACAUAUACAGAGUAAUACUGUUGUAUCCAAUUCUUUUGUGCUUUCUCCACAGAAGUUCCUCGAUGUUAUUGUAACUCUAUAUCAAUAAAUCUAUCAUACAAGACUAGACAUAACCAUCAAUUGAAAAAUAUGACAACACAAGCUUCCGUCCAGUGAAAUUUUCAUCCAAAGACAAUAGGCAAAACCGAAAAUCUACAAACCUCCAAAGUCGUUCUAUAAUCUCUCCCUUCCCAAUAUGCUCAUCAAGCAAUUCCGGCACAUCAUCAGGAGUGACGUAGCCAUACCUGCAAUUAAUAAUACAUAAUAUUCAAAUUUCAUCGAUCCCAAUACGACAAAAUUUUAGAUUGUUAUGAUCCGAAUAUUACCAAUGGCCUGUUAUGCUUCCAUCUGAACCUGGGCUGUAGAUAAUCAAGUUUCCAUUGUGGCCUCCAGUGUGAAAGCAAGCAGCAACAAAUAUCUGAUUCGUCAAUCCUCGUAGCUCAGCCUCCUCUUUGAACUUAUUAAUGAGAACACAUGCACUAUCACGAUUCCAUUCCUCUCGACUACCAUGUGCACAUACAAAUACAUAGGAGCCAGUCAACGACUCUUGCACUCCGGAAGCCCAUGGUUUGUGAUUCACAAGGACAUCAUCAACAAAGCUGCCCACAUCCGACUCUUUCAAGCCCCUUUGACAACAAACAAAAACAACCUCAUAAUCACAAAAAGGGAUUUACAGGCAAGGAAUUAGUCGUAAACUGAGCCAUUAAAUUCAAAGGAAAACUAAUGAAAAGAGCUUGAAAACUUUGAGUUUUAACGAUAAGGACAAAAUAAAGGGUAAAGUGAAUAGUACCAGGAUUGACUUUUUAGUGCAAAAAUGUGGUUUUUCGUUAAAGUGAAAAGUACCAAGAGCUUUUCGUUAAGGUUCCCUAAAUUCAAUUUCUACAACUAAUUUCAGAAGCUAACACACAUCUAAUCAUCUAUUUAGGUCAGUGGAUUCAUGUUGGUUAUGGAAUGGGCCCUCCAUUAUGAAUUAAUUACGGUUUGCCAUUGUGUGUGUUAGUGUGGGCCGUGCUUAACAGCUGGGUUGGGCUGCUGCAUUUGGGCCCAGGGUGCAGCUCUCACGGGUUUUGGGCUGGGUUUCACCGAAAUAUCAAAUGACUCUUUUGCCCCCUUCAGUCCUAAUCCGACGGCCACCAUUUGCGGCGUUUGUGGUCUGCAAUUCGGUGGGGGGGGGAGGUGGGGUUAGCUUGCUUUCAAUCUCGUCAAGGAGUUCGUGCAGAGAGGCAGGGGAUGACAUCAAGUUUAGGGUGUGCACAGUGAGAGAGAAGAGGGUAGGAGCUAGAGAGAGGGGGGUGGGUUCUGUCCGCGGACGUAGGUUGCAGAGAGACAGAGAUGGGGAAAAGUAUGGGGGUGGGGUUGAGGGGAACGUGUACACAGAGAGAGUGAGGAAGGGACAUAGGAGCUAGAGGUAUGGGAAAGGAGUCGAGGAGUUGAGGAGUCGAGGGGUUGAGGGGUUGAGGGGUUGAUUUGUCAGGGGCUGCUGCAUCCUUCCUAUUCAAAAGGUAACAAAUAAUUUUCAAUUCAUUCUUUACCCUUGAAUGUGGAUUUACUGUUCGGGGUUGAGGAGGACAUCAUAUAUCUUCCCUUUUUCUGAAUUUUAGUUCUGUCUUCUUCGACUCUUAUAUCUUCCCUUUUUCUGAAUUUUCUUUAUUUCUCAUCCUUUAAACUUUGUAUUUUUUUUAAAUAUUUAUUUUUUUGGUGAUGCAGAUAGAUGAACAUGUUCAAAGGGGAAUCAUGAACCACAGAUCACUGCAUCCGAAUAUAGUUUGAUUCAAAGAGGUCAGUGAUCAUAAACUAUUUUCAUUUUGUAUUUUAAGAAUGAAUUUGGCAAGUUUUGUUUGAAUUUUGUAUAAGUAUCUGCUGAGGGUGGGUGGAUGAAGACAGAACAAACUAAAUUUGGCCUCUGGUGUGCUUAAACUGGUACGGGGGAGGGUUAGAACUUUGAGCCCAUGAUGCAGUAGGACUAGAGAAAUGCGGCAAUCCACCACUUGCAGAAUUAUUGUCAAAAUAACUCUGCUAAAAAUAUGAGCUAUGCUUCCUGCACUUUGUUUUUACUGUGAAGUGGAAAUAGUCUUUAGCGUGGCUUAUUUGUGAUAAUUGAUAAAGAGGUUAGUGUUUAAGACUUGAGAGUAGUGCGGUGUCUUUCUCGCUGGUUCUGAUGAUGGAGUACACGGCUGGGUGAGAACUCUUCGAGGGAAUAUGAGGAUGAGAUAAAGUAGUUUCAAAUACAGGGAAAAUUUCAUUGGAAAUGAUUUUAGUUUAGUUUCAGCUAGGGAAAGUUAGGUCUGAAGCAUUUUUACAUAAACAGUCGGUCAUAAUAUAACUAAAACUUACAUACUUUUUCGAUUUAAUUGUUGUUUUGCAUCAGGCAAAGUUUUUCUUCCAGCAGUUGAUAUCAGGAGUUAGUUGCUGUCAUUUGAUGGUAUGUAAUGUGGCACUUUUCUGCUAAUGCGUUGUAUACUGUUAUUUAUUUCUCUUUUGAUAUUGGAAGUGUUGGUUGUAGUAAGGAAAUAAUUCGUUUCAAUAGUAUACGACUUCGGUUUAAUAGUAUAUGACUCAGUUUUUGAAUAGCACUCAGGUGGUAUUACGACUUAGUUUUCUAAAUGCCAAUAACAGCUCUAGAUUUUGUCUCAAGUCAAGUAUUCUUACUAAUGUAGCAUUUUGUUGGCACAUCAGUAUGUUUUGAUUGUUUCUCUGCUUGAAUAGAGAAUUGUUAACGUCCGGGUGGGAACGUGGGUCAGCUCAUGUUUUAGUCUCUCCGUCGUAAGCAAUUUUACAUGGUACUCUUCAAUGUAGCUAUAGGUAAGACAACACUCUCAGUAUUCCAUAAUCAAACCACCAUUUGAACUUUUUUUCAUCCACCAAGUUAAGCUUUUAUGUGCCAUCUUGAAUAGUUAUAAGUUAUUGCUUCAGAUUACUCCAGUGCGACAUUGUUGUUCUCUUCCUUACCUCUCAAGCUUGCUUAAUAUACCAAUUCUUAUUACUGUUGUAUUGUUAAGAAAUACUCAAUUGCGGAUUCAGUUCAUCGUUUUGAAUCGGAUAAAAAUUAACCACUCAGUGGUUAAUUAUCUAAAUGGGCGGUAGGUCUCGGGUUCGAGACUUGUGAGCAGUCUCUCCAUAAAUGGGGGUAAGGCUAGCCGACAUUCACCUCUCCCAGACCCUGCGUAAAGCGGGAGCCUUGUGCACUGGGUACGACCUUUUUAGUGGUUAAUUAUCUAAAUCCUAUAAAUUCGGAUAAAAAUUAAAGCAACUACAGAACAAAAACCUCAAGAAAUCAACGCAAAUUUACCUGUAUUUGAUCAUUUUUGGGCAAAUCAACACAUCGCCGUCGCAAAACUCAGUUCCUUCGCAUCCUUCAAUUACUGUCAACGUCGUCUAUCAAAUACCAAGAAAAAAUGUGAGUAAUGGAGUCAACUCAGCUCAACACCAGAACUCAGUAGCUCCAGGAAAUAAGAAUGGUAAGAAAAAGCAAUCAGAAACGUCGACGAAUUGAGCUGGAAAAUGGACCUUAAUGGUGAAGUCGUUCUCGCGAGCUUUGAGAGCGGAUGCGAAGAACUUAGGGAGUGGAUCGGACUCAGGGCCUUCGAUGCGCCACGGCCAGGCCUCCAGGGUCUUGUAGCAAAGGAAAACGUGGUGAUAGCUCAACAGUGUAUCGUCGUCAGUGUCUUCAUCAGACUCAUAUGACUUGGUCUUAUAGUUGUCCCAAAUAGUAAGAGCAUCAGACAAAUCCCAUUUUACAAUAUCCACUCCUGUUUUGUUCAGCUUAAUUAUAUUAUCUCCUCCAUAAAAUCUUGCUUUUACAAGAACUAUGUCGCCACCUUUCAAAUUGAGCUUCUUGUUUGAAAGAUUUCCCAACCAAAGAUAAUAUUCAUGGGAAGCAGUUAUGGCGGCCUUAAUUGUCCAGAUGCUAAAAUGAGUUCGUUGGGUACGAUUAACAACAUCAAUGCAUAGAUCCCCAGUAGAGUUGGAGUUGUCUGAAGAAUAAAUGAUGCCCAAAGCCAACCCUCCUAUAUAAUCAAUACUUGGCGGCACUUCAAAUUUGACAGUUUUAUCCUCUCCCGCGACAUAGGCUAACCAGUUAGGAAUAUCAUUUCCAGAGAGAAAAAUUCCACCAAAUGCAUUUUUCUACAACAUGGGGUGCAAAGUCAGUAUAAGCAACAAUACAAAAAGCAGAGAGAGAGAGAGAGAGUACCAUACCGUUCGGAGGUUCUCCUUAAAAGUAUCAGUGAGACUGGUACACCCUUCCAUUUUAAUGUAAAUUAUCGAACCCAUGUAGUCCAACGAGUUCUUAAAUUUUGGAAUAUCUUGAGUUUGCGGCAGUCUUUCAGUAACAAUAUCCUCAUUUUCGACAUCUCUGAAAUGUCGGACAUUAUUUCCAGUGCAGUGCAGUAAUUCGCUUGCAGUAAAAGCAAACUGUUCGGCAAAUCUGGGAUUUCCUGAAGGUUUGUGCAAUGAUCGAGAAUUAAUACCAGAAGCUGAGAAAGGCCACUGAGAAUGGGUAGCCUAUUAAAACCAUUCCCACCUAGACCUAAAAAUGUUAAAGAAGAUAGACUCCCAAUUAUUUCGAGAACGGCACCAUCUGUUAUAUUGCAGUCACUGAGAUCUAAUACGUCAAUCAUCUUCAGUUGUGCUAAAAAAUGGUAACCCCCACACAAACCCUUACAGCCACUGAGCUCCAAUUUAUUGAGAUGUGGGAGUUUUGAAAAGUCUGGUAAUUCAGUCAGGUGAUGACAGUCGUUAAGAAGGAGAUACUUCAACUUCUUAGGCAACUGUUACUCAAAAAGAGAAAACAAUAAUAAAAAUUCAAAUAAAUAAAAGAGAGAAUGCAUGAUGAUGACUGAUGUUGAUAUUUACAAGGACAUUGAUAAUUAUAUCGUACCAGGUCCGAAUCCUCCCAAACUCGUACGAUCUUGCUGUUGCUCAGGUUUAAAUAAACUAGGUUUCGUUGAUCAAAAUCUGCUGGUAUGGCUUCAAGAGGAAAUCCAAUCCAAUCCAACGCUCUUAACUCCUUGGAAAGAUGUUUGUAGCUUCCAGUCAGCUUUACAUUAGCCAGGUCGAGAAAUUUCAGACGCCACAUCUUCUUAAACGCUUUCGUACUGAAGCUUUGCUCGUCAUCAGAAUGUUCUGGCAAAAAUAAGUGUAGUCCUUCAACUGCUUCUGUUCCCUGUUAGAGAUCCAAAAUAAAAAAGGAUAAUAUUCACACGAAGCAUAGCUGUGAAUUGGAUGAAUGAACUACUAGAAAGGUAGGGCAUACAACAUAAUUAUGUAUUCUCUCUUUCAAUUUACAAUGGAUGAAAGCCUUUUUUCUUAAAAUACACUAUGUACAACAUACAUUAUAUAUAUGCGGAUAUGCGUAUAUACUUCUCUUUAUUUACAUGUACUUAACAUAACAUCUUUUCAUUGCAAAAGUACUUACAGAUUCGUUCCUUAGCACGCUUUUUGCAUCUUCACUAUGCCACAAAUGACUACGUUUUCCCAAUUUCACAGGAGAUUCUGCCCGCACAAUUUCUCUUCCCAUAUCUCGAAUCAAAUCAUGCAUCCUCAAUCUUUUCCUUUCAUCAAUAUAUAGGAGACAUCGAUCGCAGAGUGUGGUAAUUUCUGCUUCUACAGAAAAACGACUACAACCAUCCAAUACUGGAGUGGCCACACUUAUAUGCACUCCAAUAAAGAAAUUAGAUAUGUCUAGGAACACACCCUUCUCAUGAUCAUCACGUAGUCCAUCGUAGCUUAAUUUAAGCGUUUCAUGAAUUUUUCCGUCUGGAAUAUUUCUCAAUUUAUCCAAUGUACUUUCCCAUAUGGUUUUACUCUUUUUCUUAGCCAACAAACGACCAACAACUUUCAGAGCUAGGGGCAAUCCUCCACAAUAAUCAACAAUAUCUCUUGCCAAUUCAAUAUAUUCUUUAUCGGGAUAAUCAUUUCCAAAGGCAUGCCAACUAAGGAGCUCAAAAGCUUCUUUCUCUGUCAUUGCUUGUGCCUUAUAUUUUUUAUCCACCUUUUGUAUAUUCAGCACAUGUUCAUCUCUUGUUGUUAUAAUAAUUCUACUCCCUGGACCAAACGAUUCAUGUUCUAUUGCCAAUUCAUCUAAUUGGUCUGCAUCAUCUAUGUCAUCAACCACGACAAGUACCUUCAUGCUUCCAAGUCUUUUCUUGAUCUCUUUGGUCCCUUCGGCAACACUGCUUACCUUAAUGUCAGGCUGUUUUAAAAUAUCUCGAAGAAGUUGUUCUUGCAAACUAACCAUCGCUUUCUUUUUACUCCUCACAUCUUCAAGGUAACAUUGACGACUAAAACUAUGCUGAUAAUUGCUACAAACGGCUCUGGCAAGCAUUGUUUUACCUAUACCGCCCAUACCACAAAUUCCAAUUAUUCGAACAUCAGGUGAACCUCCAACGUCUAAGUAUUUAGUACAAAAUUCUUGCAAGCGAAAAGCCAUUCCAACUAAGUGCUUGGCUUCUUUAAAGUCUGUGGUUUUCAGUAGUCCUUUGACGUCCCCAACAAUUUUCUCGAUAAACACCCCUUCACACCUACGAGUAGAAAUUCCAAAUUACGAGAGCCAUACUAAAUGCCUUAUUCAUAAUGACUAGAUAUUUACAUAUUGAAACAUAUUUGAAUAAACUGGAUUAAUUGAGCUCAAUUCAACCACGUAUCCAAUCUUUGAUUAUAAUGUGAAUACAUUAGAUCAUUGGUGAUUUGACUAUUAUGCAAUUGUAGCUUUCAGUAAUAUAAUUAAGAAUCCAUUACAAUUGGUAUUUUAAAUUGAUAAAGUGUGGAGCAUUUGUCCUUCACACACCCAUAAAAAACAAAGCACGUACCCUGCGCUUCACUUCCUUAAUUUCCACGGAAAUUAUUAUGCAAAUGCUCUACCUUUUAUAAAAUUCAUAUACCAAUUGUAAUAAAUUUUUAUGUAGGGACCAAAAUUACAGUUCUAUUAUAGUUCAGAGAUCAACGAUCCAAUUUUUCUUAUGACAUAUAAAAUCAGAUUCAAUGCCUUAAUUAUAAUAUCUUAAUUUUGGUUGAUUAGUGAAAUAUGGUGAUAUGAAAUUUGAAGUAAACAAAAAAGUAUACCCGUCGGCCGUGGUUUUGAGGUUCCAGCCGGCCAAAUCUGCAGAAGCCUUAAGAUCCUCUCUCCACUGCUUGACCUCAUUUGGAUCUUCAUCCUUUUCAUGCUUCUGAAAUGCUUCCCCAAAACUAUCUUUCUGUUUCCUGACUUGAGAAGGGUCAACGUCGUAGAAUAUUGGACACACUAUCUUCCCCUCUUGAUCUUUUAGGCACCUCAUGAUCUUCGACAGCUCCCUCAGGCACCACCGGGACUCCGCGUACCUCUUCGAGAAGACGAUGACAGCGAUCCUCGACCCUUCGAUUUCUUGGUCAAGUUCACUCUGUAUGUCUUCCCCCCUUCUGAGCUGUUUGUCUAUAAACGUGUUAAUUCCGGCAUUGCGUAACGCAAUGAAGAGGUGGUCUGUGAAGGUGUUGCGGGUAUCUUCGCCUCUAAAGCUCAGGAACACCUCGUACUUCCAGCGGUUUGAGCUCUGCGAGGAAGACGAAGAGGCGGCAGAGCCAGCUCCUUGGGCGGAGCUGCUGGUAUCCAUUGCAGACCGUAGAAGUGCAGCUUGGCUUUCAAAUAACCAAAGUCAAGUCUUUACCCAGUGUCGGUGGCCGUUUUAGAUAUUUUGCAUGGGCCAAUAAUGUCACUGCUGUGUCGAUAACGCGCUCCCACAGUUUAAUUUGUAUAAAUGCUUUACGAUGCAAUUUCCUUUCUUUUGUAGUCUUUUGAGAAUCUGCCGCCCAACUUUGACCGGUUGACGAUCUUAUUGUAUUAUAAGAUGUGCAUUUUGAUUAUCAUCAUUUAAUGUGAUGUAUGUUCAUCAAAUUAUUUAUUAUUAUUAGAUGAGUUUAAAUUUUAAGAUUUGUACUUAUGCACUACCCACCCGAAUCUCGAAAUUCAAACACAUUUAACGAUGAUAAAUAGAAUGAUAAACAUAUAUCAUACUAAAUAAUGGUGAGCAAAAAUGCUCCCGUAUUUUAAGGGUGGUGCGCAGCACGUUCCAACUGUUGGAGUCAGUAGUAUCAACGGGAAGAGACCUCAUCUCCAACAACCCAUCUUAACAAAAAAUGCAGAAAAUUAAACUCCAACAGGCUAACUAAAUGACUCUUUAUUUUGUGAACGGUAACUAACUAAAUUUAACCAGGAGACAUUCGUAGCUUACGUCAAAAGGAUCAAUGUUGUAAUAUAAGUAAUUUACUUGCUCAAAAUAAGGAUCAAUUUAGCUACGAAAGCAGGGAGAUGAUCGAGCUCACGAUAGCAGAUUUUUUUAUCCUAUCGUCUUGCAAGGGAAACAAGCUACCAAUUGCUUGCAUCAUCUGAAGCCAUCCAACUAAUGGUUGAAUUUCUCAGUCAAGACUAUGCUCAAGGCAUCAGUGUGCAGGCCAGACUCGACAGCAUAGCCACACUACACAACCUCUCGCGCUGCCAUCAGAUUAUUCCGUCUCUGGUCUCUUCGGGCGUAGUGUUUUCAAUGCUAAAACUGCGGCAUGGAAGCUGUUUCUUUUUGAGACUGUUCCAAUUAUGGUUCGAGAAACAAGCAGUCAAGGAAUAAGUUGAUGGGGUGAGUACAACGGCAUUGAGACUGUUCCAAUUAUGCAGGAAGUUGAUGCAGAAGGAGAAAAAGUUGACGGGGUAAGUACAACGGCAUUGAGACUGGUAGAGGAGAAGCUUGCAAAGAUCAGCAGUGGACGAUAAUCUCGACCAAACUCUGAGCUUUGCCAAGCAGAUUAAGAUGUUGGAACAGCCGUUCAUCUUGUUUAUUGAACAAACGAGGAGGACAACAAUGCAGAAUCAACGCUUGAAUUCAAAGUCCCAACAGGCAAAUCGAAAAUAAUCACAAGAGCUUAGAAAAUACCACACCAACAUUUGGCAAGCAGUCUCACAACAAAUCCCACUAUCAAGAUAAAACCAUUCAACGGUGUGUUGGAACAACAGAUUUCAGUUGUGUAAGCAAUCAACAUAAAGGAACAGUGAAUACUUUUGUAACUAUAUAUGGAUUAGCUUCGGGAAUUCAUCAAACCCUCCGAAAAAGAACGUAUAGUGUAGCUACCAUAUUCUCCUUUCAUAUAAGAGCUUAUUUAAUUGACGUUAUAACACCUUUCUACAAAGAAAAAAAAGAAGAAAAUAGGGCCUCUACACCCAUGGCAAAACCCGACAUGGAUUAGAGUACGUUUCAGCCUGACCUUCUGUAAAAGCUAUAGGCCACAGCCACUGUUGCCACAGCUCCAACCACGGCAGCAGCUGCGAGAACAUCGCUUUGCUCCCAGUUCCCGAUCAAGCUUGACAGCUUCCCUAAGGCAUCCUUCCUGGCACACGACUCUCUGGUUUCUUUCACCUUCUUUUCCUCACUUCCAUUGUUCUGCUCUAAACUUACUUCUUUGCAGCAUGUAAAUCCAUUACUAUUAGCACCCUGGCAACAGCCUGAAAAGUUCUCAUUAUUCUGAAUCUGAUUGCCGUUUUCUUAGGGCUUCUCCUCCAUUUUCUUACUUUCUCCUCCAUUUGGAAGCUUCUGGUCAUUAAUUUUUUCAGCUUCAUCCGAAGAUGCUCCCAUUUGGCCCCUGUAAGGAAUGAAAUUGAAUUUCGAGUUCAGCCAUUUAAAGAUUCAACUCUAUGUUUCAUCAAUAGCAAUCGAGUAAGGACAUGUAUGAUCAAGCUUAAUAAACAAUUUGACAACAGUACCUACUUGACCCCGUCCCCCCUUCCCCAAAACCACCUUUGGUUUGGUUCUAUAAAAAAAAAAAAAUUGUUUGAUUUGGUUCACACGAGUUGUUUGAUUUGGUUCCUCAAUGUUAAUGUAACUCCAUAUCAAUAAUCUAUCUUCCAACACUAUAAGUAAUCAGCAAUAGGAAAAUAUGACAACAGAAGCUUCAGUUCCAGUGAACUUUUCAUCAGCAGACGGUUGGCAAAACCGAAAACACACAAUCCUCCAAAGUCGUUCUAUGAUCUCUCCCUUCCCAAUAUGCUGAUCAAGCAAUUCCGGCACAUCCUUAGGAGUGACGUAGCCAUACCUGCAAUUAUUAAUACCAUAAUAUUCAAAUUCCUUCAUCUAUCCCAAUACAAUAAAUUUUACAUUGUUAUGAUCCGGAUAUUACCAAUGGCCUGUUAUGCUUCCAUCUGAACCUGGGCUGUAGACAAUCAAGUUUCCAGCACACUUGUGGUCUCCAAUGUGAGAGCAAGCAGUAACAAAUACCUGAUUUGUCAAUCCUCGCAGCUCAGCCUCCUCUUUGAACUUAUCAAUGAGAAUAGGUCCACAAACUCCACAUUUUUAUCUCGACUUCCAUGUAGACCUGUAAACGGGUUAGGUUUAUUGGGUUUGGGUCGGGUUGAACCCGACCCGUUAAGUUAACGGGUCACCCGAACCCGACCCGUUAAGCUAACGGGUCACCCGAACCCGACCCGUUAAGCUAACGGGUCACCCGUUUCACCCGUUAACACCCGUUAACAAUUAUUAUUAUUUUUUUUUUGCAUAAAGUUUAUUUUUUGUUAUUAAAACUUUACUAAAAUUACUAAAAUAUCCUCAACUAACGGGUGCUAACGGGUGUUAACGGGUCUAACGGGUUGACCCAAAGUGACCCGUUAUUUAACGGGUGUUAACGGGUUCACCCGUUAGCGACCCGACCCGUUAAGCAUCCACCCAAAUACAAAUAUUAACGGGUUGGGUCGGGUUAACGGGUUGGGUCCAAAAUGCCAGGCCUACUUCCAUGUGCACAUACAAAUACAUGGGAGCCAGUCAACGCCUCUUGCACUACGGAAGCCCAUGGUUUGUCGUUCACAAGGACAUCAAUUGGUUAGAAACCAAGCCAUGUUACCGGCACACAGCCUCAGAGUAAACAAGGAAAAUUUCAAGGUAUCAACACUAAAACUAGUCCAAAACACACUAAAUUAGCUCAAUUCGAGACUUCGUAAAUUGAAAUGGGAAAAUCAUAAACUCUAUCUCUAGUUAGCAAUCAUCGAAAUCUCCUAGUCAAAUAAAGCAAAUCUGAAGAAUCAAAACACCACUCACUGGUUAAUUAUCUAAAUCCUAUAAAUUUCGGUUAAAAUUAAGCAACUACAGAACAAAAACAUCUUUACCUGUAUUUGAUCAUUUGUGGGAAAAUCAACACUUCGCCGUCGGAAAACUCAGUUCCUUCGCGUCCUUUAAUUACUGUCGGGUCUAUCAAAAACCAAGAAAAAAGUGAGUAAUGGAGUCAACUCAGCUCAACACCAGAACUCAGUAGCUCCAGUAAAUAAGAAACGGCAAGAAAAGCGAAACGCCGACGAGUUGAACUGCAAAACGGACCUUAACGGCGAUGUCGUUCUUGCGAGCUUUGAGAGCGGAGGCGAAGAACUUAGGGAGCAGAACGGACUCAGAGCCUUCGACGCACGACGGCCAGGCCUCGGGGGUCUUGUAGCAGAGUAAGACGUGGCGGUCGUACGCGUUGACAGUGCCAGCAAGUUUUUCCUUGCACAUCUCCAAUCUCUUGAAACCGAACCUCUCGUCUUCGGUGGCUGGAACGGCGACGUCGAGGUCAUCGGAGACCAUUGCUAGGGCUCGGAGAGGAGGGAGGGGUUUACCAGGGGUUGAAGUUGAAAACGAUGAGAGGGAAAAGAUGAGAGAGAAAGAGCGUUGUUGUUUGGUUGUUGUGUUGAUAUAACGAGGAGGCUGAGAAGGGAACCGCGGUGUCGGUGUGGGUGUAGGUGCGUGCGCAACACAUACGGCGCACGAUGGGGUUUCUGAAGAUCGGAGUCGGGACGCGUGGGAUUGGGCACGUGGGGUUUGAUUUGUAGUUCAUGUAUAUACCUCUUUUUUGAGAAUAAAGAUUUUUUUUGGAUCCUCUUUGUAGGGAUUUUAUAGUUUGUGUAUCGUAUUCAUUCAUUGUAAAUCAGACGGUUAGAAAUUACUUUAAAUCUAUAAAUUUAAAAUUAAACACAAAUAAUAUUUAAAGAAAAUUGACUGCAUAAUUAAUACGAUAAACGAACACAAUUAAAAAAUUCUCAGAAUCCUCGUAAAAAGAAUCCGAACUCUUUUGAUGUCUCCGAUCAUAUCGGACGGAAGCUAAAAGAUAAUUCGUGCACGCAAAAAUGGAAGGUCCUACAAACGGAGGAGGACCACUCUCUAUUCCCGGGAAGUGGGGUACAAGCGCGUAUGUAUAUAUCACCCAAUGGGGCACCAAUAUGUUGUACUAGCAGGGAACUGAAUGAGGUGAAAUUGGAAAAUCCCUUAAACUUGGUGAUGUGGCGACCUGUGAUUCGGCCUUCACAUUCUGUCAAGAAACAGGCCGGUCACUUUGUUGAUUAAGUCAAGCAGUCAGCCUUAGCCCGACGUGGACAAGUUCUGGAAGUCUUGUUUCGCUCAUUUAUUUAUUUCUUGUCAAUGACGUGUAAUAUUUGAUUUCAUUUGUUUUUUUGGUGGACUAAUAUUAAAUAUACUUUUGUCAAUGAAUUAAUGAUACAAUUUAGAACGGUGAUAUUCACACAUUUUGCACAUAUUCUUCAAUUUGAUAGUUGAAAAUUGAGAAGAAUGUGUGUGAAAUGUAAAAAGAACGUGUAAAUAGCAUAUCCCUACAAUUUAAUAUAAAGGAAUGUAGAUUUCAAACAACGAUUGUUUUUUAAGGUAACGCUUUUGUUCUUGAUUUUUCAUGUUUGAGCUUGAAAUGAACCGCUUUCAUAAUCUAUUGUAUUACUUUGUGUUCAGUUGAAUAAAGUAUCUUUUUCCAACGAAAAAUAAACGGAAUGGCAUUUAAAUAAGGAGUGUAGAGAGUGUAUGCGUAAGGAAAGAGGCAUGCAAAAUUCAUUUCAGCUCAUACAUCUUUGUGUUGCUUAUGUUGGUCUUUCAAUUAAUUAUGUUGAGAGUGAGGAAAUAAAUUGUACUUAGCAGUGUCAAAUUACAACCCUAAUCGAAAAACGUCUUGUUCGCCGGACCUACUCGACUGCUCCGAACAAUGUAAGGCCGAAAGGCGGACGAUACAUAAUCGGGUUUUUUCGAAGUAGGCAUUCAUAAACAUCAAGGAAGCAUACUUGGUAGAAAAUGAAAGAUCCUCAACUUCAUUCCUCAAAUUUUCAAUGCAAUUGAAUUUCCUCAAAUCUAAGGAACUACCAGAUUGUAAUGCUUGCAAUGGAAGGGAACCAUUGUGUACAUGUAGCAUCCACAUGAAUCAGUUGGAGGCUUGUUGGAGUUUUUAACGGAAUGACCAAAAUGAUGGAUGGUAGACAAUCUCAAGGACCACUUUUGAUUAUUUACCCUUCUAUUGAAUUUGCAAAGGGGAAGAAGUUUUAAAUCCAUUACAAAAGAGAUAAUUGCAGCAUGAUUGAUAACAUGCUCAUCACGUGAUUGGGUUCCUAAAAUUCCCAGGUUGUUGCAGGCUUCCUCGUCCUUGUAGAAUAUUUUGUUCAACAAUUCCAGAGAAAAACAAUUAUUCGAUUCGUUUCAGGUAACAGAUGAGUAGCUUAAUUCAAAACUUGUUUUCGUUCUAGAAGUUUAGAUUAUACAAGUGAAUGGUCAAUAUGAUAUACUCGAUAAAAUUACAUGUCUCCUUUUAAAUUUAAAGUUCAUUAUUUUGAAGUGAUUUUUGGAAUUUAAUUUUUCAAUUUAUUUGAUUGAGAGGUGAGGAAUUGGAGAUAAUUAAUUAUGUUUGGGGGUUAACUGGUAUCCUCUAGAAUAUGUUUUUUUUUUUAAUGAGGAAUCCUCUAGAAAAUGUUUAACUUUAUUUUAAAUUUUCAUGUGGUUUUGGCUUCAAUGAGGCAAUGGCAUAUGUGUAAAUAAACAAAAGUUUAAUUCUAACCUAAGGGGGCUGACGGAAGUCAGGGGCAUGGAUGGAAAAGGAGUUUCUUACUUUGCACGUGGGGCUUUAUUGUUUGGGUUAUUCCUCCUAGCUUUUGUCAUUUUCAUUAAAAUUUAAAUCUUUUUAUUAAGUAAAAUUAUUAAAUAGUUUUUUUAUUAAGAAAUUGUUAUUAGGAUUCUAAAAAUCUCAUUUAGCAUUCUAAAUUUUUUAUAAUUAGAAAAAAAAAUACACUUAUAAGAAGUGUAAAUGAGAUUUUUGAAAUGCUAAUAACAAUUCGAUUUUAUUAAUAAAAAGUUUGAAGAAGGCCUUUUCAUUAAAAUUCCCCCAAAAAAAAAGGAGUAUGCUUCUUCCUAAAACGCUUCUUUAGGCCAUAUAAACAAACAGUGAGACGUAAAAACAUGCCCCAACCUCAAAUAUUUCUCUCACAAACAAGGAGAGAAUUUUCAGUGUGACCGGUACACAAGGUGGUACACCACGUAUCACUAAACAAAUAAUAGGAUAUGUGUGCUAAAAAGUUAAUAACUUAAAAAAUAAAAUUUCCCACUAUUCUUAUUAAAACACGUGAUGUAUCACUUAUAUUCCCGUCACAACUAAAAAUUUCCCUACAAACAGAGAGACGUAAAAACAUGCUGCCAUGGGCUUCAGAGAGGAAAAAAGAUCAGGAAAAAAAAUGACCUGAUUGGGUAAGACUUGUACACAAGUUUGUAGUAAAUGUCUACGUACCUUCCUUACAAGUCUGUCUCUUUACUGUGCUUUCCUUCAAUUCACUGUUGUUUCUUCAUCGUCAAAGCUUUCAAUAUUAAGAUCAAACCUUAAUGUUUUGCAGACCUCAUCAGAUGAGUGAUCUCUUAACUCUGUACCAUUGUGGGUGUCGUCAUCAAACUCAUAUGGUAUAGUCUAAUAGUCUGCCUCAUCAGUAUCAUCAUCUCACUCUAAUGGUACACGCUCAUAGUUCACAUUUUUUAUUUCUGAAGGUAAACAAUGUUCCCAUCCUACAAAAUUCACUCCUGUUUUCUUCACCUUACGAACCUUGUCCCCCCUUUUCAGAUUGAGCUUCCUGUUUGAAAGACUUCCCAGCCAAAGAUAAUCUUCAUGGGAAUCAGUUAUGGUGGCAUCCAUUCACCAGAUGGAAAAAUAAGUUCUCUGGGUAACCACAUCGAGGCAUAGAGACCCACUACACUGGGAUGGUCCGAAGAAUAAACGAUGCACACAGCCAACCCUCCUAUAUAAUCAAAACUUGGCGGCACUUCAAAUUUGACAUUUUCUUCCUCUCUCACGACAUAGGUUAACGAUUAAGGAAUAACAUUUCAAGAGCGACAAAUUUCACCAAAUACAUCCCCCACCUUCCAUUUCUACAACACGGCGUGCAAAGUUUGUAUAAGCAAACAAUACGAGAAGGGCAGAGCGAGAGAGAGAGAGAGAGAGAGAGAGAGAGAGAGAGAGAGAGAGAGAGAGAGUAUCAUGCAACAAAACAUAAAAACUCAUCUGGGAGAAUUAUGACUCUUGUGAAUUGGUAGUAUUAUCGAUGCAUAUGUUAUAUGAUCUUCAAACUCGCUAUAGCGUGACUUUUUUUUUUUGUAUCUUUUUCAUCAACUUCAUUUGUUUUUUUUUUUUUUCAAGUAGAGCUGAUAAACUUAAAAUUUAUCCACAACCUAAAAAAUGGAAGAAAAAAAAAGAGGUGGAUGUACAAAAUCCUUGCUAUGCCCUCUAUAUUCAACAGAACAAUAAAUUGAGUUAACGGAUAUAAUUGAAGUACCAUAUUUGAUUGUGUUUGAGAACCAUAAUAAGGAAAAAAAAAAACUACUCUAGAAUGAAGGUAAAACUCGUGACAACAAUGGUGUACAUCUAAAAAAUAGUUCAAGCAGAUUAAGAUGUUAGCGCAUAGACAAAUAUCUCGUUUAUUGAACAAACGAUGAGGAUAACAAUGCCGUUUUCUCUCUUUCGAAAUUCAUAAACAACAAAAUUGAGAUUUGUUACACAAAAAUUACCAUAAAUUUUGACAGAAUUGGCGGUUGAAAUAUAAGUCCAGCAUCCAAAUCGAAAACAAUCAUAGGAGCUUAGAAAAUACCACAUCAACCUUUAGCAAGUAGUCUCAUAAGAAAUCCCAAUCAAGAUAAAACCAUUCAACAGUUUAUUAGACUUCUCCUUUCAUAUAAGAGCAUGGUUCGGAGGAUAAUUUAAUUGACCUCAUAACAUCUUUCUACAAAGAAAAAAUGAAAAAGAAAAUAGGGCCUCGACACCUGUGGCAAAACCCGACAUGGAUUAGAGUACUUUUCUGCCUAACCUUCUAUAAAAGCAAUAGGCCACAACUACUAUUGCCACUGCUCCAAUCAAGCUUGACAGCUUCCGUAAGGCAUCCUUCCUGGCACACGACUCCCUGGUUUCUUUCGGCUUUUUUUCCUCACUUCCACCGUUCUCCUCCAAACUUACUUCUUCGCAACAUGUAAAUCCAUCACUAUUAGCACCCUGGCAACAACCUGAAAAGUUCUCAUUAUUCUCAAUUUGAUUGCCCUUUUCUUGGUGAAUCUGAUUGCCAUUUUCUUGUGGCUUCUCCUCAAUUUUCUUAUUUUCUUCUCCAUUUGGAAGCUCCCGGUCAUUGAUUUCUUCAGCUUCAUCAGAAGAUGCUCCCAUUUGGCCCCUGUAACAAAUGAAAUUGAAUUUCGUGUUCAACUAUUUAAAGAUUCAACUCUAAGUUUCGUCAAUAUCAAUUGAGUAAGAACAUGUAUGAUCAAGCUUAAUAAACAAAUCACAACCACAUUACAAAUAAAAACAUAUACAGGGUAAUGCAGUUAUAUCCAAUUCUUUUGUGCUUUCUCCACAAAAGUUCCUCCAUGUUAAUGUAACUCUAUAUCAAUUAAUCUAUCAUACAAGACUAGACAUAAUCAGCAAUUGAAAACUACGACAACACAAGCUUCCGUCCAGUGAAAAUUUCAUCCAAAGAUAGGCAAAACCAAAAACGUACAAACCUCCACAGUCGUUUUAUAAUCUUUCCCUUCCCAAUAUGCUCAUCAAGCAAUUCCGGCACAUCAUCAGGAGUGACGUCGCCAUACCUGCAAUUAAUAAUACAUUUUAUUCAAAUUCCAUUGAUCCCAAUACAACAAAAUUUUAAAUUGUUAUGAUCCGAAUAUUACCAAUGGCCUGUUAUGCUUCCAUCUGAACCUGAGCUAUAGAUAAUCAUGUUUCCAUUGUGGCCUCCAGUGUGAAAGCAAGCAGCAACAAAUACCUGAUUCGUCAAUCCUCGCAGCUCAACCUCCUCUUUGAACUUAUAAAUGAGAACACGUGCACUAUCAUGAUUCCAUUCCUCUCGACUACCUUGUGCACAUACAAAUACAUGGGAGCCAGUCAACGGCUCUUGCACUCUGGAAGCCCAUGGCUUGUCAUUCACAAGGACAUCAUCAACAAAGUUGUCCACAUCCGACUCUUUCAAACCCCUUUGAUCAAGAAACAAAAACAAUCCCAAAAUCACAAAAAGGAAUUUACAGGAAACAAUAACCUAACACUCUUUAAUUCCUUAUAAGGCAAGGAAUUAGUCUUAAAUUGAGUCAUUAAAUUAAAUUUCUAGUACUAAUUUCAGAAGAUAACACAUAUCUAAUUAUCUACUUAGUUCAUGACAUUUAGCACAAUUUCGUAAUCAAAAGAGAAGUCGAAACAGAAAUUACUUCAGUCAAAACUAGGAAAAUAAAUUGCACUGCUCAUCUUGGUUAUGGAAUGGGCCCUUGAUUAUGAAUUAAUUACGGUUUGCCAUUGUGUGCGCUAGUGUGGGCCGUGCUUAACAACUGGGUUGGGCUGCUGCAUUUGGGCACAGGGUGCAGCUCUCAAGCGUUUUGGGCUGGGUUUCACCGAAAGAUCCAAUAACUAUUUUGCCCCCUUCAGUCCUAAUCCAACGGCCACCAUUUUGGGCGUUUGUGUUCUGCAAUUCAGUGGUUGGGGGUUGGGGGUUGUGGUGGGGGGGGGGCGUCAGGAUCUCUUCAAGGAGAUCGUGCAGAGAGGCAGCGAGAUGUUUCGGUUCUGUCUUCUUCGACUCUUAUAUCGUCCCUUUUUUCUGAAUUUUCUUUAUUUCUUAUCCUUUAAACUUUGUAUUUUUUUUUUUGGUGAUGCAGAUAGAUGAACAUGUUCAAAGGGAAAUCAUGAACCACAGAUCACUGCAUCCGAAUGGACCGAAUAUCGUUUGAUUCGAAGAGGUCAGUGAUCAUAAACUAUUUUAUAAACUAUUUUCAUUUUGUUUUUUAAGAAUGAAUUCGGCAAGUUCUGUUUGAAUUUUGUAUAAGUAUCUGCUGAUGGUGGGUGGAUGAAGACAGAACAUGCUAAAUUUGGCCUUUGGUGUGCUCAAACUGGUACGGGGGAUGGUUAAAACUUUGAGCCUGGGAUGCAGUAGGACUAACAGAAAUCCACCACUUGCAGAAUUGUUGUCAAAAUAACUCUGCUAAAAAUAUGAGCUAUACUUCUUGCACUUUGUUUUUACUGUGAAGUGGAAAUAGUCUUUAGAGUGGCUUAUUUGUGAUAAUUGAUAAAGAGGUUUGUGUUUAAGACUUGAGAGUAGUGCGGUGUCUUUCUCGCUGGUUCUGCUCACACCACCUCAUCUAGCCAUUGUGAUGGAGUACACGGCUGGGUGAGAACUCUUCGAGAGAGUAUGCAGUGCUGGCAGAUUUAGUGAGGAUGAGAUAAAGUAGUUUCAAAUGCACAGAAAAUUUCAUUGGAAUUGAUUUUAGUGUAGAGUCUCAAAUAUGGGAUCUCUAAAUGUCCCCUGAAAUGGAAUCCAUCUCGAUUUUUGCUUAGUUUCAGAUAGGGAAGGUUAUGUCUGAAGCAUUUUUACAUAAACAAUCAGUCAUAAUAUAACAAAAACGAACUUACUUUUUCGAUAUAAUUGUUGUUUUGCAUCAGGCAAGGUUUUUUCCUCCAGCAAUUGAUAUCAGGAAUUAGUUGCUGGCUUUUGAUGGUAUGUAAUGUGGCACUUUUCUGCUAAUCGUAUACUGUUAUUUCUCUUUUGAUAUUGGAAGUGUUGGUUGUAGUAAGGAAAUAAUUCGUUUCAAUAGUUUACGACUUAGUUUUAAUAGUAUAUGACUCAGUUUUUGAAUAGCACUCGGGUGGUUUUUGAAUAACAGUAUUACGACUUAGUUUUCUAAAUGCCAAUAACAGCUCUAGAUUUUGUCUCAAGUGGAGUAUUCUUACUAAUGUAGCAUUUUGUUGGCGCAUCAGUAUGUUUUGAUUGUUUCUCUGCUUGAACAGAGAAUUGUUAACGUCCAGGUGGGAACGUGGGUUGGCUCAUGUUUUAAUCUCUCCGUUGUAAGCAAUUUUACAUGGUAUUCUUCAAUGUAGCUAUAGGUAAGACAACAGUCUCAGUAUUCCAUAAUCUAACCACCAUUUGAACUUUUUUCAUCCACCAAGCUAAGCUUUUAUGUGCCAUCUUGAAUGGUUAUUAUAAGUUAUUGCUUCAGAUUACUCCAGUGCGACAUUAUUGUUCUCUUCCUUACCUCUCAAGCUUGCUUAAUGUCCUUAUUCUUAUUACUGUUGUAUUGUUAAGAAAUACUCAAAUGCGGUUUCAGUUCAUCAUUAUGAAUCAGAUUAAAAUUAACCACUCACUGGUUAAUUAUCUAAAUCCUAUAAAUUCAGAUUAAAAUUAAAGCAACUACAGAACAAAAACCUCAAGAAAUCAACACGAAUUUACCUGUAUUUGAUCAUUUGUGGGAAAAUCAACACAUCGCCAUUGGAAAACUCAGUUCCUUCGCGUCCUUCAAUUACUGUCAGCAACGUCUAUCAAAAACCAAGAAAAAAGUGAGUAACGGAGUCAAUUCAGCUCAACACCAUAACUUAGUAGCUCCAGGAACUAAGACACGGUAAGAAAAAAUAAUCGGAAAUGCUGACGAAUUGAGCUGGAAAAGGGACCUUAACGGUGAUGUCGUUCUUGCGAGCUUUGAGAGCGGAUGCAAAGAACUUAGGGAGUGGAUCGGACUCAGAGCCUUUGAUGCGCCAUGGCCAAGCCUCGGGGGUCUUGUAGCAGAGGAAAACUUGGCGAUUGCUCAACUGCGUAUCGUCCUUAGUGUCUUCAUCAGACUCAUAUGACAUAGUCUCAUAGUCGUACCAAUUAGUACGACCAUCAGACAAAUCCCAUUUUACAAUAUCCACUCCUGUUUUGUUCACCUUAAUAAUUGUAUUAUCUAGUCCAGAAAAUUCUGCUUUUACAAGAACCAUGUCACCGCUUUUCAGAUUGAGCUUCUUGUUUGAAAGAUUUCCCAACCAAAGAUAAUAUUCAUGGGAAGCAGUUACGGUGGCCUUCAUUGCCCAGACGCGAAAGUUAGUUCGCUGGGUACGAUUAACAACACCAAUGGUUAGAAUCCCAGUACAGUCAGAGUUGUCCGAAGAAUAAACGAUGCCCAAAGCCAACCCUCCUAUAUAAUCAAUACUUGGCGGCACUUCGAAUUUGACAGUUUCAUCCUCUCUUGCGACAUAGGCUAACCAGUUAGGAAUAUCAUUUCCAAAGAGAAAAAUUCCACCAAAUGCAUUUUUCUACACCAUGGGGUGCAAAGUUAGUAUAAGCAACAAUACGAGAGAGAGAGAGAGAGAGAGAGAGAGAAAGAGAGAGAGAGUACCGUUUUGGAGGUUCUCCUUAAAAGUAUCAGUGAGACUGGUACACCCUUCCAUGUGAAUUGAUUCCAUGUAGUCCAAUGAGUUCUCCAAGUUUGGAAUAUCUUUGAGUUUGCGGCAGUCUUUCAGUUCCAAUUUCCUCAUUUUCGACAUCUCUGAAAAGUCGGACGUUAUUUCCAGUGCAGUGCAGUAAUUCGCUUCCAGUAGAAGCAAACUGUUCGGCAAAUCUGGGAUUGCCUCAAGGUUUGUGCAAUGAUUUAGAUGUAAUUCCUGAAGCUGAGAAAGGCCAUUGAGAUUGGGCAGCCUAUUAAAACCAUUCCCAUAUAGAACUAAAUAUUUUAAAGAAGAUAGACUCCCAAUUAUUUCGAGAAGGGCACCAUCUGUUAUAUUGCAGUCGCUGAGACCUAAUGCCUCAAUCAUCUUCAGUUGUAGUAAAAAAUGGUAACCCCUACACAAACCCUUACAGCCACUGAGGUUCAAUUCCUCGAGAUGUGGGAGUUUUGAAAAGUCUAGUAAUUCAGUCAGGUUAUGGCAGUCUUUAAGAAUGAGACACUUCAACAUCUUAGGCAACUUCUUAGGCAACUGUUACUCAAAAAGUGAAAACAAUAAUAAAAAUAUAAAUAAAUAAAAGAGAGAAUGCAUGCCGAUGACCGAUGUUGAUAUUUACAAGGACAUUGAUAAUUAUAUCGUACCAGGUCUGAAUCAUCCCAAACUCGUACAAGCUUGCUAUUUCUCAGGUCAAUAAAAACUAGGUUUCGUUGAUCAAAAUCUGCUGGUAUGGCUUCAAGGGGAAAUCCAUCCCAAACCAACAAUCUUAACUCCUUGGAAAGAUGUUUGUAGCUUCCAGUCAGCUUUACAAUUUCCAGCCGGAUAAAUUUCAGACGCCGCAUCUUCUUAAACGCUUCUGUACUGAAGCUUUCCUCGUCAUCAGAAUCUUCUGGCAACCUUAAGUUUAGUCCUUCAACUGCUUCUGUUCCCUGUUAGAGAUAUAAAAAAAAAAAAUGAUAAUAUUCACACGAAGCAGAGCCGUGAAUUGGAUGAAUGAGCUACUAGAAUGGUAGGGCAUACAACAUAAUUAAUUAUGUAUUUUCUCUUUCAAUUUACAGUGGAUGAAAGCCUUUUCUUCUUUUUCUUCAAAUAUAGGCAUACAUUAUAUAUAUGCGGAUAUGUGUAUACACUUCUCUUUCUUUACAUGUACUUAACAUAACAUCUUUUUAUUGCAAAAGUACUUACUGAUUCGUUCAUGAGCACGUUUUUUGCAUCUUCACUAUGCCACAAUCGGCUACGUUUUCCCAAUUCCACAAGAGAUUCUGCCCGCACAAUUUCUCUUCCCAUAUCUCGAAUCAAAUCAUGCAUCCUCAAGUAUCCCUCUUCAUCAAUAUAUAAGAGACAUCGUUCGUAAAGUGUGAUAAUUUCUGCUUCUACAGAAAAACUACUACAACCAUCCAAUAUUGCCGUGACAAAAAUUUUACUCCAUCCAAUAAAGAAACAAGAUAUGUCAAGGAAUACACCCUUCACAUGAUCAUCACGUAGCCCAUCGUAACUUAAUUUAAGCGUUUCAUGAAUUUUUCCAUCUGGAAUAUUUCUCAAUUUAUCCAAUGUACUUUUCCAUAUGCUUUUACUCUUUUUUGUAGCCAACAACUUCAAGAGCUAGGGGCAAUCCUCCACAAUAAUCAAUAACAUCUCUUGCGAGCUCAAUAUAUUCUUUAUCUGGACAAUCAUUUCCAAAGGCAUGCCAACUAAGAAGCUUAAGAGCUUCGUCAUCAGUCAUUCCUUGUGCUUUAUAUCUUUUAUCCACCUUUUGUAUAUUCAGCACUUGUUCAUCUCUUGUCGUUAUAAUAACUCUGCUCCCUGGACCAAACGAGUCAUGUGCUAUUGCCAAUUUAUCUAAUUGGUCCGCAUCAUCUAUGUCAUCAACCACGACAAGUACCUUCAUGCUUCCAAGUCUUUUCUCUAUCUCCUUGGUUCCUUCGGCAACACUGCUUACCUUAAUGUCAAGCCGUUUCAAAAUAUCUCGAAGAAGUUGUUCUUGGAGACUAACCAUAUUUUUCUUGUUACUCCUCACCUCUUCAAGGUAACAUUGACUGCUGAAACUGUGACUAUAUUUGCUACAAAUCUCUUUGGCAAACGUUGUUUUACCUAUACCGCCUGUACCCCAAAUUCCAAUUAUUUGAACAUCAGGUGAACCUCCAACGUCUAAGUAUUUAGUGUUGAAUUCUUUCACGCGAAGAGCUAUUCCAACUGAGUGCUUGGCAUUUUUGAAGUCUCUGGGGGUCAAUCGUCCCUUGAUGUCCCCAAUAAUUUUCUCAAUAAACACUCCUUCGCGCCUACAAGUAGAAAUUCCAAAUUACAAGAGCCAUACUAAUGCCUUAUUCAUCAUGACUAUAUAUUUACAUAUUGAAACAGGUUUGAAUAAAUUGUGAUUUACUGAGCUCAAUUCAACAACGUAUUUAAUCUUCAAUUAUAAUGUGAAUAGAUUAGAUCAUUGGUCAUUGGACUAUUACACCAUUGUAGCUUUCAGUUAUAUAAUUAAGAAUCCAUUACAAUUGGUAUUUUAAUUUGAUAAAGUGUGGAGCAUUUGUUCUUCACACACCCAUAAAAAACGAAGCAUUGUACCCUGCAUUUCACUUCCUUAGUUUUGACGGCAAUUCAUAUGCAAAUGCUCUACCAUUUAUAAAAUUCAUAUACCAAUUCUAAUAAAUUUUUAUGCAGUGACCAAAAUUACAAUUCUAUCAUAGUUCAGGGACCAAUGAUCCAAUUUUUCUUCUAACAUAUAAAAUCAUAUUCAAUGCCUUAAUUAUAAUUUCUUAAUUUUGGUUAAUUAGUGAAAUAACUCCGCCUGUGUAAGUUUAUCUUACAUUGCCGGUCCCAAGCCCGGGUAAAGGAGGAGGGGGGAGGGCGUCAGGUAGUCGACAGUCGGCACUACACAGUUACGUCGAAUCCUUAUGAAAAUGAAUCCAUAACGAAAUCGCGCUAAAGCUAGGGCGUCACCCGUAAGUGGCGCGCUGUGUGGCCCGAGCACAGUGAUAAGUGAGCAAGGGUCGCUGUAUCUCCAUAGGCACCCGGAUGCAGUGUUAAAUGAGCAAGGGGGCCAUAGAAACUUCUUUUUGAACGACUCCACUCAAAGUUGUUUAGGAGCAUAUGCUCCUAUCAACUUUACACGGGACACACAAAAGAAGUACUUUGAUUCCAUUGGACGGGGGAGGGUGAAGAAGCUAGGACAGAAGGGUAGAGUUCAAGAGAGUAGAAUGCGUUUAGGAACGUGGAAUAUAGGAACCUUAACGGGAAAAUCUAUGGAAGUAGUGGAAGUUAUGGUAAGGAGAAGGAUAAAUAUUAUGUGCCUAUAAGAAACUAAGUGGGUUGGUCUUAAGGCAAAGGAUCUAGAAAACUCAGGGUUUAAACUUUGGUACUCGGGCACAAAUAGAACGAGAAACGGUGUUGGCAUCAUCGUGGACAAGACCUUGACACAAGAUGUUGUAGAUGUCAAGAGGGUAGGAGAUAGAAUUAUGGCAAUCAAGAUUGUAAUAGGACAAGAACUCAUCAAUGUGAUUAGUGCGUACGCACCUCAAGUAGGGUUGGAUGCGAGUUCGAAGGAGAAAUUUUGGGAAGACCUUGGAGACUUGGUGCAAGGAAUUGCCCAGACAGAGAAGUUAUUUAUAGGAGGAGAUUUAAAUGGACACGUGGGCAGGGAGACAGGCAACUAUGGAGGUUUUCAUGGUGGCCAUGGUUUUGGGGAGAGAAACGAGGAUGGGAAAGCUAUCUUGGAUUUUGCAAUGGCAUAUGAUCUCUUCUUAGCCAACACCUUCUUUAAGAAAAGAGAAGAACAUGUGAUCACCUACAAGAGUGGGUUGUCAAAAACACAAAUAGAUUUUCUUCUAAUUUGGAAAGGGGAUCGUAUAACUUGUAAGGAUUGCAAAGUUAUACCGGGAGAGAGCUUGGCUAAUCAACAUCGCUUGUUGGUGAUAGAUGUACAUAUCAAAAGAGUGAGAAAAAAGAACAAGACUUGGAAGUGCCCAAGGACUAGAUGGUGAAAUCUAAAAGGAGAAAAACAAGUCAUUUUCAAAGAGAAAGUAAUCACCCAGUGUGGGUGGGAUAGAGAGGGGGAAGUUAGCCAAAGGUGGGAUUCCAUGGCUAGUUGUAUACGAAAAGUAGCAAAAGAGGUAUUAGGAGAGUCCAAGGGCUUUGCUCCACACCAAAAGGAAUCUUGGUGGUGGACUGAGGAGGUACAAACAAAGGUGAAGGCUAAGAAAGAAUGUUGUAAAGCCCUAUACAAGGACAUGACCGAUGAAAAUGGUGAAAGGUAUAGAAGAGCGAAGCAAGAGGCGAAGAAAGCUGUGAGAGAAGCUAAGUUAGCGGCUUAUGACGAUAUGUAUAAGCGACUAGCAAAAGAAUGAGAGUUGGAUAUUUAUAAACUAGCUAGAGCAAGGGAAAAGAAGACAAGGGACCUAAACCAAGUGAGGUGCAUCAAGGAUGAGGAUGGAAAGGUUCUUGCUACAGAGAACGCGGUCAAAGACAGAUGGAGAGGUUAUUUUCAUAAUCUUUUCAAUGAAGGACAUGAAAUGAGUACUUCUUUAGGGGAGUUGAGUAACUCAGAAGAGUGUAGAAACUACUCAUUUUAUCGUCGAAUCAGGAAGGAAGAAGUGGUUGUAGCUUUGAAGAAGAUGAAGCAUCGAAAAGCAGUGGGCCCAGACGAUAUACCGAUCGAAGUGUGGAAAGUCUUGGGAGAGACAGGUAUAGCAUGGCUCACUGACCUUUUCAAUAGGAUUUUGAAAAUGAAGAAGAUGCCAAAUGAGUGGCGAAAUAGCACUUUGGUGCCUAUCUACAAGAAUAAGGGCGACGUACAAAACUGCAUGAACUAUAGGGGUAUUAAGCUAAUGAGUCAUACAAUGAAGCUCUGGGAGAGAGUCAUUGAGCAUAGAUUGAGGCAAGAGACACGGGUUUCGGACAACCAAUUCGGGUUCAUGCCAGGGCGCUCAACCAUGGAGGCAAUCUAUCUCUUACGAAUAUUGAUGGAAAGAUAUAGAGAUGGGAAAAAUGAUUUACAUAUGGUCUUUAUAGAUUUGGAAAAAGCGUAUGAUAGGGUCCCAAGAGACAUUCUUUGGAGGAUUUUAGAGAAGAAAGGAGUACGAGUAGCAUAUAUCCAAGCUAUAAAGGAUAUGUAUGAAGGAGCAAAGACUGCCGUAAGAACUUAUGAAGGACAAACCGAAAGCUUCCCCAUAACUGUAGGAUUACAUCAAGGCUCAUCCUUAAGUCCUUACCUUUUUGCGUUGGUAAUGGAUGAGUUAAUAGGACAUAUUCAAGAUGAUCUUCCUUGGUGUAUGCUUUUCGCAGAUGAUAUAGUGUUGAUAGAUGAAACUCAGGAAGGGGUAAAUACGAAGCUUAACCUUUGGAGAGAAGUGUUGGAAUCUAAAGGUCUUCGCCUAAGCCGAUCAAAGACAGAAUAUAUGGAAUGCAAGUUCAGUGCAAAUGGAGGCCAAAAUGAGUUAGGGGUGAGGAUCGGAGAUCAGGAAAUGCCAAAGAGCGAUCGUUUUUUCUACUUAGGAUCUAUCUUGCAAAAGAACGGAGAAUUAGAUGGAGAUCUCAACCAUAGAAUACAAGCUGGAUGGAUGAAGUGGAAGAGUGCAUCCGGCGUGUUGUGUGACCGCCGUAUGCCACUGAAGCUCAAGGGAAAAUUUUAUAGGACGACAAUAAGGCCGGCGAUGCUGUAUAGCACAGAAUGUUGGGCGGUGAAGCAUCAACACGUACAUAAAAUGGGUGUAGCGGAGAUGAGGAUGCUUCGUUGGAUGUGUGGGCACACGAGAAAGGAUAAGAUUAUGAAUAAGGAUAUCCGAGGUAAAGUAGGAGUAGCCGAAAUUGUAGAAAAGUUGAGAGAAAAUCGGUUACGGUGGUUUGGACAUGUGCAAAGAAGGCCUACUGACGCUCCGGUUAGAAGAUGGGACUACGGGACAGAGGUUCAAGGCCGAAGGGGUAGAGGAAGACCUAGGAAAACUUUGGAAGAGACUCUAAGAAAAGACUUAGAGUAUUUGGAUUUAACAGAUGACAUGACACAGGACCGAGCACAAUGGCGUUCUAAGAUUCAUAUAGCCGACCCCACUCAGUGAAGAAGGCUUUGGUGUCUUUAACACAAUACGUUGGAAAUGAAGCAAAGCUUAUGUAUUGAUAUCUCCGAUAAGUUACAAAUAUGUACAUAUACAUGAGUCAAAAUAAACAAACAAGAGGGAGCCUUCACAAAGGUUGCUUAGGAGAAGUCUCAGCAGUCGGUAGAGCCCCAGAAAGAGAAGGCACCGGAGGGGGAUCAUUCGGAGCCUCAGUACUGGACAGAACCCUAGAAGGAAGAGGCAUCGGAGGUUGAUCAUUUGGAGCUUCAUUAUGCAGUACAGCCCCAGAAGACGAAGGCAAUAAAUGCCUUUGGAACAAACCCACAAACCGCUGAUGAUCAAGUAAAACUUGACCAUCAGAUUCCUUCAUCUGGUCAAGCUUCCUCUUCAUGUUUAUAACAUAGUUAUGUGCGAGCCGGUGCAACUGUUUAUUCUCAUGCUUGAGCCCGCUAAUCUCCUGUUUGAGACUCAUCACUUCAGCCGCCAAUGAUUCAACUUGGCGGGUUCGAGCAAAUAGGCGUUGGGCCAUAUUAGACACAGAACCUGCACACUGAACACUCAGAGCCAGAGAAUCCUUAACAACCAAUUCAACAGACCGUUUGGAAAGUAGUCUGUUAUCUUUGGGAGUGAGAAGGUUCCUGGCCACCACCGCAGCGGUCAUAUCAUUCUUCAUCACAGAAUCCCCAACGGUAAGAGGACCAGUAGGGGAUAAGAAGGAUGGGCGCCAUAUGUUGUCUGGAGAAGGUGUGGCUGCCUCUUCAACAAGGUUCAAGUCAAAACGACGGUCGGAGGGGCCAGACAUUUUCAAAGGUGUUGAAGAGAGAAAAGGUCAGACAAAUCAAGAUCUUAGAAGUGCAAGAAGGGAGCUUCUACUGGUGAAGAUUCAGGUGUGCUUUGAAACUUAAUGCCAGCCUCUAUAAAAAUCUGCACUUGACGGAGCUUCAGAAAUCAAAGAGGCAUCUGCCCAGAAAUCGAAGAGGCGUUUGCUUUCUCAAAAGUUGGGCUGCUCAGAGACCACGAGGGCCGAUUUCAGAAAUCGAAGAGGCGUUUGCUUUCUCAAAAGCUGGGCUGCUCAAAGACCACGAAGGCUGAUCUCAGAAAUCGAAGAGGCGCUUGCUUUCUCAAAAGAUGGGCUGCUCAGAGACCACAAGGGCCGAUCUCAGAAAUCGAAGAGGCACCUGUUUUUUUUUUUUUCAGCCUUGUCAGCAUCUGUCACAUGCACACUCAGCUUUGCUGAAAUUACGGGCAUUCUGGUGAAGUAGAAAGCACGUGAAUCUUAUUGUUCAAUCAUCCACUUUUCACACGCACCAUCAGCUCAUGGGUACCACAGAUAACUUUGCCAAAGAUCUCUGACAAAGUUUAGACACGUGAAGCUUGCAGCUCCCACUACAUCGCUAUGACCAAGAAGGGUAAAAUAAUAGCAAAGAAACAACACUAACAAAGUUUAGACACAGAAAUUUUGAAGGUCUAGCUAUCAUAUUAUUACCCACAAGGGUAAAGGAACAACAUCACGGCUGGAUAAUUGGAAAGUCCCUGUGUGUCAACCUCUGUGCUCCAUGGCAAGGUAGACUAGCAAACAUGCCCUACCUUUACUCACAUUCGAGAAAACACUCCAAACAAGAUUGCUUGCUCCAAAAUCGAAGAGGCACCGUCCUCCGAAUCUUGAGAGCCAGACUCCCAACAUGAUUACUUUCUCAAAAAUCGAAGAGACACCGCUCUCCGAAUCUCGAGAGCCAGACUCCCAGCAGGAUUGCUCUCUCAAAAAUCGAAGAGGCACCGUUCUCCGAAUCUCGAGAGACAGAUCCCCGACAGGAUUGCUUGUUCGAAAACUGAAGAGGCAUCACUUUCUCAACUUCGAGAGCCAGAUCUCCUUGGAUAAAGCUUGUCUGUAAUCUUCACACGCAACAUCAGCUUUCCAGAUACCACAGACCACUUUUUCAAAGUGCUCUGACACACGUGAAGCUGGCAGCUCCCACUACCGUGCUAUGACCAAGCAGGGUAAAGGAAUAGCAUUACUACUUGUUGUUAGGGAGACUCCUAUAUAUGUCGACCUCCAUCUUCAACGGACAGGCAGACCUGCAAAAAUGCUCAACCAUUCCUCAUAUCUGAGAGGGCACUCCCAACGAAGCCUCUCGAAAUACUCAGCUUUCUUUCCCCCCCCCCCCCCGAUAAUACCUUUGCAAACAAGCUACACCAGAGCAAGAAUAUCUCAUAUCAUCAGGGUUAAAAGCAAGAGUAUCCUAUAUCAUGCUAUUUCCCUGUCUUUUCCUUUGGCCUUGUUCUUACCUGCAAGACAAGGAGAACAUCUACCUAUGAGACAGAUAAGGCAAGUGAAGACGAUACCACACUUCGGUACUUAGAAGUUUCGUGAUUACGAUAUCAUUCUCCCACAAUAUUUCCUUAUGUCAUUUGUACUAAAUCAUUCAUUUGUACCCACUAAAGGAGAGCUUGAACCUAUGUACUUGUGUAAACCCUUCACAAUUAAUGCGAACUCAUCUACUCCAUAGACGUAGCCAAUCUGGGUAAACCACGUACAUCUUAUGUUUGCUUUCCUGUCUCUAUCCAUUUACAUACUUAUCCACCAUAAUGACCAGAGCAAUAAGUUAAUACUUUCUGUUGUACCAAAGUCCUCACUGAUUUUUUGCAUCAACAAGCCUUAAGUCCUUACCCUUUUGCGUCGCAAAUGAUAUAAGGUUGAUAGAUGAAACUCAUGAGGGGUAAAUGCGAAGCUUAACCUUUGGAGAGAAGUGGUGGAAUCUAAAGGUCUUCGCCUAAGCCGAUCAAAGACAGCAUAUAUGGAGUGCAAGUUCAGUGCAAAUGGAGACCAAAAUGAGUUAGGGGCGAGGAUCGGAGAUCAGGUAAUACCAAAGAGCGACCGUUUUCGCUACCUAGGAUCUAUCUUGCAAAAGAACGGAGAAUUAGAUGGAGAUCUCAAUCAUAGAAUACAAGCUGGAUGGAGAGGUGGUCUGUGAAGGUAGUGCGUGUCGUCACCUCUAAAGCUCAAAAACACCUCGUUCUUCCAGCGGUUUGAGCGGCACGGGCAAGACGAAGAGGCUGCGAUGGCGGUUCCAUGGACAGAGCUGAUGGUAUCUAUCGAUAAUUGGUACUAGCGUUGGGAGACUAGAGGGAGUGCAGCAGGCUGUGCGGCUUGGCUUUCAGAUAGCCAAAGCUCAGUCAAAUGUCAUCGCCUAAGUAUUAUAGAGAAACAAAAUGCGUGGAGCGAUAUGAAUAUACAUGUACAUGGCAUUGCAUAAGUUUACUACAAAAUAUGGUAACACCCUAAUUUUUAUGGACAUAGUACUAUCAGUAUUUGUGACUAUCUGCAUUGCAACUAUCCAAUAUUGCCAUGACAAUAGUUAUAUCCCAUCCAAUAAAGAAAUUAGAUAUGUCAAGGAACACACCCUUCACAUGAUCGGUACUUAACCCAUCGUAGCUUAAUUUAAGCGAUUCAUGAAUUUUUUUCAUGUGAAAUAUUUUAUUCAAUGUACUUUCCCAUAUGCUUCUACUUUUUUUCGUAGCCAACAAAUGGCCAACAACUUUCUGAGCUAGGGGCAAUCCUCCACAAUAAAGAACAACAUCUUCUGUGAUGUUGAGGUCGUUGCUGUCAACGAUCCCUUCAUCACCACCCGACUACAUGGUAAGUAAUUUACAUGGGUUUCCGCCUGUGACUGAAAACAGGUUCUCAGCUGAGUAGAUAGAAGUAUGCAGGGUUGCCAGGGCAUACAAUUCAUUAGUUGUGGGAUAUGUAUAUAUCUCGUCACGUCCCAUGCAGACACAUACCAACAUUUCAGGAUCGGGUGGAUUGAGUCUUAAAAUUGAAAAUUAGUUUAUAUGACAAAUUGAAAAAAAAAAGAAAAAAAAAAGUAAGCAAGCUCAUAUGACAUUUAAAAAAAAAAAUUCUUGUUCUCAAUUGUAGAACAUAGCUCUAACCACUUAUUGCACAAACACAUAAACCAUGACGAUGAUACGUUUGUUAGUUCUCAGUUUUUAUUUUGGACUUGGAAGUUGUGGGCACGGUGUUGCUGUUAGGAACGGAUUCAACUCUGAUGUACCUCUAACUAAUGCAUUGGUGACCGGUUCUGUCAAAACCGCUGCCAGCUUGUUCCGGUUGCAGAGAAAAAUGUGAUUUCUUGUUGCUCCAUGAUUGCUCUUUCACACUUAACAGGCAAGAACACUUACAUCUAUGAUAGGUGAAGAGAGAAAUUUCCUUGAAAUGAGGUGGUUUAUAGAACACUCAAGGCUCAAGCCAACCCCUAAGAUAUGUCUCUAAUUAAUGAUGUGUAAGACAUACUUACAUGUAAAUUUCUCUAAUGUCACUGAUCAAAUUGGAAAUUAUUAAUUUAUAUUUGUUAAGAUGAUAAGUUACUUAAAAAAAAUAAAAAAAGGACUCGUGACAUUGCUUCUCUAGAAAGUGCUUAAGCUAGAAGUGCUUCUAUUAUAACCACAUUGAAAUUUUUAUUAGAAACUCAAGUACAUUCUAAAAAACCACUUAAGGAUGCUUUUCGAAAAUAAAAAAAAGGCGUAUGCUUCUCCAUGAACCGCUUCUUUGAGCCAUAUGAACAAUUUAAACAAACCCCUAACUAGCGAGCAUGGCCUAGCCCAACCCCCAAUAUUACUCUUAGAAGCAACGAAAUUGAGAUGUAAAAACAUGUUUUCAUGGUCUUUAUAGAGGAAAAAGAUAGGGUAAAAUGACCUAAAUGGGUAAGAUUUAUAAACAAGUUGAUUCAUGCUUCAUAAUUGCAUCAGUUCCUUUGCAGUUUGUAGUAAAUGUCUACGUACCUUCCUUACAAGUCUCUUUACUGCGCUUUCCUUCAAUUCACUGUUGUUUUGUCAUCGUCAAAGCUUUCAAUAUUAAGAUCAAACCUUAAUAUUUUGCAGACCUCAUCAGAUGAGUGGCCUCUUUAACUCUGUACCAUCGUCAGUGUCGUCAUCAAACUCAUAUGGUAUAAUCUGAUAGUCUUCCUCAUCAGUAUCAUCAUCUCACGCUGUCACGCCCCGAUCCCCACAUACGUCCAGGAUCGACACUUGACGUCAUCAAAUAACCACAUAUCUAACAUACCCCGCCUCCAAGAUAUGUACAAAGCACAACUCGAGAAUCGAAUCGCAUAGAAGUAUUUCGUAUACUUUAUGGCUGCAUCUAACCUCUUCGUUAGACUGCCUACAUACCCUCAUUAGGGAUCAAGCCAUUCGUAGUUCGUCAUUCAUUACACCUCGACAUUUAUCACAAUACGUUCAAAUCGAAAAGCAUAGCAUUCCUCAAUCAAUUAUUAGAACUUAACAAGCAUGAAUUACUAGAUUCAUGGUUACAUAACAAAUCCACAUGACAUUCAAGGUUUCCAUUCCAUCCAUCAUAUAAAUCACUAUGUUUUCAACGUGAUAUCUCCAUCCACAACAUGUAACUUAUCCAAUAACCAACGAAGCACAAUAUUAUUCUUAAGCCACAUUGAUCACUAAAUAAUCAUAAUAAUAACAAUCAUAUUCAACAUCAUUCCACAAUUCCCGUCAAUUAAUCCCUUCAUGAAUCAAGGAUGCAUGAUCUUAGCAUUUAACUACGUUAAUCAAUCAAUGAGAUAACAUACCAUUUCACCAAUUCAAUUAGAGAACUCUAUAUAAUUCCCUACUUGGGUUAUGAGUAAUAACAUGGUAAUUCUAAUUUAUAUUCACAAGGUCUAUGGAUAAUUCCCAUUUGCUCGAAUCUAGGGUUCUAGACUAACCUUUUGGAACGUGCAAGAGUAAGGAUUUCGGACCACUCAACGGAAUUCAACCACAUCGGGUUCCAGACCACUCAACGGAACCAAAAUAUCAAUCGGUUUCUCGUAAUCUAUCCAGACCUGUUGCAUGUAAAAUCAGUGCCUACAUCAUGGAAAUGGUGCAUUGGGUAAUUCAGAACUUGGAUAAGUUGUGAAACUCAGGUGAACGACAAUAAUACAAAGUGUGAUAAUAGUGAUAAAACCAACCAUCAAUCACAGUUUAUAAACUUUGAAUAUGAAUCAUUCAUAAGAAAUUAAUACCAAACCUUCGCAAACUCUGAAGGAGUCACCCAAACAUCCAACGGUUCGUCUGAAACAAUCACAACAUCUCAUAACCAUAUUCUCAUACAACACCAUGAAAAGUAGGGUUAGAGCGACAUAGUUCGGCCGAAGCCUAUACCUUUGAAGCUAUCUCAAUCCAAACUCAAUGAAACCCAAGGUGAAUACAAUUCCGGAACUUCACUCAACGGAAUCGCGGAGUAGAAGGGAUUCUGGACCAUCUCUCAUGGAAUCCAAGUGGAUACGAUUCCGGAACAUCACUCAACGGAAUCGCGGAAGGCCAACAACCAUAAUGUACAACGGCUCAAAGAAAUGAGACAAGCACAAGCUACUAAAUUUACAAAAGCUUAACCAAGGGAAAUAAGGCACAUAUGCUAAAUUUAAAACGAAUCAACGAAGAGGGAAAAGAAACAAUAUCGAAGCAACAUAUCCCCAAUCACAACGGGUUCACAGUCCACCACUAGUCUUCACAUUUCAUCACAUCAAGCCAACCAUACAAAGCAAACCAUGUUUCUAAUAUGCACGUCAAAUCCCACAUCAUAAACUAUAACGAUGGCACUUUAUAGAAAACAUAAUCAUAAAACCGUCUCAUACCCUCUCAGGAUAAUAAUUAUGAAAAUAGAGUAAUCACCUGUAACAUAUAUUAAAGUCACUCACCCUUUUUUUUUUAUGUACAUAUACAUGAGUCAAAAUAAACACACAAGAGGGAGCCUUCACAAAGGUUGCUUAGGAGAAGUCUCAGCAGUCGGUAGAGCCCCAGAAAGAGAAGGCACCGGAGGGGGAUCAUUUGGAGCCUCAGUACUGGACAGAACCCUAGAAGGAGGAGGCAUCAGAGGUUGAUCAUUUGGAGCUUCAUUACGCGGUACAGCCCCAGAUGACGAAGGCAAUAAAUGCCUUUGGAACAAACCCACAAAUCUCUGAUGAUCAAGUAAAACCUGACCAUCAGUUUCCUUCAUCUGGUCAAGCUUCCUCUUCAUGUUUGUAGCAUAGUCAUGUGCGAGCCGGUGCAACUGUUUAUUCUCCUGUUUGAGACCUCUAAUCUCCUGUUUGAGACUCAUCACUUCAGCCGCCAAUGAUUCAACUUGGCGGGUUCGAGCAAAUAGGCGUUGGGCCAUAUUAGACACAGAACCUGCACACUGAACACUGAGAGCCAGCGAAUCCUUAACAGCUAACUCAUCAGACCGUUUGGAAAGUAGUCUGUUAUCUUUGGGAGUGAGAAGGUUCCUGGCCACCACCGCAGCGGUCAUAUCAUUCUUCAUCACGGAAUCCCCAACGGUAAGAGGACCAGUAAGGGAGACGAAGGAUGGGCGCCAUAUGUUGUCUGGAGAAGGCGGGGCUGCCUCUUCAACAAGGUUCAAGUCAAAACGACGGUCGGAGGGGCCAGACAUUUUCAAAGGUGUUGAAGAGAGAAGAGGUCGGACAAAUCAAGAUCUUAGAAGUGCAAGAAUGAAGCUUCUACUGGUGGAGAUUCAAGUGUGCUUUGGAACGUAAUGCCAGCCCCUAUAAAAAUCUGCACUCGACGGAGCUUCAGAAAUCGAAGAGGCGCCUGCUCAGAAAUCGAAGAGGCGUUUGCUUUCUCAAAAGCUGGGCUGCUUAGAGAUCACGAGGGUUGAUCUCAGAAAUCGAAGAGGCGUUUGCUUUCUCAAAAGUUGGGCUGCUCAAAGACCACGAAGGCUAAUCUCAGAAAUCGAAGAGGCGCUCGCUUUCUCAAAAGCUGGGCUCCCCAGAGACCACGAGGGCCGAUCUCAGAAAUCGAAGAGGCACCUACUUUUCCAGCCUUGUCAGCACCUGUCACACGCACACUCAGCUUUGCGGAAAUUAUGGGCAUUCUGUCGAAGACUUCUGGGGAAGUAGAAAACACAUGAAUCUUACUGUUCAAUCACCCACUUCCCACACGCAACAAUAGCUCAUGGGUACCACAGAAAACUUUGCCAAAGUUCUCUGCCAAAGUUGAGCACGUGAAGCUUGCAGGUCCCCACUACAUCGCUCUGACCAAGAAGGGUAAAAGAAUAGCAAAGAAAUAGCACUAACAAAGUUUAGACCUAUAAAUUUUGAAGGUCUAGCUACCAUAUUAUUACCCACAAGGGUAAAGGAACAGUACCACUGCUGGAUAAUUGGAAAGUCCCUGUGUGUCAACCUCUGUGCUUCGUGGCAAGGUAGACUAGCAAAACAUGCCCAACCUUUACUCACAUUCGAGAAAACACUCCCAAUAAGAUUGCUUGCUCCAAAAGCCAGACUCCCAACAUGACUACUUUCUUAAAAAUCGAAGAGAGGGUAAAGGAACAGUACCAUUGCUGGAUAAUUGGAAAGUCCCUGUGUGUCAACCUCUGUGCUUCGUGGCAAGGUAGACUAGCAAACAUGCCCAACCUUUACUCACAUUCGAGAAAACACUCCCAACAAGAUUGCUUGCUCCAAAAUCGAAGAGGCACCGCCCUCCGAAUCUCGAGAGCCAGACUCCCAACAUGAUUACUUUCUCAAAAAUCGAAGAGACACUGCUCCCCGAAUCUUCGAGAGCCAGACCCCCAGCAUGAUUGCUUUCUCAAAAAUCGACGAGGCAUCGUUCUUCGAAUCAAUCGAAAAGGCGCUCGCUUUCUCAAAAGCUGGGCUGCUCAGAGACCACGAGGCUCGAUCUCAGAAAUCGAAGAGGCACCUACUUUUCUAGCCUUGUCAGCACCUGUCACACGCACACUCAGCUUUGCAGAAAUUAUGGGCAUUCUGUCGAAGACUUCUGGUGAAGUAGAAAGCACAUGAAUCUUACUGUUCAAUCACCCACUUCCCACACGCAACAAUAGCUCAUGGGUACCACAGAUAACUUUGCCAAAGUUCUCUGCCAAAGUUGAGCACGUGAAGCUUGCAGCUCCCACUAAAUCGCUCUGACCAAGAAAGGUAAAAGAAUAGCAAAGAAACAGCACUAACAAAGUUUAGACACAUAAAUUUUGAAGGUCUAGCUACCAUAUUAUUACCCACAAGGGUAAAGGAACAGUACCACUGCUGGAUAAUUGGAAAGUCCCUGUGUGUCAACCUCUGUGCUUCGUGGCAAGGUAGACUAGCAAACAUGCCCAACCUUUACUCACAUUCGAGAAAAACACUCCCAACAAGAUUGCUUGCUCCAAAAUCGAAGAGGCACCGUCCUCCGAAUCUCGAGAGCCAGACUCCCAACAUGACUACUUUCUCAAAAUCGAAGAGAGGGUAAAGGAACAGUACCAUUGCUGGAUAAUUGGAAAGUCCCUGUGUGUCAACCUUUGUGCUUCGUGGCAAGGUAGACUAGCAAACAUGCCCAACCUUUACUCACAUUCGAGACAACACUCCCAAUAAGAUUGCUUGCUCCAAAAUCGAAGAGGCACCGCCCUUCGAAUCUCGAGAGCCAGACUCCCAACAUGAUUACUUCCUCAAAAAUCGAAGAGACACUGCUCUCCGAAUCUCGAGAGCCAGACCCCCAGCAUGAUUGCUUUCUCAAAAAUCGAAGAGGCAUCGUUCUCCGAAUCUCGAGAGCCAGAUACCACAGACCACUUUUUCAAAGUGCUCUGACAGAGUUAAAACAUGUGAAACUGGCAGCUCCCACUACCGUGAUAUGACCAAGCAGGGUAAAGGAAUAGCAUUACUACUUGUUAGGGAGACUCCUAUAUAUGUCGACCUCCAUCCCCAACGAACAGGCAGACCUGCAAAAAUGCUCAACCCUUCAUCAUAUAUGAGAGGGCACUCCCAACGAAACCUUUCGAAAUAUUCAGCUUUCUUUCCCCCCGAUAAUACCUCUGCAAACAAGCUAUACUAGAGCAAGAAUAUCUCAUAUCAUCAGGGUUAAAAGCAAGAGUAUCCCAUAUCAUGCUUUUUCCCUGUCUUUUCCUUUGGCCUUGUUUUUACCUGCAAGACAAGGAGAAAGAGAGCAAUCAGUCAGCACUUGGAAUCAAGCUUCCAGCCAGGAACUGACUGCCUGGAACCGCUUACCUGAUUACUUACCUGGCAUUGCUCUCGAGUACUCAUCUUCAACAUCUUAUGUUUCCAGGGAAGAUUCCGCAUCUGCUUGAGGAACAGAUAGGGCAAGUGCGAAGGAUACAAGGAAGCAUGUGGAGACAAGCGUAACAGCACACGUGCCGAUACAUCCAUUACUCUGUCAAAAGCAAAAGUAUCCCAUAUCAGCAGGGUGGAACGUACUCUAGAUUUGAUGGACUUGUUUUGACCCUCAAAUUCUUCAGUCGGCCUUAUACUCUGGAGGAAACCAGAAAACCCUCCAGCUCAGUUCAAGAAUAAGCCUGUGGAAAGUUACUUCUUCAAAAGCAAAAGUAUCUCAUAUCAUCUCUUCUCAUUUUUCUUCUCUUUAUCCUUCAUGCUGCUGAAAGAUGGGGAGAAGGUGAACAAUCAGUUGGAGCUUUGAUUGCUUACCUUGUCUGUCACCUCUUUCAGCAGACCCCCUAGCUCGGCGACUUGGGGGACUCCUACUACAUGGUUUGUAUCGCGCUUGACCAAGCCUGAAACUACAAGUAAGCUUCAAGUGAAAUUGAUACAUUACCUUGUGCAUCUCCACCAGUUAAAGAUACCACCCCUGGAUGGAGGAAGAGUACUUCCAGAGAAGAUGCCACAUCUACCUAUGAGACAGAUAAGGCAAGUCAAGACGACACCACACUCCGAUACUUAGAAGUUUCGUGAUUACGAGAUCAUUCUCCCACAAUAUUUCCUAAUGUCAUUUGUACUAAAUCAUUCACUUGUACUCACUAAAGGAGAGCUUGAACCUAUGUACUUGUGUAAACCCUUCACAAUUAAUGAGAACUUUUCUAUUCCGUGGACGUAGCCAAUCUGGGUGAACCACGUACAUCUUGUGUUUGCUUUCCUAUCUCUAUCCAUUUAUAUACUUAUCCACACUAAUGACCGGAGCAAUCUAGCGAAGAUCACAAAAAGCGACCGUUUUCGCUACCUAGGAUCUAUCUUGCAAGAGAACGGAGAAUUAGAUGGAGAUCUCAACCAUAGAAUACGAGCUGGAUGGAUGAAGUGUAAGAAUGCAUCCGGCGUGUUGUGUGUGACCGUCGUAGGCCACUGAAGCUCAAGGGAAAAUUUUAUAGGACGGCAAUAAGGCCAGCGAUGUUGUAUGGCACAGAAUGUUGGGCGGUGAAGCAUCAACACGUACACAAAAUGGGGUGUAGCGGAGAUGAGGAUGCUUCGUGGGAUGUGUGGGCACACGAGAAAGGAUAAGAUUGGGAAUGAGGAUAUCCGAGGUAAAGUAGGAGUAGCCGAAAUUGUAGGAAAGAUGAGAGAAAAUCGGCUCCGGUGAUUUGGACAUGUGCAAAGAAGGCCGAAUGACGCUCCGGUUCGAAGAUGUGACUACGGGACAGAGGUUCAGGGCCGAAGGGGUAGAGAAAGACCUAGGAAAUCUUUGGAAGAGACUCUAAGAAAAGACUUAGAGUACUUGGAUCUAACGGAGGAUAUGACACAAAACCGAGCGCAAUGGCGUUCUAGGAUUCAUAUAGCCGACCCCACUUAGUGGGAAAAGGCUUUGUUGUUGUUGUUGUUGAACCAUACAUAUUAUUUCUCAUCCAUGAAAUCAACAUUUUAACGUUCUAUUCCUAUGCUUGUAACCUUCAUUCUCCAUCCUUUAAUAAACCAACCCAAAGUUAAUGGUUUUUCAACUUAAAACACCACCUCUUCACUCAUGCCACUACCCCUUUUGACAUGUAUAUGCGGCAAUAUAUAUAUAUAUAUAUUAAUUAAGAGAAACUAGAUCGUUUACUAAUAACUUGAAUAUAACUACUAGUAAACAAUCUAAACUCUUAAACCCCAACUAAACACACUCAAAUAAGCACAAGAUUAACAAGGAUGUCAUUUCAACUAUAAUUCCCUUCUAGGUCUAGAUGCUUGGUAACGAAAGAAGUAUCUCAUAAAUCUAAUGUCACAUAUCGGAAAAUUCGACUUUUUCCAAAAAUUCUCAAAUUUUACAAGAAUGAAGGUCUCAACAAGUAGAGUAAAUUUUAUAUUUGUGGCCAAGUCCAAUUUGACCGGGAAGGCUCUCAAAUUGGCUCGUAUCCAUCGAAAACCCUAAGGUGGGUGUUCUUCAAUUCGGCUUCCUUGGUGUUCCAAUGCCCCUACAACUAAUUGGGUCUUGUUCUUGGGUCCAAGAGAAGUUGAUCAAGGGUGAUGUGAAUGGUGAUACUCUCCAGAAUGACAAUUCGUCGUCGAGAACCCCCGGGUUCUCCUAUGGAGUUCUACAUGAAAUAGACCUUAAAAACCCUUGAUAUUUGGUGGAGGUGGAAGGAGGAAUGUAGUUGAGCAGGUUGCAGGUGAAGGAGAUAAGAAAAUCAGUUGAGAAAUGGUAGAAAUUUGCAUGAAGUUGGCCGGAUCAAAACCAUUUUUUUUUUUGUGGUGCACGGGUUCACCAAAUGGGGGGGACUCCUUUCCCUCCUUUUCUUUCUUCACUCGCCACUCCCGUGGCUUUAUCUUUUUUUUUUUUUUUUAAGCAACACAACUUCAAACUUCCGUAAUUAUACCGUUAUAAUCCGGACUCGCAAAUGGUUUUCGCCUAUGCUUUCGUGACUUCAAGACCUAUUCGAAAACGUUACUUGUGACCUCGAAAGGUCAACGAGUAAAUAAUAAUUCCAAACUUCACUCUUCGUAACUAGAUUAAUUGAAAUCUAAUUUCAAAUAAAUUAAUAUAAAUUCUCAAAAAGUAAUAUAAAUCUCAAUAAUACAAUUACGUAGAUUAUAACAGUGAAAUCCAGAAACGGGAUUUCACACACCCUUAUGGUACGCGCUCAUAGUUCACUUUUUUUAUUUCUGAAGGUAAACAAUGUUCCCAUCCUACAGAAUUUACUCCUGUUUUCUUCACCUUAAAUUGAUGAUCAUCCUCUGUUCCAAAAAAUUCUGCAUGCACACGAACCUUGUCGCCACUUUUCAGAUUGAGCUUCCUGUUUGAAAGACUUCCCAGCCAAAGAUAAUCUUCAUGGGAGCCAGUUAUGGUGGCAUCCAUUCACCAGAUGGAAAAAUAAGUUCGCUGGGAAGGAUUAACCACAUCAAUCCAUAAAGACCCACUACACUGCGAUGGUCCAAAGAAUAAACGAUGCACACAGCCAACCCUCCUAUAUAAUCAAUACUUGGCGGCACAUCAAAUUUGACAUUUUCAUCCUCUGUCACGACAUAGGUUAACCAUUAAGGAAUAACAUUUCAAGAGCGACCGAUUCCUCCAAAUACAUCCCCCACGUUCCAUUUCUACAACGCGGCGUGCAAAGUUUGUAUAAGCAACAAUACGAGAAGGGCACAGAGAGAGAGAGAGAGAUCGAGGCUAUCAUGCAACAAAAUAUAAAACUCAUCUAGGACAAUUAUGACUAUUGUGAAUUGGUAAUAUUAUCGAUGGAUAUGUUAUAUGAUCUUCAAACUCGCUAUAGCAUGAUUUUUUUUUUUUGUAUCCUUUUCGUCAACUUCAUCUGUUUUUCUAUUAAGUAGAGAUGAUAAACUUAAAAUUCAUCCCACAACCUAAAAAAUGGAAAAAAGAAAAAAGAAAAAAAGGAGGUGGAUGUACAAAAUCCUUGCUAUGCCCUCUAUAUUUAACAAAAAAAUAAAUUGAGUUAACGGAUAUAAUUGAAGUACCACAUGAGAUUGAGUUUGAGAACCACAAUAAGAAAAUAAGAAAAACUAUUCUAGAAUGAAGGUAAAAUUCGUGACAACAAUGCCGUAUAUCUAAAAAAUAGUUCAUGCAUAUUUAGAUGUUAACACAUAGUCAUUUAUCUCGUUUAUUGAACAAACAACGAGGACAACAAUGUUGUUUUCUCUCUUUUGAAAUUCAUAAACAAAAUUGAGAUUUCUUGGUGACUCCUCUGUCCCUCAGGACCAACAAGGGGUAAUACAGGAAUAUUCACCUGUUGUCCAUUGACUAUGCCUUUUGGCCUGAUCUUAGGCCCCGACUCACUCUCCGUGGACAAACCUUGCGAAGGAACCUUUAGGUUUUCGGGGCAUCGGAUUUUCACCAAUGUUUGCGUUACUCAUGCCGACAUUCUCGCUUCCGCUCCGUCCACGUCUAAUUGCCAUUUUGUUUGGGCUUCUCCUUUCUGUUCUUACCGUCUCUUCCAUUUGGAAGCUUCUGGUCAUUAAUUUUUUUAGCUUCAUUAGAAGAUGCUCCCAUUUGGCCCCUGUAAGGAAUGAAAUUGAAUUUCGUGUUCAGCUAUUUAAAGAUUCAACUCUAAGUUUUGUCAAUAGCAAUUAAGUAAGAACAGGUAUGAUCAAGCUUAUAAACAAAUCACAACAACAUUACAAAUCAGAAACAUGUACAAGGUAAUGCAGUUAUAUCCAAUUCUUUUGUGCUUUCUCCACAAAAGUUCCUCCACAUUAACGUAACUCUAUAUCAAUUAAUCUAUCAUACAAGACUAGAAAUAAUCGGCAAUUGAAAAAUAAGACAACACGAGCUUCCGUCCAGUAAAAUUUUCAUCCAAAGACAGUAGGCAAAACCAAAAACGUACAAACCUUCAAUGCCGUUGUAUAAUCUCUCCCUUCCCAAUAUGCUCAUCAAGCAAUUCCGGCACAUUACCAGGAGUGGCGAAGGGAUACCUGCAAUUAAUAAUACAUAAUAUUCAUACUCCUUCAUCGAUCCCAAUACGAUAAAUUUUAAAUUGUUAUGAUCCAGAUAUUACCAAUGAUCUGUUAUGCUUCCAUCUGAACCUAGGUUGUAGAUAUCCAAGUUUCCAGCAUACUUGUGGCCUCCAAUGUGAAAGCAAGCAGUAACGAAUACCUGAUCCGUCAAUCCUCGCAGCUCAGCCUCCUGUUUGAACUUAUCAAUGAGAGUACGUGCAUGAUAACGAUCCCAUUUAUCUUGACUCAUACGUGCGCAUAUAAAUACAUAGGGGCCAGUCAGCGGCUCUUGCACUCCAGAAGCCCAUGGUUUGUGAUUCAUAAGGACAUCAUCAACAAAGCUGUCCACAUCCGACUCUUUCAAGCCCCUUUGAUCAACAAACAAAAACAACCUCAAAAUCACAAGAAAGGAUUUACAGGCAAGCAAUUAGUCGUAAACGGAGCCAUUAAAUUCAAUUUCUACAACUAAUUUCAGAAGCUAACACAUAUCUAAUUAUCCAUUUAGGUCAGUAAAUUCAUGUUGGUUAUGGAAUGGGCCCUCGAUUAUGAAUUAAUUACGGUUUGCCAUUGUGUGUGCUAGUGUGGCCCAUGCUUAACAGCUGGGUUGGGCUGCUGCAUUUAGGUGUGUGUUUGCUAGCUGGCUGGCUGGUGGGUGAGUCUUAGAUACAAACCCAAUCUUAUUAAUUAAAUUUGGCCUUUGGUGUGCUCAAACUGCUAUGGGGGAUGGUUAGAAUUUUGAGCCCGGGAUGCAGUAGGACCAAGAGCAAUCCACCACUUGCAGAAUUGUUGUCAAAGUAACUCUGCUAAAAAUAUGAGCUAUACUUCCUGCACUAUGCUUUUACUGUGAAGUGGAAAUAGUCUUUAGAGAGGCUUAUUUGGGAUAAUUGAUAAAGAGGUUUGUGUUUAAGACUUGAGAGUAGUGCGGUGUCUUUCUUGCUGGUUCUGCUCACACCACCUCAUCUAGCCAUUGUGAUGGAGUACACGGCUGGGUGAGAACACUUGGAGAGAAUAUGCAGUGCUGGCAGAUUUAGUGAGGAUGAGAUAAAGUAGUUUCCAACGCAGAGAAAAUUUCAUUGGAAAUGAUUUUAGUGUAGAGUCUCAAAUAUGGGAUCUCUGAAUGUCCCCUGAAAUGGAAUCCAUCUCAAUUUUCGUUUAGUUUCAGAUAGGGAAAGUUAGGUCUGAAGCAUUUUUACAUAAAUAGUCAGUCAUAAUAUAACUAAAACUUACUUUUUCGAUUUAAUUGUUGUUUUGCAUCAAGCAAGGUUUUUCUUCCAGCAAUUAUAUCAGGAGUUAGCUACUGUCAUUUAAUGGUAUGUAAUGUGGCACUUUUUUGCUAAUGCGUUGUAUACUGUUAUUUCUUUCUCUUUUGAUAUUGGAAGUGUUGGUUGUAUUAAUGAAAUAAUUCGUUUCAAUAGUAUAUGACUUAGUUUUAAUAGUAUUAUUCAGUUUUCUAAUAGCACUCGGGUGGGAACGUGGGUCGGCUCAUGUUUUAGUCUCUCCAUCGUAAGCAAUUUUACAUGGCAUUCUUCAAUGUGGCUAUAGGUAAGACAACACUCUCAGUAUUCCAUAAUCAAACCACCAUUUGAACUUUUUUCGUCCACCAAGUUAAGCUUUUAUGUGCCAUCUUGAAUAGUUAUAAGUUAUUGAUUCAGAUUGCUCCAGUGAGACAUUGUUGUUCUAUUGCUUACCUCUCAAGCUUGCUUAAUAUACUUAUUCUUAUUACUGUUGUAUUGUUAAGAAAUACUCAACUGCGAUUUCAGUUCAUUGUUAUGAAUCAGAUUCAAAUUAACCACUCACUAGUUAAUUAUCUAAAUCCUAUAAAUUUGGAUUAAAAUUAAAGCAACUCCAGAACAAAAACCUCAAGAAAUCGAUGCGAAUUUACCUGUAUUUGAUCAUUUGUGGGAAAAUCAACACAUCGCCGUCGGAAAACUCAGUUCCUUCAUGUCCUUCAAUUACAGUCAUCGACGUCUAUCAAAAAACCAAGAAAAAAAGUAAGUAACGGAGUCAGCUCAGCUCAACACCAGAACUCAGUAGCUCCAGGAAAUAAGAAACGUCAGAAACACCAACGAAUUGGGUUGGAAAACGGACCUUAAAGGUGAUGUCGUUCUUGCGAGCUUUGAGAGCGGAAGUGAAGAACUUAGGGAGUGGAUCGGACUUAGAGCCGUUGAUGCACCACGGCCAGGCCUCGGGGGUCUUGUAGCAGAAGAAAACGUGGCGAAUGUCCAACUGUGUAUCGUCAUCAGUGUCUUCAUCAGACAAAUCCCAUUUUACCAUAUCCACUCCUGUUUUGUUCUCCUUAAUUCUAUUAUCUCCUCCAUAAAAUUCCGCUUUUAGAAGAACCAUGUCACCGCCUUUCAGAUUGAGCUUCUUGUUUGAAAGAUUUCCCAACCAAAGAUAAUAUUCAUGGGAAGCAGUUACGGUGGCCUUCAUUGGCCAGAUGCGAAACUUAGUUCGCUGGGUACAAUUAACAACAUCAAUGCAUAGAGACCCGGUAGAGUCGGAGUUGUCUAAAGAAUAAACGAUGCCCAAAGCCAACCCUCCUAUAUAAUCAAUACUUGGCGGCACUUGAAAUUUGACAGUUUUAUCCUCUCCCGUGACAUAGGCUAACCAGUUAGGAAUAUCAUUUCCGGAGAGAAAAAUUCCACCAAAUGCAUUUCUCUACAACAUGGGGUGCAAAGUCAGUAUAAGCAACAAUACAGAGAGAGAGAGAGAGAGAGAGAGAGAGAGAGAGAGAGAUACCCUUCGGAGGUUCUCCUUAAAAGUAUCAGUGAGACUGGUACACCCUUCCAUAAGAAUUGAAUACAUGUGGUCCAAUGAGUUCUCCAAGUUUGGAAUAUCUUUGAGUUUGCGGCAGUUCGGCAAAUCUGACAUUGUUUUACCUAUAUUGCCCAUACCCCUAAUUCCAAUUAUUUGAACAUCAGGUGAACGUCCAACAUCUAAGUAUUCAGUACUGACGUCUAAGUAUUCAGUACUGAAGUUCUGCACACGAGAAGUCAUUCCAUCUGAGUGCUUGGCUUCUUUUAAGUCUGCAGUUUUCAAUAGUUCCUUGAUGUUCCCAACAAUUUUCUCGAUAAACACUCCUUCACGCCUACGAGUAGGAAUUCCAAAUUACGUGAGCCAUACUAAAUGCCUUAUUCAUAAUGACUAGAUAUUUACAUAUUGAAACAGAUUUGAAUAAACUGGAUUAAUUGAGCUCAAUUCAACCACGUAUCUAAUCUUCGAUUAUAAUGUAAAUACAUCAGAUCAUUGGUCAUCGGACUAUUACACAAUUGUAGCCUUCAGAUUUAUAAUUAAGAAUCCAUAACAAUUGGUAUUUUAAUUUGAUAAAGUGGAGCAUUUGUCCUUCACACACCCAUAAAAAACAAAGCACGACCCUACAUUUCACUUCCUUAAUUUCAAUGAAAAUUCUUAUGAAAAUGCUCUACCUUUUAUAAAAUUCAUAUACCAAUUAUAAUAAAUUUUUAUGUAGGGACCAAAAUUACAGUUCUAUCAUUGUUCAGGAUCAACGAUCCAAUUUUUCUUCUAACAUAUAAACUCAGAUCCAAUGCCUUAAUUAUAAAAUCUUAAUUUUGGUUGAUUAGUGAAAUAUGGUGAUACGAAAUUUGAAGUAAACAAAAAAGUAUACCCGUCGGCCGUGGUUUUGAGGUUCCAGCCAACCAAAUCUGCAGAAGCCUUAAGAUCCUCUCUCCACUGCUUGACCUCGUUUGGAUCUUCAUCCCAUUCAUGCUUCUGAAAUGCUUUCCCAAAACUAUCAUUCUGUUUCCUGACUUGAGAAGGGUCAACGUCGUAGAAUAUUGGACAUACUAUUUUCCCCUCUUGAUCUUUUAGGCACCUCAUGAUCUUCGACAGCUCCCUCAGGCACCAUCGGGACUCCGCGUACCUCUUCGAGAAGAUGAUGACGGCGAUUCUCGACCCUUCGAUUUCUUGGUCAAGUUCACUCUGUAUGUUUCCCCCCCUUGUGAGCUGGUAGUCUAUGGAAGUGUUGAUUCCGGCAUUGCGUAACGCAAUGAAGAGGUGGUCUGUGAAGGUAGUGCGCGUGUCGUCGCCUCUAAAGCUCAGGAACACCUCGUACUUCCACCGGUUUGAGCUCUGCGAGGAAGACGAAGAGGCUGCAACGCCGGCUCCAUGGGCGGAGCUGCUGGUAUCCAUUGUAGCCUGUAGAAGUGCAGCUUGGCUUUCAAAUAACCAAAGUCAAGUCUUUCCCAAGAUUCCCCGGUGUAGGCAGCCCUUUUAAAUUUUUUUGCAUGGGUCAAUGAUGUCACUGCCGUGUCGAUAACGUGUGAGUGCUAUUCCUCCGACAAUUUAAUUUGUAUAAAUGUCACCAUCAAAUUUUAAUAAAAAUUGUAUAACUGCUACGAUGCAAUUUCCUUUCUUCUGUAGUUUUUUUGAGAAAUCUGCUGCCCAAUUUUGACCAGUUGACGUGCGCAGGUCAAUCCAACUGUCCCUGCUGGUGGACGGAAGAAUCUUUGUUAGAGUAGGAAUUCCAAAUUACGCUUUAUUCAUAAUGACUAGAUAUUUACAUAUUGAAACAGAUUUGAAUAAAUUGGAUUAAUUGAGCUCAAUUCAACCAUGUAUCUAAUCUUCGAUUAUAAUGUGAAUACAUCAGAUCAUUGGUCAUCGGACUAUUACACAAUUGUAGCCUUCAGAUUUAUAAUUAAGAAUCCAUAACAAUUGGUAUUUUAAUUUGAUAAAGUGGAGCAUUUGUCCUUCACACACCCAUAAAAAACAAAACACGUACCCUACGUUUCACUUCCUUAAUUUCGAUGAAAAUUCUUAUGAUGUGACUGCCGUGUUGAUGAAAAUUCUUAUGAUGUGACUGUCGUGUCGAUAACGCGCGAGUGCUAUUCCUCCCACAAUUUAAUUUGUAUAAAUGUCACCAUCAAAUUUUAAUAAAAAAUUGUAUAUAACUGCUACGAUGCAAUUUCCUUUCUUUUGUGAGAAAUCUGCUGCCCAAUUUUGGCCAGUUGACGUGCGCAGGUCAAUCCAACUGUCCCUGCUGGUGUACGGAAGAAUCUUUGUCGGAGUAGGAAUUCCAAAUUACGUGAGCCAUACUAAAUGCUUUAUUCAUAAUGACUAGAUAUUUACAUAUUGAAACAGAUUUGAAUAAAUUGGAUUAAUUGAGCUCAAUUCAACCAUGUAUCUAAUCUUCGAUUAUAAUGUGAAUACAUCAGAUCAUUGGUCAUCGGACUAUUACACAAUUGUAGCCUUCAGAUUUAUAAUUAAGAAUCCAUAACAAUUGGUAUUUUAAUUUGAUAAAGUGGAGCAUUUGUCCUUCACACACCCAUAAAAAACAAAGCACGUACCCUACGUUUCACUUCCUUAAUUUCGAUGAAAAUUCUUAUGAUGUGACUGCCGUGUCGAUGAAAAUUCUUAUGAUGUGACUACCGUGUCGAUAAAGCGCGAGUGCUAUUCCUCCCACAAUUUAAUUUGUAUAAAUGUCACCAUCAAAUUUUAAUAAAAAUUGUAUAACUGCUACGAUGCAAUUUCCUUUCUUUUGUGAGAAAUCUGCUGCCCAAUUUUGGCCAGUUGACGUGCGCAGGUCAAUCCAACUGUCCCUGCUGGUGGACGGAAGAAUCUUUGUCGGAGUAGGAAUUCCAAAUUACGUGAGCCAUACUAAAUGCUUUAUUCAUAAUGACUAGAUAUUUACAUAUUGAAACAGAUUUGAAUAAAUUGGAUUAAUUGAGCUCAAUUCAACCACGUAUCUAAUAUUCGAUUAUAAUGUGAAUACAUCAGAUCAUUGGUCAUCGGACUAUUACACAAUUGUAGCCUUCAGAUUUAUAAUUAAGAAUCCAUAACAAUUGGUAUUUUAAUUUGAUAAAGUGGAGCAUUUGUCCUUCACACACCCAUAAAAAACAAAGCACGUAUCCUACGUUUCACUUCCUUAAUUUCGAUGAAAAUUCUUAUGAUGUGACUGCCGUGUCGAUAACGCGCGAGUGCUAUUCCUCCCACAAUUUAAUUUGUAUAAAUGUCACCAUCAAAUUUUAAUAAAAAUUGUAUAACUGCUACGAUGCAAUUUCCUUUCUUUUGUGAGAAAUCUGCUGCCCAAUUUUGGCCAGUUGACGUGCGCAGGUCAAUCCAACUGUCCCUGCUGGUGGACGGAAGAAUCUUCGUUGGAGUAUCAAUGGGAAGAGACCUCAUCUCCAACAACCUAUCUUAACAAAAGAUGCAGAAAAUUAAACGCCAAGAGGCUACUUUCUUUAUUUUGUGAACAGUAACGAACUAGAAGGAUCAGUGUCGUAAAAUAAGUAAUUUACUUGCCCAAAAUAAGAAUCAAUUUAGCUACGAAACCAAGGAGAUGAUUGAGCUCAAGAUAGCAGCUUUUAUCCUAUCGUCUUGCAAGGAAAACAAGCUACGAAUUGCUUGCAUCAUCCGAAGCUAUCCAACCAAUGGUUGAAUUUCUCAGUCAAGACUAUGCUGAAGGCAUCAGUGUGCAGGCCAGACUCGAUAGCAUAGCCACACUAAACCUCUCGCGCUGCCAUCAGAUUAUUUUGUCUCAGGUCUCUUCGGGCGUAGUGUUCUCAGUAAUAAUCCAAGGCUUGGAAAAAUCAAGCCAACCGGUUGAGAAGGCAAUUGUGCUACUUGACGACAUUGUUUCUUCAUCGAAGACUGCGCUCAAGGAAACUGCAGGUACGUGCAGCACAAUCUGGGUGCUGGUUGAGACAAUCGAAGGGGGAUCGAUGAAAUGCAAGGAGCACGCAGCGAGUAUACUCCUGCUUAUAUGCAAGAGGUGCAGAGAGAACUACAGAGGACUGAUACUGAGAGGAGGAGCAAUGCCCGGACUGCUUCAGCUGAGUGGAUGGGACGCGCACGGCUAACACUGCGGCAUGGAAGUUGCUGUUUCUUUUGACUGUUCCAAUUAUGGUUCGAGAAACAAGCAAUCAAGGAAUAAGUUGACGGUGUGAGUACAACGGCAUUGAGACCGUUCCAAUUAUGCAGGAAAUUGAUGCAGAAGGAGAAAAAGUUGACAGGGUGAGUACAACGGCAUUGAGGCUGGUGGAGGACAUGCUUGCAGAGAUCAGCAGUGGACGAUGAUCUCGACCAAAUUCUGAGCUUUACCAAGAAGAUUAAAAUGUUGGAACAGCCGUUUAUCUCGUUUAUUGAACAAACGAUGAGGACAACAAUGCCGUCUAGCCUCUUUCAAAAUUUAGACUUCUUUCUCAUAAAAAUUGACAGAAUCUACGGUUGAAUUAAAGUCCAACAGGCAAAUUGAAAACAAUCACAAGAGCUUAGAAAAUACCACACCAACAUUUGGCCAGCAGUCUCACAACAAAUCCCACUGUCAAGAUAAAACCAUUCAACAGUGUAUUGGAACAACAAAUUUCAGUUGUGUAAGCAAUCAACAUAAAGGAACACUGAAUACUUUUGUAACUAUAUAUGGAUUAGCUUCGGGAAUUCAUCAAACCCUCCAAAAAAGAACGUAUAGUGUAGCUACCAUAUUCUCCUUUCAUAUAAGAGCUUAUUUAAUUAAUGUUAUAACACCUUUCUACCAAGAAAAAAAAGAAGAAAAUACGGCCUCUACACCCGUGGCAAAACCCGACAUGGAUUAGAGUACGUUUCAGCCUAACCUUCUGUAAAAGCUAUAGGCCACAGCCACUGUUACCACUGCUCCAACCACGGCAGCAGCUGCGAGAACAUCGCUUUGCUCCCAGUUCCCGAUCAAGCUUGACAGCUUCCCUAGGGAAUCCUUCCUGGCACAAGACUCUCUGGUUUCUUUCACCUUCUUUUCCUCACUUCCAUCGUUCUGCUCUAAACUUACUUCUUUGCAGCAUGUAAAUCCUUUACUAUUUGCACCCUGGCAACAGCCUGAAAGGUUCUCAUUAUUCUGAAUCUGAUUGCCGUUUUCUUGGGGCUUCUCCUCGAUUUUCUUUCUCCUCCAUUUGGAAGCUUCUGGUCAUUAAUUUUUUCAGCUUCAUCCGAAGAUGCUCCCAUUUUGCCCCUGUAAGGAAUGAAAUUGAAUUUCAAGUUCAGCCAUAUAAAGAUUCAACUCUAUGUUUCAUCAAUAGCAAUCGAGUAAGGACAUGUAUGAUCAAGCUUAAUAAACAAUUUGACAACAGUGCCUACUUGACCCCGGCCCCCCUUCCCCAAAACCACCUUUGGUUUGGUUUAUCUAUAAAAACAAAAAAAGUAGUUUGAUUUGGUUCACACGAGUUGUUUGAUUUGGUCCCUCAAUGUUAAUGUAACUCCAUAUCAAUAAUCUAUCAUACAACACUAUAAGUAAUCAGCAAUAGGAAAAUAUGACAACAGAAGCUUCAGUUCCAGUGAACUUUUCAUCAGCAGACAGUAGGCAAACCUGAAAACACACAAACCUCCAAAGUCGUUCUAUGAUCUAUCCCUUCCCAAUAUGCUGAUCAAGCAAUUCCGGCACAUCCUCAGUAGUGACGUAGCCAUACCUGCAAUUAUUAAUACCAUAAUAUUCAAAUUCCUUCAUCUAUCCCAAUACAAUAAAUUUUAAAUUGUUAUGAUCCGGAUAUUACCAAUGGCCUGUUAUGCUUCCAUCUGAACGUGGGCUGUAGACAAUCAAGUUUCCAGCAUACUUGUGGUCUCCAAUGUGAGAGCAAGCAGUAACAAAUACCUGAUUUGUUAAUCGUCGCAGCUCAGCCUCCUCUUUGAACUUAUCAAUGAGGACAGGUCGACAAACUCCACAUCUUUUAUCUCGACUACCAUGUGCACAUACAAAUACAUGGGAGCCAGUCAACGCCUCUUGCACUCCGGAAGCCCAUGGUUUGUCAUUCACAAGGACAUCAUCAACAAAGCUUUCCACAUCCGACUCUUUCAGGCCCCUUUGAUCAAGAAACAACAAACACCUCAGAAUCACAAAAGGAAUUUACAGGAAACAAUAACCUAACACUCUUUAAUUCCUUGUAAGGCAAGGGAUUAGUCGUAAACUGAGCCAUUAAAUUCAAUUUCUAGAACUAAUUUCAGAAGCUAACACAUAUCUAAUUAUCUAUUUAGUUCAGUAAACUCAGCACAAUCUCGUAAUCAAAAUAGAAGUUGAAACAGAAAUAAAACACUAAAUGCGGUCACAACUUGCAUUCAAUCAAUUUCCAUGAAAAUCACGAGAAAUUUUUCUUUGUGCCGGGAACAUGGCCCGAUACACAAAGUGUAAUAAUACAAUUGGUUGGAAACCACGCCGUGUUACCGGCACCCAACCUCUGAGUAAACAAGGAAAAUUUCAAGGUAUCAACACCAAAACUAGUCCAAAACACACUAAAUUAGCUCAAUUCGAGACUUCGUAAAUUGAAAUCGGAAAAUCAUAAACUCUAUCUCUAGUUAGCAAUCAUUGAAAUCUCCAAGUCAAAUAAAGCAAAUCUGAAGAAUCAAACACCACUCACUGGUUAAUUAUCUAAAUCCUAUAAAUUUCGGUUAAAAUUAAGCAACUACAGAGCAAAAAUCUCAAGAAAUGAACGUGAAUUCACCUGUAUUUGAUCAUUUGUGGGAAAAUCAACACAUCACCGUCGGAAAACUCAGUUCCUUCGCGUCCUUCAAUUACUGUCAGCAAAGUCUAUCAAAAACCAAGAAACAAAGUGAGUAACGGAGUCAACUCAGCUCAACACCAGAACUCAGUAGCUCCAGGAAAUAAGAAACGGUAAGAAAAAGCGAUCAGCAACGCCGACGAAUUGAGCUGAAAAACGGACCUUAACGGCGAAGUCGUUCUUGCGAGCUUUGAGAGCGGAGGCGAAGAACUUAGGUAGCAGAGGAAGACGUGGCGGUCGUAGGCGUUGACGGUACCGGCAAGUUUUUCCUUGAACAUCUCCUAUCUCUUGAAACCGAAUUUCUCGUCUUCGGCGGCGGUGACGGCGGCAGAGAGGUCGUCGGAGGCCAUUGCCAGGGCUCGGAGAGGAGGAAUGAGGGGUUUAGCGGGGGUUGAAGUUGAAAACGAUGAGAGCGAAAAGAUGAGAGAGAAAGAACAUUGUUGUUUGGAGUUGGUGUGGGUGUAGGUGCGCAAUGCGCAUACGGCGCACGAUAGGGUUUCUGAGGCGAUCUGCAGCCAUAGGACUCGUUGUAGUUCUCUAGCCCUCCAAAAUUCUUCAAGAUAUUAAUAUUUUAAUAAACAAUACAGGAUCAUAUUUGUCUCCGUCUCCAACCGAGGGUCAGAGGGCUAGAGGGCUCGUUUUAGCCUUUUCACAAAAAAUCAUCUCCAACCGAGGGCCAAAGAGCAAUAGGGCCAAACAUAAUUUAUUAUUUAAAAACUACAACUUAAAUAGACAUAAAAAGGUUUUAUGUUUUUAAAUAUUUUUAAAAAUGUUGUUUAAGUUUCAUGUUGUAUAAUUUUUAUGUUGGUUAAUGUUAUUUAAUGUUGUUUCAUAUUGUUUAAUGUUGUUUCAUGUUACUUAAUUUAAUUUAAUGUUGUAUAAUGGCUUAGGAAGUUAUAGGAAAAAAAAUAGAAUUUAAAAAAAAUAUGAAACAAAUUUUGUGAAAUAGAAGUUAUAGGAAAAAUGGAAUUUAAAAAAAUAUGAAACAAAUUUUGUGAAAUAGAAGUUAUAGGAAAAAAAUGGAAUUUUAAAAAAAAAUAUGAAACAAAUUUUGUGAAAUAGAAGUUAUAAGAAAAAAAUGGAAUUUAAAAAAAAUAUGAAACAAAUUUUGUGAAAUAGAAGUUAUAAGAAAAAAAUGGAAUUUAAAAAAAAUAUGAAACAAAUUUUGUGAAAUAGAAGUUAUAGGAAAAAAAUAUGAAAUAUAUUUUGUGAAAUAGAAGUUAUAGGAAAAAAUAGAAGUUAUAUGAAUGUAAAAAAAUAAUAAUAAUAAAAUUGUAAAAAAAAAAAAUCAAAUGCAACGGCUACUAGCCGUUGCAUUUGAAUUUUUUCUUAAGAAAUCAUGUCGGUUAUAACCGACAGAAAUACAUGCUAUUAUUUAAUAUAAUGUAUUACUAUCGGUUAUACAUGCUAUUAUUUAGUAUAAAUGUAUUAAUGUCGGGCUGGCUAGCUGCAUGCAGCCCUCCAGCCCUCUCCGAUUUCAUGGGACCCUUCCAGAUUCCAGAGCUCUCUGGCCUAGCCCUCUGUUGGAGACGAUUUUCGGGCUAUUUUCGACUCUCUGACCCUCUGGAUCCUUCGGUUGGAGAUGGCCUGAAGGUCAGAGUGGGGACGUGUGGGGUUUGAUUUGUAGUUCAUGUAUUUACCCCUUUUGAUAUCUCUGAUCAUAUUGGACGGAAGCUAAAAGAUAAUUCAUGCACGCAAAAAUGGAAGGCCCUACAAACGGAGGAGGACAAUGUCUGCACGGAAAAUCAUCCUCUCUGAAUUUCUUUCUCCUAAUCUAACAAGUUCGGGAUCUGAAUCGUUAAAAUUUGAUCCAACAAUUAAGGUUAUUAUAACUUUUAAAGUGGACUUCUGUUUGUAGUCGUUGAAUCAAAUUUUAACGGUCUGGAUCCCCGAACUUGAUGGAUUAGAAAGAAGAGAUCCUUUCCUAUCUGCACCCAGGAAGUGGGUACAAGCGCGUGGGAUUUAAUUUUGUGAUUCAUUGCUGCCUGAGGAUUUUUUGGCGGUAGGUUGGAGGGAACCGACUGAGAGCAAAAUUGUAAAAUCCCCUAAACUCGGUGACGUGGCAACCUGUAAUUCUGAAAGGGUUCCGGAUCCUUUCGUUCUAAUAUAUCAAGUUCGGUGAUCAAGACCAUUGAAAUUUAAUCAAACAACUACAAAGAGGGACUCGCUUUAAAAGUUAUAAUGACUUUAACCGUUAGAUUAAAUUUCAAUGAUUAGAUUAAGAAAAAAAAAGAUCCGAAGAUAGAUCUAUUUUCAUGUAAUUCGGCCUUUACAUUCUGUCAAGAAACAGGCCGGUCACUUCGUUGAUUAAGUCAAGCCGUAAGCCUUGGUCCAACGUGGACAACUUCUAGAUGUCUUGUUUCUUUCAUUAAUUUAUUUCUUGAGAAUGACUUUUAAUAUUUGAUUUAAUUUUUUUGGUUAAUUAUUGAAUUUAAUUUGUCAAUGGCUCAAUUUUGGGGUGGGAUCAAAAAACCGAAAACCAAACUGAACCGAAACCGAAAAAAUCGAACCGAACGAAAAAACCGAACCGAAUUGAAAAAACCAAACCGAACCGAACUCUUUUGGUUCGGUUCGGUUUUGGUGGUCUAGAAAUCGAACCAAACCGAACAGAACCGAAAUAAUUAAAUUAAUAUUUUUUUAAUUUUAUUUCUUUAAUUAUUUGAUUUUAUUAUAUUAGAAUAUGAUACUUCAUACUGCUGCUUUGGUAGGAUUUGUUUGCUUUCCAAUUCAAAUUGUCUUCUCAGCUUCUCCAUCUACAACAAAAAUUAGAACUUAUACCAUUACAUGCAAUAUUUCUAGUUUAUAUCAUUAAGUGCAACACAUAUAUAAGAACACAUAUCUCAACUGCACUGCAGUUGAUUAGGAAAAGCAAACAGCGUAUAAAAGUCUCAUGAGUUUAUUAAACACUACGAGAUCAAAAACAAAAUUCAAACUUUCUCACCUAUGGCCAAGUAUAGUAGCUUCCGCGGCCUAACAAUUUUGAAAAGUAUAUCAAUAUAUUCAAAAAUAUUGAUGAACACCUCUUCAAAAUUUGCUGGUGGUAGAAGCUGAACACAGAAUGUAGAAAUUAUAUUAUGUCACCACAUUUAUGGAUAAAAAAAAUUUGGAUCAUAAAGAUAAAGAAAAUAUCAAAAAUUGUUACCUAGACAAUAAUCAAAAUAAAUAGUAUAUUAUAGAAUGUUUAUCUUAUUGCUAGUGAAGAAUACAUGUGUGUGUGUGUGUGUGUGUGUGUGUGUAUAUAUAUAUAUAUAUAUAUAUAUAUAUAGAGAGAGAGAGAGAGAGAGAGAGAGAGAGAGAGAGAUUGAGAGAAAGAGAGAAAUGAAUAAGGUCGUACUCCAUCAUCAUCGUCUAAAAAGAAAUCUAUUUACAGUUAAACUUUAAACCCAAAAUAUUAAAAAAAACCUUUAUGUUAUAAUUCUAUUUGAACUUUAAAUGUUUAUUUUCAUUAUCUUUUAAGUCUAGCCGGAAUGUUUAUGUUAUGAUUGUGUUGGAUAUGUUAAAAUUUAAGAUUUCAAAUUUUUUCAUUUUUUGAAAAAAAAUCGAAACCGAACCGGAAAAAACCAAACCGAUUUGAACCGAACCCACCCCUAGCUCAAUUUGCCAAUUUGUCAAUGAUACAAUUUAGGAUGGUGCUAUUCACUCAACUAUUUUUACUUCUCGAGUAUCUUCUUUAAUUUAUUUGAUUUAACAGCUAAACAUUGAGAGGGGUGUGUGAAACGUAAAAUAGUUUUUUAAUAGCACACCCCUACAAUUUAAAUACAAAGGAGUGUAGAUUUCAAACAACGAUUGAAUUUUAAGAUGACGCAUUUUGUUGAUUUUUCACAUUUAAGUUUGAAAUGAGCCGUUUUCGUAAUCUAUUAUAUUUAUUCUUGUGAUGCGUGUUUCAGUUGAAAAAACUAUCGUUUUCCAAAAAAAAAUAAUAAUAAAGAAAUGUAGGGUAAGGAUAGCAUUUAAAUAUUUAUGUUGAGAGUAAGGAAAAGAUAGAGAUGUGUAAAAUUCAUUUCCAUUCAUACAUUUUCGUGUUGUUUAUGUUGGUCUUUCAAUUAUUUAUGUUGAGAGUAAGGGAAUAAUUUGUACUAGGCAGUGUCAAAUUACAACCCUAAUUGAAAAACAUCUUGUUCGCCUGACCUAUGAAGGCCUACAGUGGAUACCUAGGCAUCCAGAGACGAGGAAGGGCAUAGUAAGCGAUGAAAUGCUUCAGAGAGUUGAAAAAUAAGCGUGGAUCCAAAUAUUCCGAAAUAUUUGACUGUUUCGAGCAAUAUGUAGGCCAAAAGACGGACGAUACAUAAACAGAUUAUUCGAAGUAGGGAUUCAUAAACAUCAAGUAUACAUUCUGUUGGAUAGUGGCCAAAUUAGUGGCCAAGUGGCCAAAAGCAUAUAAUAAAAAAUGAAGGAAUAAUGAUGUGGGAACAUCAUUAUGACGAGACAAAUGAUUAUGUUUGUUGAAAAGAAAAAUGAAGGUCAUGAUGAUGUUUGUAAAGGAAUGAUUAUUCAUUUACUUUGGAUUUUUUAUUGGGUGCUUUUGUAUGGAUGAAGGUUGCAGCCGAAUGAGGCCUUUUGGUUAUAUUAAGGCAUUCGAUUAUGCCUUUGGUUGUGUGGUGGAGCAGCAUCAGAUGAGAGCCAUACCAAGGAGAGCGUUCGGCUCUCCUAUUUGAAACAGUGUUGCUCAUUUCCAUUUGUUAGUAAUCCCUCAAUCAAAGAUGUUGCUGCUACAUGUUGUGUAGCUUUUGGGAGAGAUGGUAUUUGAUGUGUGUCCAUCUUCUCCAAUUGUUCUUUGUGAGAGUGAGAGUUAUUAGGUGUAUGUGGGAUUUGGGUUUGAGAGUUAAAACUCUAUUUGUAAUCUCCUUUUGAUAUUAGUGGAAUUUCCUCGCCAUCUCGGAACUGGACGUAGGCUUACUCCGAAUCAGUAUAAAUCCUUGUGUCAUUUGUCGAAAUUGUCUUAUCAUAUUUUGCUGUUGUAGCUUAUUGGUUUCAUAUUUGAUACUUCCGCACAACAAGUGGUAUCAGAGCUCCGGAUUUCGACUUGGGGGCUUUGUACAUGUAUGUCUAUGAAACCUUCGAAUAUGUUGGUGAAAUAUGAUUGAAAAAUUCGACGGGAGGAAUGACUUUGGCAUUUGGUCAAUUGGAGAUACAAGUUUUGCUUGCAUUGUUGCGAAAUGCGUGGCAUUGAAGAAGGAUGGUAAGGGAUCAUGCUGCAAUCCCUGAGCUCGCAGAUUGGAGAAUAGUUCCGAAAACAUCAUAUUUGCUGCAAUGUUGUUGAAGUGUUGGUGUUCGAAGGUUGCAGGUGUAGUGUACUGUUUUGGUAGAUUAUCCGUUGGUCAUCGCUGCAUCGACAGUGUUUGUGGGCUGUUGUCGACAAGUUGAGUGGGAAGGAGAAAAAGUAGAAGCUGUUGAGAAUUGAAAAGAAAAUGUUGGUUCCUUUUCUUUCGGCAUUUGUUUUGGCAGAAGGACAUCAUGAUGACAAAUGAUGUUGUUGGCUGAAAAAAAAAAAAGGUUAAGUUUUCUUCUCUUUGGCAUUUUUUCAACGGUAGAGAAUUUUUUCUUCACUCCCAUUGGUUGCCUUUGGAGCAAGUUGAUGGAAACAUUGGAGGAGUUUGUGAGGGCCAAUUUGUUGAGUUCUGCAAUUUUGGAUAGUGAGGCACCACACUAUUUUGGAUACACCACAUGCAUUGCAGAACAUUUGUGUGGAACCCUCUUGUAGAAGGCAAGUUAUAUGCUUUCUAACUUUGUUUGGUCUAUGGACAUUGGUUGGAUUUGUUUGCCACUGAUAUUUGGUUUGUUGGUCUCUAGCAUCUGGAAUAUGCUUUGUUGAAGACUCAUGUUGAGGUAUGGUUUUGGAUCUCCUACUGAUUAUUUGAAUUUGAAAUAUUUGGUUAUCCUAUUGGUGCUCAUGUGAUGAUGGUAAACUUGAGUGAAGGGCAUAAUAUUGAUAUUCAUAGGAUCUGAAUUUGGGUGAAAGGUUUUGUAUGUGGUAUGUUAAACAUUGUUGCCAAAUUUUGUAAUCAGUUUUGACUUGGAGAAUGUGCCCUGCUAUGUGAAUGAAUCUAUUGGUGCAGUUUAAGACCAUGGUGUUUGUAAGCAGGUGGAGUUCGUUAUGUGUCCAACUUUGGUAUGGUGUGCUUGAUCUUUUGUCGGUGAUAUUAAAGAAUUUCAGUUCUUCGUUUGAAUCACCUUUGUUUUGAUCAAGGCACUUAUGGUUUGCAAAUCUGGAGAAGACGGUAGAGAAAUGGUCUACUUUUGUUGGCUCUGGUACAAUUUGAAUUGAGGUGGAGAUCAUUAUAGUACCGAAAAGUUAGGGGAAUUUGAUUUAGUUCCCGUUGUCUUUAGUUUGUACUUUGGGUGCUUAUGGUGAUUGUUGAUUCGAUUCUCUGUGAUGUUUUCGAAAUUUGGCAAAGGUGGAGAUUGUUGGAUAGUUGCCAAAUUAGUGAAAAAGUUGUCAAAAGCAUAUAAUAAAAAAUGAAGGACAUAAUGAUGUCGGAACAUCAUUAUGAGGAGACAAAUGAUUAUGUUUGUUGAAAAGAAAAAGAAAGGUCAUGAUGAUGUUUGUAAAGGAAUGAUUUACUUUGGAUUUUUUAUUGGGUGCUUUUGUAUGGAUGAAGGUUGCAGCCGAAUGAGCGAGAGAAGGUAGAGCCUUUUGGUUAUAUUAAGGCAUUCGAUUAUGCCUUUGGUUGUGUGGGGAAGCGGCAUCAGAUGAGAGCCAUACCAGGGAGAGCGUUCGGCUCUCUCAUUUGAAACAGUGCUGCUCUUUCCCAUUUGUUAGUAAUCCCUCAAUCAAAGAUGUUGCUGCUACAUGUUGUGUAGCUUUUGGGAGAGAUGAUAUUUGAUGUGUGUCCAUCUUCUCCAAUUGUUCUUUUUGAGAGUGAGAGCUAUUGGGUGUACGUGGGAUUUGAGUUUGAGAGUUAAAACUCUAUUUGUAAUCUCCUUUUAAUAUUAGUGGAAUUUCCUUGCCAUCUCAAAACUGGACGUAAGCUUACGCCAAACCAGAUCCUUGUGUCAUUUGUCGAAUUUGUCUUAUCAUAUUUUGCCGUUGUAGCUUAUUGGUUUCAUAUUCGACGCUUCUGCACAACACAUUCCUCAAAAUUUUCAAUGCAAUUGGAUUUCCUCAAAUCUCAGGAACUACCAGAUUGUAAUGCUUGCAAUGGAAAGGAACCAUUGUGUACAUGUAGUAACCACACGAAUCAGUUGGAGACUUGUUUUUCAUCAGAGGAAAACAAAAGGCUAAGAAUCAAAAGAAAUCAAUCUCUAAAUAAUUACCCGAAGGCUUCAAAUCAACGCCCGGCAUCUUCCCGUUCAUGGGUUCUUUCGGUGUAUCAGGAGUCUCCAAUAUGUAGUGCUUUGGCACCUGGGGUGGAGUUGUACAGCGAAUCAGUGCCCAAUUCACGCUUUGGAAAAACGGAUGUUGUUUAACUUCUGUUGCUCCCCGCCUAUACGCAAGACGAUGCUGUGGCUCCUUGACAAGUAAACCUCUGAUCAAGUCCCUGGCUGCAAAGCUGACAGAAGGCAACUCUGGAAAUCUUAAAGGCUGGCCAACCACAUUAAACAAAGUAGCCCGGUUUCCUUGCCCCUUGAAUGGAGUUCUUCCGAACAAAAGCUCGUAGAGAAAGAUCCCAAAGGUCCACCAAUCUACAGCGCUGCCAUGGCCUUCACCUUUAAUGAUUUCAGGCACCAAGUACUCGUGUGUUCCCACAAAGGACAUUGAUCUAGCACUUGUCGGUUCUGCAACGAGUUCAGGGAGAGGGCUCACUUGAUUGUAUACAUCAUUAUCAUUGUUCUUCACCUUGAUCUUUUUAUCUUUCUUGGGUUUGCCCUUGAAAAUGCGUGGACCAAAACAUGUGGGCGUAAUGCAAUCCGGCUGCAUUACACAAGUUGGCUGGAUGCACGCAGGCUGAACACAAUAUGCUGAUUUCUUUGUCUCCAAACUUAAGUUUGAAGAUCUUACCAGGGUGGGGGAAACGGCACAUCUUAAAGAAAGGUCGAAAUCUGAAAGCAUUAUAUGUCCAUCUUCCCUCACCAAAACAUUCUCUGGUUUGAGGUCUCUGUAAAUGAUCCCGAGCAUAUGCAAAUAUUCCAAGGCAAGAAGAACUUCAACCACAUAAAACCUGCAAAAACAAACGGGAGAUAAACACACGAGAAUUAUUAUCUUCAGCAUGUCCCCAGCACUGGCAAAUAAACGUGUGCAAAACACUUGAUGUCCUUCUAGUUUAUAGGUUUACUCCUGCCUUUUCUCUGCAGGCUAUUGAAAUAUGAUUCCUAUUGUAACCUAAACUGAAAUGUGUAUGUGCACUAAUCAAAAAGUAAACUGAAAGGAGAAGUAUGAAGGAAUAUCUAACCUAGCAGCAUGCUCCGAAAAAUGCUUCCCAGGUUGUUUUUGUCUGAGUGCAUGCAGAUCACCCCAGGGACAAAACUCCAUCACCAAACAAGAUACCUUCUCCGUCUCAAAGUGUGUAUACAAUGUUGGCAGGAAAGGAUGAUCCAGAGAUUGCAGUAUUUCCCUCUCUGUCUGAGCCCUAAGAAGUUUUUUCCUACUUGCCAGUAAUGCUUUAUCCAUAACCUUCAUGGCGAAAUAAGUUUUAGUGCCAAUCAGUUCAGCCAAAUAAACGCUGCCUAUAUCUCCACAUCCCAGUGUCCUCAACAACUUGAAAUGCUCCUUACCCAGUGUUCCAUCAUGAUGAGAUCGCGCAGCUUGCACCGCUUCCCAACUAAUAUCAUUUGCCUUGUGGGGCUUGUACAUGGCAUUGCUCAAACUACUGGAGCUGCUCUCAUCGCUAACAUCGCUGCCAGUGCUGCCUCUAUAGAUGCUGGUCGUCCUGCUCUCAAUAAGAUCACAGGAAUUAGUAACUUCACUGCUUUCAACAGACUUCUCCACACUGUUGAUACAUUCACUGACUUCUGUAUUGGUGAAACUCUGCUUGGCUUCACAAUAUAGAGAGGCAGAAUAUAAACUGUUCUGAGGGCUUGCACAGUGAGAAAUGAGGUGGCUAUUUGUCUGCCCGGCUACUCCUUUAUAAGGAACCAAACCGUGAUUUCUAGAUUCCAUAUAUCUACUCGAAUCACAAUCAUUAACCGGAUGCUUGACGCUUGAUUUUGCUUCCAGCACGGAAACCUUGUUCAGAUAAGAAGUUUUGGCUGAUUUGUUAAGAACAUCAUUUGGGCCUCCAUGCUCAAGUGUUCCUGUUAAGUUUGAUAUUUCUAUAUAUUCAUACUGCUGCAAUGGCAGCAUUGCUUUAUACAUUGGAUACGUACACGCAUGCAUUAAACUAAAUAUAAAUGAAGGUGGAGUCCUCGCUGCCCAUAGUGCAGAAACUGCCCAUAAAGCACAAACACAGAUGCACAGCCCACGUGGGCAGUUUAGCUGUCAAGGCAUGUGUUGAAACCAUGUGCAAUAUUCUUCUGACAGGUUUGCUCUUUAACAUUCCCCCUCAAGUUGGAAUGGAUGUUGAUUAUUCCUAACUUGUGGAGCAAAGUCGUAAAUUGAUGUAAGCUCAGUGGCUUUGUGAAGAUGUCAGCUGGUUGCUUCAUGGUUGAAAUAUGAGACGUCCUGAUCAUACCACUUUGAAUCCUUUCUCGUACAAGGUGGCAGUCAAUUUCUAUGUGUUUGGUUCUUUCGUGAAAGACCGGAUUCGAAGCGAUGUGAAGUGCUGCUUGAUUAUCGCAAUACAACUUGACUGGAUGUUUAUGUUUGAUGCCCAAGUCUUGUAAAACAUAUUUCAGCCAAGUGACUUCACAACAAGAUGCUGCCAUUGAGCGAUACUCCGCCUCCGCACUAGAACGUGACACAGUGUUUUGUUUCUUGCUUUUCCAGGAGAUUAAGGAUUCUCCAAGGAAUACACAAUAUCCGGUGGUAGAACGUCGUGUGUCACGACAUCUGGCCCAAUCUGCAUCACAAAAGGCAUUCAGUUGGAUUGGACUUCUUGCAGAGAGAGAAAAAUACCUUGCCCUGGUGUAUGCUUAAUGUAUCGUAAGACUCGGUGGGCUGCCUCCAAGUGUGGAGUUCGAGGCUUCUCCAUAAAUUGACUAAGAAUGUGGACAGCAUAGACCAAAUCAGGGCGCGUGAUUGUCAGGUAGAUUAGUCUCCCAAUAAGCCGUCGAUAAGAAGAAGGAUCAGUGAUGCAUUGUCCUUCGUCCUUUCUGAGUGAUAAGUUUUUGCUCCAUAGGAGAGGUGGCUACUUUUGCACCAAGGUAACCUGCAUCCUCAAGUAUUUCAAGGGCAUAUUUUCGCUGUGAGAGAGCGAUCCCCUUACUAGAGCGAGCAAUUUCGAUGCCCAAAAAAAUAUUUUAGUUGGCCAAGGUCUUUCAACUUGAAUUGCUUCGUAAGGAAAGACUUGAUAUCCUCAAUUGCUUGUAUGUUAUUUCCUGCCAGGAUAAUAUCGUCAACAUAUACAAGGAGAGCAGUGAAUUUACCAUCAUGGUUUCGGACGAACAAUGAAUAGUCUGCCUUGGAUUGUUGAUGAUAACCAGCUUUGCUAAGAGCACAAGAGAGUUUGAUAAACCAUUGACGAGAGGCUUGCUUAAGCCCAUACAAAGAUUUAUGAAGUUUACAAACUCGUGUUUCCCCCUUUCGUCCGAAACCAGGGGGCAAGGACAUGUAGACAUCUUCUUCAAGGUCACCAUGAAGGAAGGCAUUGUGAACAUCAAGUUGGUGAAGGUGCCAUUGUUGGACUGAGGCAACGGCAAGAAGUAGGCGGACUGUAGUCAGUUUUGCAACCGGAGCAAAAGUCUCACGAUAGUCUAAGCCUUCAAUUUGGCUAUAACCUUUGGCAACCAAGCGUGCUUUAUACCGCUCAACUGAUCCAUCGGAACGAAAUUUGAUUUUGUAGACCCACUUACAUCCAACCGGCUGCUUUCCAGGGGGGCAAUGGUUGAAGAGACCAUGUCCUAUUUGCAGCAAGGGCUGCCAGUUCUUCUUCCAUGGCUAAACGCCAUUGGGGGUCGCGUACGGCCUGUGAGAAUGAACUGGGUUCUAUGGCAGCUGAAAUGGAAGUGGUGAAAGCACGAUGGCGAGCAGAUAAGCGAUCAUAUGUGAGUACAUCAGACAAAGGAUAAGAAGUACCUACCACUGUGGUCAAUGCUGAGUGAGAUGAAGGGACGGACCGAGAAGGAAGGUUAAUGCCAACGUGAUAUUGUUGAAGAUAACCAGGUGCAUGAGUGAGGCGUUUAAGACGAGGUGGUGAAGGGGAUUGGUCGACUGAAGAGGAUGGAUCGACUGAAGUGGAUUGGUCUACUGAAUCUUGUUCUAGUGGAAGGGACGGAUGAAUGAUGGUGUCAUCACAGUCAAUAUCUUGAGUAUAUGGAAACACAACAGGUGAGACGGCAACGGAAGAAGAAAAAGGGAACACAUUUUCAUGAAAAAUAACAUCACGGGAAAUAAAAAUUUUACCCGUUUGAAGGUCGUAAACUCGAUAUCCUUUGGUGCCGUAUGGAUAGCCAAGAAAAAUACAACGUGUGGCUCUUGCAUCAAAUUUGGUUGGUCUAUGGUGGUGUGUGGAAGAGAAACAUAAACAACCAAACACUCGCAAAUGUGCAUAUGUUGGCUGUUUGUGAUGAAGGAUUUCAUAGGGUGAUUUUCCGUGAAGAAGAGGAGUGGGAGUCCUAUUAAUGAGAUAAGUGGCAGUUAGGAUUGCAUUACCCCAAAAUUUCUUGGGAAGAUGAGAUUGAAAAAGCAAGGCUCUAGCAACGUUAAGUAAGUGGCGGUGUUUACGCUCUGCUACCCCGUUUUGUUGGGGAGUAGAGACACAACUUGUUUGAUGUAGAAUGCCUUUAGAUGAAAAAAAAUGGGUCAUAAAAAAUUCUAGACCAUUAUCACUACGAAGAACCUUAACUCGUGUGGAAAAUUGUGUUUCAACAAGGUGGAUGAAUGUGAUGAGAUAUGAUCGUGCAUCUGAUUUGUGAUUCAUUAAAUAAACCCAUGUGCAUCGUGUGAAAUCAUCUACAAUGGUCAAGAAAUAUUGUGCCCCUGUGAUAGUGGGAACAUGGUAACCUCCCCAAAUGUCAACAUGAAUUAAUUCAAAAGGAGCUUUUGUUUUAAUAGAACUCAAAGGAAAAGGAGCACGUGUUUGUUUGGCUAAGGGGCAGAUCAAACAAUCAUCAAUGCUACAAAAAUUCAAAUUUUUAAUGCAAGGGGAGAUAGCCCGUAAGGUUUUGUUGGAAAGAUGGCCAAGGCGUUGAUGCCAAAGCUGAGAAGCAGAGAAAGAGUAACAACUGACACUGAAUUGCACCUGGUUUUCGUCACAUUAUCAAGGUAGUAGAGGCCUCCUUGUUCAGUUCUCGUCCCAAUCAUCUUCCCCGAUCGUUGGCCCUGAAGUAGACACUUUUUAUCAGUGAAGAUGACAAAGCAAGAUGAGGUAUUAGUGAUUUUGCUGACAGAAAUUAAAUUCAGUUUAAAUGAUGGAACACAAAGCACGUUGUAAAGGACGAGAUCGUUCGAGAGACGAACUGUGCCAAUAUGUGUGAUAUCGGCAAGUGCAUGAUUGGGUAGGUGCACUUGUCGAUUGUAUACCGGAACGCUUGUGGUCAUCAAACUUGGUGAGCAAACCAUGUGGUCUGUGGCGCCAGUAUCGAAAAUCCAGUUCCUUCCCUUAUUGAGAGGAGAAGCACAAAGAACUCUACCUGAUAAAUCAUUCAUAGUAGAGGUGGUACCGACAUGGUUAGAUGUGGAUUUAGACUGGCUCUUAUCAAGUAGUGCAAGCAGGUUGUGGUAUUGCUCGGGAGUGAGGCUGUAGGAUGAAGGAGAUGUUGCUGGAGGCGUUGGUUUGAUGUCAACGUGAUUAGCCUUGGAGUUGAACCCCUGCGAGUUGGAACCCCUGCGAUCUUGAUAAUCUCCCUUAUCGCUGUUGUCCUUUGCCUUUUUCAAUUUGCGGCAUUGGUCUAUGGUGUGACCUCUCCAAUUACAGUAGUCGCACUUGAGGUGUGCACACGACAGGUUUCUGAAGUAUGUCCGGUUGCAUCACAACGGCCACAUUUUAAAUGGGAAUUUCUAGGAGAAAAAUUCCUACCAGAGUUUCGCAUGUUGUCCCGCACGGCGAAAGCUGCGGCAUCAGUGAUUGAAGACCUUCCAGGAGCAUGUAUUGAGACUGCUCUCUGUUUCUCAUCUUGAAUAAUGAGUGAGAAAGCUUUGUUGACAGCAGGGAGAGGAUCCAUAAGUAAGAGUUGCCCACGAACUGCAGCGUAGGAUUCAUUGAGACCCAUGAGAAACUUCAUGGUUUUCUGACUUUGCUGAAACUGCAUCAAUUCUUUCGCAGCUCCACAAUGCACAGGUUGGGAGAGCGCACAAGGCAUCACGUUCAUCCCAAAAACUUUUCAGUUUGGUAUAAUAUGCACCAAUGUUCAAAUUUCCUUGAACACUUCCAUGUAUCUCUUGUUCGAUAUGGAAGAGAUGGACACUGUUUGUGUGAGAGAGAAGCGUUCCUUCAACUCAUUCCAAAUAUCAGCUGCAACAUUGUUGUAGAUGACACUUGCACCAAUAUCUUUUGAGACAGAGUUGAGCAGCCAAGAUUUCACGAGGUUGUUGCAACGAGUCCACUGUUGGUAUUCAAUUGUGGACGUCAACUUAGGCCUUUGAAUGGUUCCAUUGAUGAAUCCUUCCUUGUUCUUGGCAUUGAGGGCCAUGGUCAUGGCUCGGCUCCAAGUGGAGUAAUUUUCGUCAUUCAAUGGUUGGUUGUGUGACGAGAAUCGCUCCAGGCUGAUCGGAGUGAUGAAGAUAAAGAGGAUCGCUGGGAUCUUCGUAUUUGGUGUGUUUGCUGGAAGAGUCAGUUGCCAUGUUCACAGACAGUGUGCAGUGGCUGUGCUUUGCGGCUGUGCUUAAUGGCUGUGACAGGUAGAGCAGCGACGAUGGCUGUGUAGCGGUUUUGCGACGGCAAGGCAGCGAGUGUGCAGCUUGCAGUGCACUGGUUGCUGCAGUAGCAGAUGUCGCUGUUCACAGUAUAGCAGCGAAAGAGUGAAGGCAGAGCAGAGCAAAGGAUUACCUGCGCUCUGAUACCAUGUUAAGUUUGAUAUUUCUAUAUAUUCAUACUGCUGCAAUGGCAGCAUUGCUUUAUACAUUGGAUACGUACACGCAUGCAUUAAACUAAAUAUAAAUGAAGGUGGAGUCCUCGCUGCCCAUAGUGCAGAAACUGCCCAUAAAGCACAAACACAGAUGCACAGCCCACGUGGGCAGUUUAGCUGUCAAGGCAUGUGUUGAAACCAUGUGCAAUAUUCUUCUGACAGGUUUGCUCUUUAACAGUUCCUUUAUUCGAAUUGUGGUAGUGUUUCCCCAUAUGAAGAAACUCUUCCUGCUGCAUGUUAUGAUUAGUUGCCUUGUUGGGGUUCUUUUGAUUAUUUACAGAACCAUUUGAGUAGCUGUCUGUCUUCACCGAAUAAGUAUGCGCAGUCACGCAGGAUGGCGACGAAACCCCUUCGCUUCUUGAUUGUUUUGGAGAUGAGGGCUGAGAAGGACGAGGAGUCCCAGUUGUGGAAGGAGGGUUCUUGCCUACCUCAGGCGGUGCAGAAUAGCGAAAUUUCGGCAAAGAAUUAACCCCAUCAACCAGUGACCCCAUGGCUUUCACACAGGCACUGUCACUGCAAAAUUCAACUGAGCACUAUGAUAAUAUGAUAUGUAACAAUCUUACCACUAAAGGCAUUAAGUACAGAAUCAUCAACUUGAAUUGUCUUCCAAAAUUCAAAUUAACAAGGCAGAGCCGUCAAUUCGAAACACAGAAUCAACAAAAAAUCUGCAACAAUAUACAGUCAAAGAAAAUCCCAGAUGAACCGAAAUUCAAGAUACAAGCUUUAAUUCACAAUCUAAUUAAUGGCAGCGCGAAAGGGGAAAAAUAUAUCAAAAAAGGAUCAUUUGACAAAAUUUUCAACAAAAAUUUAUCUUUUUAUAAAACCCAGAAACCCAAAUUCUCCAGUGAUUGAACCCAAGUUCUAAUUUUGAUUCUUUUCAAAACCAAACACGACUUUCAUUUUCUUUUCGUUUCCCACAGUUUCUCGGCAACCAAACAACAGAACAACGCAAAAGAACCUCAAAGCAAAGAACCCAAUUAGCCAAAGAGAGCUUAGAAAAAUUACCUGAUCAGAGAAGAGAGAAAGCAGACGACAGCAAGCAACCUCGCAUGGCUGGUGGGCACAAUGAGAGAGAGAGAGAGAGAGGAGAGAGAGAGAGAGAGACCCAAAGAGCGAGAGCUCACAGAGAAAGUGAAACAACUUAGAGGGGGUCUCUGUUUCUGUUUUUCAUCUUUUGGAUUUCACUGAAGAGCUUCAGAUCCGAUCGAACAAGAAAUCCAGAGGAGGAUCAAGCAACAAGACAACAAACAAAGAAAAAAAUAUGAAUAAAUUUAUGAACUUUUAACUUCUGGGGAGAACAGAAAGUUGGAGUUUCUCUGGUUUUUCUCGUCGCGGUGUGGACUUGAGAGAAAAACGAAGCCAAAAUUCGCAAGCAAAGCGUAAAGCUUAAAAAGCCGUCUUUGUCUUUGGAUGUUUUUUUUUCCAAUGUAUUUUGUUCUCUGAGAAGAAAAUAUGGUGGAAAGAACGUCUCUUCGCUUUGUUCUUGUUGUGAAAAAAAAAAACUUUUUAACAUUUUAGUUGUAUCAUGGCUCAUGGCGCACGAGAGAUAUUUCAUUAUGUCGAAAACACGGUCUGAUGCGAUUAUAGUGUAUCAAACCGUGUUAUCUUAAAGUAUGUAGGAAACAUGAUUUGAUGCGCUAAGUGUCUUAAUAUAAUUUGUUGAAAAAAAUUCAUAUGAUAUAUAAUGUAUCAAAUCGUGUGCCCCUAAAAAUGUAUUACGAUAGUUGUUUUCAAUUUGUUCAUUGAGGUAUUUUGGCAAUUACAAUAAAAACAACCAGCGCAAGAAAUCUUUAGGGACCCGUAGCGUCAGUAAUUGAAAAAAAAAAUGCCUCUCUCUUGAGAAAUUUUGAAUGUACCCCUAACCAAUAGCCCGCUUUAAGAAUUCAAUCUUUAAAUGAAUGAAUUGGUAUUGUGAAUGUUAAGAAUUAUUAGCUGGUGAUCAGACUAGUGAUACAUUUUUUUUUUCUCAAUGUUUGAAUUCCCAGUACAAUAUAUUUUGUAGCACUCAAUCGAACCUACAUGGCAAGGAUGUAGAUUUUUCAAAUGUAUAUUUUUAAGAUAUGAGGAAUUUAAAUGAAGAAACCAAACCCAAAUCUUGUAGCACACCCUUAUUCUACAACUACAUACUCAAAUGCAAUGUCAUACGUAAUUGUACAAAUAUCAAACUCACUUUUUUUUAUUAAUUUUCAAUAGUUAUCAUACUUCGUCUUUCAAGUGUAACUUAUUUUUCGAGCUCCCAAUAACAACUCCAUUUACAUUUUAUAUGAGCAAUGUAAUUAUCGAUAUCACAUGACUCCUACAUUAUUUUCAAGGCAAUUAUGUCCAAUGACGAAUGUACAUUGAGACCAAAGUGGUUUUAGGAUCACCAAAAGUUCAGAAAAUACACAUGUGAAUGUCUUUCGAGAAAUGAUUGGUAUUGAUCCUUCUUGUGCCCAUUUGAUGUAAUGCAUGCCAGCAUAUCUUGAGAUGAUGCGUCGAUAUCACUCAUCAGACUGUUUCAGUGUAUGUCAUUAUCUAUUGACAUGUUUCUAUCUAAAAAAUUAACAUUAAAACCCUCAAUGAUCCUAAUCUUGAAUUCGCAUCUGAUUAUGUUAUCUGUUUUAUCCCAUAAGUAAGAGCAGAGGUCCUCAACAUUGUCAAAUUUUCAAGCAUUCUUUCCCCUCAAAUAUUAUUUUAUUUUCUCCCUAAAUUCCAAUAAUACAAUGCUAAUAAUAAUUUUUUAAUGGAAUCUAAUCCAAAGAGUGGAAAAUAUCCAACAUCUAGAAUGUAACUAGACAAUGUUUUGAUUGACCACAACACCAAAAUUCAGGGAGCAGAUAUAGGACUUAAUUUUCAUUUUUUUAAACAUUAUUUAGGUCCAAGAUAAUUAAAUUAAAUUAUAAUUAGUCGUAAUCACAUGGGGAUUAAGCAACCGCACAAAUCUCGUUAAUUCCUUUCGCGGGAACCAGGAGGGAGGCCUCACAUGCGCGCACGUGAACACCAGGACAAAGCACGUGGGCGGCUGUCAUGCCCGUCGCAUGAAUCUACGGUAGGCCCGCGGUGAAACUAAAAGAUAUGUUUAAUCUGGAAGGACAGGGCGCCCGUAUCAAAUGUUACGGAGCUUUGGGUAUGUGGGUCUACAAUCACAUAAAUUUUUCAACGUUGUCGAAAACACAGUCUGUUAUAUAAGGUAUCAUUGUAAAAGCAGUUAAUUUUUUUUUUUUUUCAAACUAUUUAUGUUAUUGGUGUACUAGUCUGUUUUCCGACAGACUGAAAAAUAUCUCCACAAUCACACUGGUGGUAUUUUGUAUUGUGGAUUGUAAGUGCAAAAAGAGUCUAAUAGCAACUUAUAUAAAAUGAAUAUCUCAAUUGUAAAAAUCAAUUCUACUACUCAAUGUUUCGUGAAAACCAAACUUACAUUUAACAUUGUGUAUUAGUUUAUCGGAACGCCCUAAUUGCGAUAAACACAAAUUUUAUAUGUCAUUUUUGUGAGUUAAAGCUCAAUCCUUUGUGUUAGCAUAGAUAAUAUCGAUGUUAAAAAAUAAGAAAGUCAUUCUCGUGAUGGUGACCAGAUACACGUAACAUGCUUUCCUAACAAUGUGGGUCCCAGCAAAGACCCAUUUCCUUAAAUUUUAAUUCCCAUCAGACAUCGGACGGUUCUAUAUUGCUUCUGGACAUUGAUGGAUGCUCUGCACCGUAAACUCUAUGCGGUGCAAAACACUUGGUUCUUGACACGUGUAAUUAUUAGAAGGGAAUUUAGACAGUAUCAUGACUAGUGGGGACCACCAUUACCAAUCACAUAACAUGGACAUACCUUGGGCAAAUCAUUUUCCAUUUUCUCCAUUAGACAGUGAGCAAUCUUUCAAUGUACCUGAAACAAAGUGACAUAAUAGUAAGUAACACGGAGGAUGUCAGGACCAGUUCCAGACUCAAAAACCUUAAGGCCCAGUUUGGUGGGAAAUGGAAUAGGUUGUGAUCAAUUAAAAUAAAUUUUGAGUUCAACAUGUUAUUUAUUAUGUUAAAUGUGAGAUAGACAAGACUGAACUGGGUUAUAAGUUCAGAAUAGAGUAGAUUAUCUAACUUAUCCUUAUAAAUAGGUUACAAGUCUUGUCUUAUAAGCCCCUACGAAUCUAAUCAUACCUCUGUUGUCUAAUCUCAUCCAUCACCCCAAACGGGCCCCUUCGUGACAUCACAACAUAUUGACUCAUGUGCAAAAUUCAUUGACCACACAUGUUCCAUAUACGAACAAGUAACUUUUUUCAGCUAGGCACUAACACUGUCAUUAUUCAACCAAGCACUUACACUGUCAUGUGGUUUUACGAAUCCAUUCAUAUUAUAACAUAUGUAACCAUAAAAAAUUUCAACAUGACCGUUGCUUUAUACUGUAGUUCUGUACUACACAUGAAUUAGUAACAUCACCAUGUAGAUGUCCUACCAAAAAAAACGAAAAAUCUCCAUACAACUACAAACGAGAAGCAUUAAACUAGACAUUCAUUUCCUUCUCUGAGCAUGGGCAAACUAGCAAGGAAUGUGAUGAGGAAACUAACAUUAGACAAGAUGUCAAGAUUGUUCUAACCAAUUUUCCAGGUACAAAUUUAAGACGUAUCUCGCCGUUGACAAAACGUCAAGCCUCUUCUCGCUCGGUUCAUACUUCCCUUUCCGGAGCCGGUACCGACGAGUUACGGCCGAGAUUGUGUAAGUUUGGCCUUCUAUUGUCACACCGUCCCCACAAUGUAGGUUCUGCAGCAUGGAAGGUGCAAUAAGAACACACACAAGGAAAAUCAAAAGAGAAGAAAAUAGCAAGUUUAGUAGCAAAUUCGACGUAUCAUACAUCCGUAGGGCCUGCUGCUCCUCCAUGAAUGAACAAAUAGAGUAAUAUAGACGAUAGAGUAAUACUGAACGCAUGACAGACAGAAACAAUCAGUUCGGAUGCACGUAUAGUUUGAGGGAAGGUUUCGGUGCAGUUUCCUGGUUUUCUGAAGUCGUGUAUAGGGUUGUCCUCUCCCCGCAUAAAUGUGAUGGAGACUGAACUGUGAGAGACGUUCAAAUCUCAUAGAUGGUGAUCAUUUGCCUAGCCAAAUAAAAAGGAUCAACUUCGAUCCCGUACAUGAAUCAUCUUCCAUGCCUGUACAUCUGAGAAUAAUAUAAAACGGCGUUUAGACACUUAAGAAACGAAAAUGGCACAACGCAAAGACUUUGAUCACCUUGUGAUUUCAUUCACCAUCGCUCGGUCAUUGUGUUCUUUAGGUGUGUGCAGUGAACACUGAAACUUGUUUCUUCUAAACCAUCGAAAAACUUGUGCUCUUAACUUCACGCUUAAUUAAGUUAGCCGCGAAUGUGAAUUACAUUGCUUAUCUUCAUUUCGACACAGUUUUGUCCAAGUAAUCUGUUGGAGCAUGUUUGGUAUUCUACUUGAAUCCAACUUUUUAAACUAAAAAAUAAUUUUCAAGUUUUAGACCUUAAAAACUUGUUUGAUAUGACUAUUUUCAAAAACUGAACUCAAGACUAACUAAAAAAUAUAGUCUAUUAUCUAAAAACACAAAAUGUGAGUUUUUAGAAUUUUUAAAUUUAAAUUCACUCCUUUCUUUUCUCUCGCUCCUCCCCUCUCACUCCAAAGCUAUCUCUCUCUUUUCUUCUUUCUCUCUCCCCCUUCUCUUUUUUUUUUUUUUACCAUUUUCGUCUCUCAUCCAAUCCGCUCUCUUCAUUCUCUCGAUUCUUUAUCUCACUCACUUUUCUCUCUAUCUCCUCCGAUCCUCUCACUUCUUUCUUUUUCCUCCAAUAAUCUCUUACUUUCUUUCCUCUUCUCUCAUCUUUCUCUCUUGACCCACUCUUUUUGGAUCUCUUUGUCCAGUUUAAGUUGUAAGAUUUAAAAAUUUUAAAUUGCAUUUCAAACAAGUUUUUUAGUCUUAAAGAAAAUUGUUUUCAAGAAAAAUUCUUAAGAAAUGUUUUGAGAAAUUAUAAAAAAUUUCAAAUAGGAUACCAAACAAGCCAUUAGUUUCUUACAGUUUCUGAAAGAUCCAAGUCGACUGAGUACACGGUCUAUGCUACGUUUUUACCCAAGCGAAACACUACUUCAGAAAUGUUUUCACACCAGAAGAAGCUGCCUGAUGCAUACAUGACAAGCUAUCGAUACACAUUUAAGCAAGGACGUCUCACAUCCUCGGUAUGGUUUGCAUUUCUCAACGGCGUAGUGAUGCUUACUAGACAAAAGAUAAAAGAAAAGGAAAAGUGGGACGCAUUGGGGUUCAAUCUCCUCCAAAAACUAUGAAGGGCUUCCUCUUUGUGACACUUCCCAAAGUCAUCGCCAACACCAAUAUAUCAGAACAAGUGCAUAUGGCCCCCUAGAGCAAAAUGGAGUUCAGUGACCAACUCUUUCAAGUUUCAAUACAUCGAUCACGCAGCUUCUACCAAAUUCACACUCAAAAAACUUCCUUAUACGGUCAAUUUGUACAUCUGUGACAUCCAAAUCGACGUCAUUCGUGCUCAAUCAUUGCAGUAAUCGAGCUUAAACAGCUCAUAAUACAGUUAUAUAAGAAGCAAGAGCAAAUGCAGCAGCAGCAGCACCUGCAUAAUCCCCACUCAACAGACAUUCACGGAUUCAGAAUUGAUCCCCAAAAUUAUUGGUGGGAUUCGAAGCUCUUUUGCCACAAGUCCCCAAUCUGUCUAGCAAAGGGAAACAUUUGUGCCUCUCAUUUUAAUAACUUCUUUUUAUAGGGAGCUGAUCCGUUACUUUUUUACACAACUUUUGACAUACAUUUUUUUGCGGCGCAUUCUAUAAGUAUAUUUUAACGAUCCGAACCAUCACUCAUAUAUUAUACUUGCAAAAAUUUAGACUAACCCGAACCCAUUAAGACAUUUGUUUGUACCAAAAGAAACCUAAGCCCUUAUUUCAAGGGUCAUAUGGCUUCAUUUGGAAGACAGUGAAAUGCUUUCUGAACAAAAACUAGCAAAUCAUGGAAAAAAUUGUAAGAACAUCUCCAAUGGGUUGUGUUGAUGCACAAAAUCAGCGAAGACUUUGGUACAACAGAAAGUGUCAGGUUUUAUGACCUUCGCUUGGUUGCUUCGGUCACUAGUGAGGAUAAGUACGUAAAUGAAUAGAGACAGAGAAGCAAACACAGGAUGUACGUGGUUCACCCAGAUUGGCUACGUCCACGGAGUAGAGGAGUUCUUAUUAGUAGUGAAGGGCUUACACAAGUACAAAGGAUCAAGCUCUCAAUUUAGUGAGUUCUUGUGAAUGAUUUAACACAAAUGGCAUUAGGCAAUAUUGUGGGGGAAUGACCCCUAUUUAUAGAAAAACUUGUAGCUUUGUCACAUUGACAUGUGUCAUGUUAUGAUUGGUUCUUGAUGUCGACACGUGCUGCGCUCUGAUUGGCUUCUAAUCUUGACACGUGUCGAGUAGUGAUUGGCCUCCUGGUCGGAGGGGAACUCUUCUGGGUCCUUGACAGUAUAGCGUUGGCCGGUGCUCGGUAGUUUCGGGAUUGGUCAAGUAUGGUACAAACAGUGCUCCCCUAAGUUCCCGAGUGAGGGAAACUCCUCGGUUGGGGACUUGCAAGAUCCAAUCCCUUGAGUAAUCACGAAACUUCUAAGUACCGAAGUGUGGUCUGAUCUUCAUCUGCCCUUCUCUGGAAGUACCUUUCCUCCAUCCGGGAAUGGUGUAUUUAGCUGAUGUUGACGCACAAGGUAAUGUAUCAAUUUCAUUUGAAGCUUAGUUGUAGUUUCGGGCUUAGUCAAGUGUGAUACAAACCCUAUAGUAGGAGUCCCCCAAGUCGCGCCGAGCUAGGAGAUCUGCCGAAAGAGGUGACAGACAAGGUAAGCAGUCAAACUUCCAAGUAAGCAACCCAGGAUCAGAGGUUUGACUUCGGCUUCCGGUUGAUUGUUCUCCUUCUCCUUGUCUCUCAUUCAACUGCCAGGAUAAGGAGAAGCAAAUGGAUAAGAGAUGAUAUGAGAUACUUUUGCUUUUGAAGAAGUAACUUUCCACAGGCUUAUUCUUGAACUGUGCUGGAGGGUUUUCUGGUGCCCUUCAGAGUAUAAGGCCGACUCAAAAAUUUGAGGGUCAAAACAAGUCCAUCAAAUCUAGAGUACGUUCGACCUUGAUGAUAUGGGAUACUUUUGCUGUUGACGGAAUAAUGAAUGUGGUAUGGAAAGGUGUCGUGCUGUAGUGAUCUGUUUCAGCUCACCGUUGAACCUUCUGCUUCAAUCUUUUGCAUGGCAGAAGUGGUGUGCAACCUUUGCAUUUAAAUGGUCCUUCAGAACAUUCCUUCAUAGUGACUCAUCCACGCUUGGCAGCUUCAGUGUAAAGAGCCAAUAUCUGAUCAACUGUCAUGAGGUAUUUGCCGGUGGAAUUCGUGACCUUGACAACAGUUGAGGAUGAGUACUCGAGAGCAAUGCUAAGUAAGCAACCAGGGAAAGGCUCCAGGCAGUCAGUUCCAAAUUGGAGGUUUGAUUUCAGGUUCCGACUGACUGCUCUCUUUCUCCUUGUCCUGCAGGUGUGGACAAGGACAAAGACAAAGACAGGGAGAAAGCAUGAUAUGGGAUACUCUUGCUUUCGACCCUGAUGAUAUGAGAUACUCUUGUUCUUGGUGUGGCUUAUUUGCUGAGGUAUUAUCGGGGGGAAAUAAAGCUGAGUAUAUUUCGAGAGGUUAUGUUGAGGGUGCCUUUUUCGAAUGCGAGAAAGGGUUGAGCAUUUUUGCAGGUUUGCCUGUCCGUUGAGGAGGGAGGUCAAUGUAUAUAGGGAUUUCCCAAUAACAAGUAGUAAUGUUAUUCCUUUACCCUUCUUGGUCACAGCAAUGUAGUGGGAGCUGCCAGCUUCACGUGUUUUUAAUUUUGUCAGAGCACUUUGAAAAAGUGGUAUGUGGUAUCUGGAAAGCUGAUAUUACGUGUGAAGAUUACAGACAAGCUUUAUCUAAGGAAAUCUGGCUCUCGAAGUUCUGAGAGUUGUGCCUCUUCGGUUUUCGAACAAGCAAUCCCGUCGAGGAUCUGACUCUCGAGAUUCGGAAAGCGGUGCUACUCCGGUUUUUGAGAAAGUAAUUAUGUUGGGAGUCUUUUCUCGAAUGUGAGUAAAGGUUGGACGUUCUUGCCAACCUGUCUUGCCGCAAAACACGGAGGUCGACACACAUAGGGACUUUCCAGUUGUCAAGCAGUGGUGCUGUUCCUUUACCCUUAUGGGUAAUAGUAGGGUAGCUGGAACUUCGAAAUUCUCGUGCCUAAACUUUGUCAGAGAUCUUUGACAAAGUUAUAUGUGGUACCCGAGGAGUUGAUGGUGCAUAUGGAGAGCGGUGAUUGAACAGUAAGAUUCACGUGCUUUCUACUUCACCAGAAAUCUUCGACAGAUUGCCCGUAAUUUCCGCAAAGCUGAUUGUGCAUGUGACAGGUGCUGACGAGGCUGAAAAAGCAAGUGCUUCUUCGAUUUCUGAGAUCGGCCCUCGUGGUCUCUGAGCAGCCCAGCUUUUGAGAAAGCAAACGCCUCUUCGAUUUCUGAGAUCGGCCCUCGUGGUCUCUGAGCAGCCCAGCUUUUGAGAAAGCAAACGCCUCUUCGAUUUCUGAAGCUCCGUCGAGUGCAGAUUUUUAUAGAGGCUGGCAUUAAGUUCCACAGCACACUUGAAUCUCUACCAGUAGAAGCUCAUUUCUUGCACUUCUAAGAUCUUGAUUUGUCUGACCUCUUCCUUCUUCAACACAUUUGAAAAUGUCUGGACCCUCCGACCGUCGUUUUGACUUGAACCUUGGAGAAGAGACAGCCACGCCUUCUCCAGACAACAUAUGGCGCCCAUCCUUCAUAUCCCCUACUGGUCCUCUUACCGUUGGGGAUUCUGUGAUGAAGAAUGAUAUGACCGCUGCAGUGGUGGCCAGGAACCUUCUCACUCCCAAAGAUAACAGACUACUUUCCAAACGGUCUGAUGAGUUGGCUGUUAAGGACUCUCUGGCUCUUAGUGUUCAGUGUGCAGGUUCUGUGUCUAAUAUGGCCCAACGCCUAUUUGCUAGAACCCGCCAAGUUGAAUCAUUGGCUGCUGAAGUGAUGAGUCUCAAACAGGAGAUUAGAGGGCUCAAGCAUGAGAAUAAGCAGUUGCACCGGCUCGCCCAUGACUAUGCUACAAACAUGAAGAGGAAGCUUGACCAGAUGAAGGAAUCUGAUGGUAAGGUUUUACUUGAUCAUCAGCGGUUUGUGGGUUUGUUCCAAAGGCAUUUAUUGCCUUCGUCCUCUGGGGCUGUACCUGGUAAUGAAGCUUCAAAUGAUGAACCUCCAAUGCCUCCUCCUUCUGGGGUUUUGUCAAGUACUGAGGCUCCGGAUAACCACCCUCCGGUGCUUUCUCUUUCUGGGGCUCUACCGACUGCUGAGACUUCCCCUAAGCAACCUUUGUGAAGGCUCCCUUUUGUUUGUUUAUUUUGACUCAUGUAUAUGUACAUAUUUGUGGCUUAUCGAAAAUAUUAAUAAAUAAGCUUUGCUUCAUUUCAACAUAUUGUGUUAAAUACACCAAAGCCUUCUUCAUAAAGUUCUUUGAAUUUUUGCUUUUGUUGAAACCUGUAUUGUUGAAGCUUUGUGAGUGAAGCAUGUAGUUUGAGGUAGUGUUCCCUUAAUUUCCCGAGUGAGGAAAACUUCUCGGUUGGAGACUUGAAAAAUCCAAGUCACUGAGUGGUUGUGAGACUGCCGAGUAUCAAGGUGCAGUAGCAUAUGGUGGGAGUCCCCCAAGUCUUCAGGCGAAGAGAGUUGCCGAAUGAGGUGUCUCUCGCGUGUUACUAAUUUGUCAAAGUAACGAAUCCUUGUUUCGAUGUCACACAUUCGUAUAUGCUUUAUCUAAAAAUAUUUCCAACUUUUGUGUGUUUGAUGCUGCAUGCUAUUGACUAGACAAGAUCAAGUGCAAUUAGUAGCUUUUCUCUCUUUUUCAUCUUUUCUUUGGUGGAAUUGCUUUUCGUUUCCACUAAUCAGCCUGAGUGGAUGCAAGAUAACACCUUUCUCUAUAGCUCAGAUUGCAAAGUCGUCUUCAUGAAAGUUUUUCCUUAUCUUGUGAACUACAACAUAUCCAAAUUUGAGAUCCAUCGGAGUAGUACAACUUCAGAAAUUCAAGUAUGAUGAGUAACUGUUCAUCAAUGUUCUGUUAAUCCGUCAGACUUGUUGUGAGCUUCGAAACUCCAUUUUCUCUUGUUCAGAUCAACAUACUUUCUUCAUCGAAGUUGUUCCUUAACUUGUGAACUACAACAUAUCCAAAUUUGAGGUCCCUCGGAGCAGUAUAACUCCAGAAAUCCAGGUAUGAUGAGUGACUGUUUAUCAUUUUGUCUGUCAACCCGUCAGAUUUGUUGUGAGCUUUGAAACUCUAUUUUCUCUUGCUCAGAUCAGCAUGCUUUCUUCAUUGAAGUUGUUCCUCAGCUUGUGAACUACACAACAUAUCCAAAUUUGAGAUCCCUCGGAGCAGUAUAACUCCAGAAAUCCAGGUAUGAUGAAUGACUGGUUAUUAUUUUUCUGUCAACCCGUCAGAUUUGUUGUGAGCUUCGAAACUCCAUUUUCUCUUGUUCAGAUCGGUAUGCUUUCUUCAUUGAAGUUGUUCCUCAUCGACUCUUUCAUAACAUAUCAAAAAUUCAGGAUGAACUAACGGUUAAAUAUUUCCAGAUCUUCGAAACAUCACAACAGCUUCGAAAUCUGCAAGAAGCCGACUAUCAUGUUUGGAGCUUCAACACUUUAAUUUCCGUCGCUCAAACAGAAAUGGUUCCUUCUUGAAAGUUGUUCAUAUGCUCAAGAACUAUAGGGUGUCCAAAAUUCAGCUCCAUUGGAGAAGAGCAGAGGUUGCAGAAAUUUGAUAGAUGAAAGGAGGCGGAAGAGGGAGAGAGAGAAAAAGUCUCUUGGGUUGGAUUUCUAUUUUGGGGCAGAUUCCAAUUUUUGUAGCACCUUCAUUAUUGAUGAAUUGCUUGUACUUUUGUCCAUUAUGAAACUUGGGACUUUGGCUUGUUGUUGGAUCUAUUAUAAUAUGUUUGGGAACAUAUAUAAGUGAAUAAAUAAGAAGGAAAAUUUUGGGCCCUUGUGGGUGUAAAACAAAAAAUGUUUAUGUUUACCCAAGUGUUUUUGUACAAGUUCAAGGGCAUCUUGGGUUUUGUGAACAAAAUUUGUUUAUUUGGAGCAAGGUUUUGUGUUGAAGCUUUGUAGGUGAAGCUUUGGUGUUGAAGCUUUCUAGGUGAAGCUUUGAUGGUGAAGCUUUGUAGAUGAAGCUUUGUAGAUGAAGCUUUCUAGGUGAAGCUUUGAUGGUGAAGCUUUGAUGGUGAAAGUAUGUAGAGGGAGCUUUCUAGGUGAAGCUUUUUUAGGUGAAGCUUUGUAGGUGAAGCUUUUUUAAGUGAAGCUUUUCGGGUGAAGUUUUUUUUUUUGGGUGAAGCUUUGUGGGUGAAGCUUUUUAGGUGAAGCUUUUGUGGGUGAAGCUUUGGAGGUGAAGCUUUUCGGGUGAAGCUUUUUGGGUGAAGCUUUUUAGGUGAAGCUUUGUGGGUGAAGCUUUGGAGGUGAAGCUUUUCGGGUGAAGCUUUUUGGAUGAAGCUGUUUUUUUUUUUUUUUUUUUUUUUUUUUUUUUUUUUUUUUUUUUUUGGCGCUUGACACGGUCUUCAUUUGCUUGUUUUGUAGUGACUGUGGAAGACGGAUUGCUUUCUGAUUGAGAAGGGUUCCGGCAUCGCUUGCUAUGAAUGUAAAAGAGUGAGGGCUGAGUUGGCUAAAUUACCUCUUUAUUGAAUUCAUUGCCAAAUGGCCUUCAUUACAUAGGAUGCCGAACGGCUAUAGCUCAACACUUGUACAUCGUGAGUCUAUUUGUAGUAGUACUUCAAGUGAUCAGCGUUCCAUGGAUGGCCAAGGGUCUUGCCAUCGGAGCUUCUAAGUGUGUAAGAGCCAGGGCGACUGAUGCCAAUGACUUCAUACGGUCCAUCCCAGUUUGGACUAAGUGUGCCUUCACUCGGGACUCUGUCGCAGAGUAAUCUUUUCUUUAAGACCCAGUCUCCUAUUUUGAAAGAACGAGGCUUGACCCUAGAGUCAUAAUAGUUGGAGAUGCGCUGCUUGUAGGCGACAUUCCUCAAGUGAGCUUGGUUUCUGUGUUCCUCGACUAAAUCCAAGUUGAGGGUGAGUUGUUUGUCAUUUUCACUUUGAAUGUAGUUCUGGACUCGGAAUGUUGCUUGCUCGAGCUCAACAGGGACAACCGCCUCUGUGCCAAAGGCAAGUGAGAAUGGAGUUUCUCCUGUUGAAGUCCGAUAUGAAGUGCGAUAUGACCAAAGAACUUGGGGUACAAAUUCUGGCCAACAGCCUUUAGCUUUGUCCAAGCUGGUUUUCAAAGUGCGCUUGAUUAUUUUGUUGAUGGCCUCAACUUGUCCAUUAGACUGGGGAUGAGCUGGAGAGGCAAAGCAUAAGUUGAUGUUGAACUUAGAGCAGAACAACCUGAACUUCUUGUUGUCAAACUGUCGCCCAUUGUCAGUGACUAUCGCAUUGGGAAUGCCGAAUCUACAAAGGAUGUUCUUCCACACGAAGUCUUCUAUCUUUGCCUCAGUAAUGGUUGCCAAGGGUUCUACUUCGGCCCACUUUGUGAAGUAGUCCACUGCAACGACUGCGUAACAGACUUUGCCCUUCCCUGCCGGCAUUGGGCCGAUCAAAUCAAGUCCCCACUGGGCGAAGGGCCAAGGGCUGAUCAUAGGAGUAAGAGGCUCUGGAGGGGAAUGAGGAAUAGCCGCAUAUCGUUGACAUUUGUCACAUGAGCGGGAUACUUUGAUGGCAUCCUGGUGGAGUGUUGGCCAGUAAUAUCCUUGGCGAAAAGUCUUGUGUGCUAGGGACCGAGAUCCAGCAUGAUCUCCACAGACUCCCUCAUGUAUUUCCCGAAGGACGAUUUCCGCCUCGGCAGGCGUAAGACACCUUAAGUAUGGCAGGCUAAAACCUCGCUUAUAGAGUUGAUCAUUGAUGAUCAGGUAGCGGGUAGACUUGUAUCGAAUUUGCUUAGCCUGGACUUUAUCAUUUGGGAGGGUGCCAUGAGCAAGGAAAUUAUAGAUCGGGGUGAUCCAACUAUCCCCCUGUUGUAAGUUGCAUACUUCUGCGGCCAUGGUGCUUGGUGUUGCCAACAGUUCGACAUGAAUUUUUCUUCCAAUCUUGUCUUCCACAGCCGAGGCGAGGCGAGCCAGGGCGUCUGCAUGACUGUUUGCCGCUCGAGGAACUUGGGUGAUCUGGUAGUGGAAGUGCUUGAGCAAAAGUUGUGUUUGCGCAAGAUAUGCUGCCAUGGAGCUGUCCUUAGCAUCAAAGUUGUUGGUAACCUGGUUGACCACCUAAUUGGGAGUCACUGAAAAUAUCAAUUUGUUUAACCCCGAGGUGUUUGGCCAAACGUAAUCCUGCUAGAAGGGCUUCAUACUCGGCCUCAUUAUUUGAUGCCUUGAAUUUGAAACGAAGAGCAUACUCCAUUGCUACUUUGUCGGGUGUAGUCAAGACUAGUCCCGCUCCACAGCCCUGUUGGUUGGAUGAGCCAUCAACAUACAGACUCCAUGCUGGGGUUGUUGGUUCUAUCUUCUGAGCUUCCGGGGUAAUGAAGCCACUGCUUCAGGUGUAGAAGCAAUGUCAACCGGAUAUGUGAAGUCGGCAAUGAAGUCUGCCACUGCUUGGCCCUUCUCAGCUGGCUUUGGUUGGUAGGAGAUGUCAAACUCACCCAACGCUAUUGCCCAUUUGAUCAUUCGCCCUGAAGUGUCAGGACUUUGGAGUAUCUGUCGAAGAGGAUAAUUGGUAAGCACGAUGAUGGAGUGCGCUUGGAAGUAAGGGCGGAGUUUUCGAGCAGACAUGACCAAUGCCAGAGCCAAUUUCUCAAUGUUAGAGUACCGUGUCUCCGCAUCUUGUAAGGCUUUGCUAGCGUAGUAGACAGGUCGCUCAAUAUUCCCAUCCUUUCGAAUGAGAACGGAACUUACGGCUGAAGCUGAUACCGAUAGGUAGAUAAUGAGAAUGUCUCCUACCUCGGGCUUGGAGAGUAGAGGGGCUUUACUCAUGUACUCCUUGAGGUUUUUGAAUGCCUCGGCACAUUCAUCAGUCCAUGUAAUGUACUUCCUACUUCCCUUAAGUGCUUUAAAAAAGGGAGCACAUUUGUCUGUGGCCUUAGAAAUGAACCUGGUUAAGGCUGCCACCUUGCCAGUAAGGCUCUGGAUGUCCUUUGAAGUUACCGGUUCCUUCAUGUCGAGGAUUGCUUUGAUCUUCUCGGGAUUAGCUUCAAUGCCUCGUUGGCUAAUCAUGAAACCUAAGAAUUUGCCAGAGCCUACGCCGAAGGCACAUUUGUUGGGGUUUAACCUCAUUCGAUACCUCUUCAAAAUAGUGAAAGUUUCAGAUAGGUUGGUGAUGUGUUGGUCAGCAUGUUUGCUCUUGACUAACAUAUCAUCAACGUAAACUUCCAUGCUCUUCCCAAUCUGCUCGGCGAACAUUGAGUUGACUAGUCUCUGAUAAGUCGCUCCUGCAUUCUUUAGGCCGAAAGGCAUGACUUUAUAGCAGUAUAGUCCUCUGUCGGUAGUGAAGGCUGUGUGUUCUUGAUCCGAAGGGUUCAUGAGGAUUUGGUUGUAUCCUGAGUAAGCAUCCAUGAAGCUCAGGAGUUCACACCCGGCCGUAGAGUCUAUAAGUCUGUCAAUAAGAGGAAGAGGGAAGCUAUCUUUCGGACACCCUUUGUUUAGGUCGGUGUAGUCAACACACAUUCUCCACAAGACCUUUUGAAGCAAAAGACUUUCUUUGGUCGGAUUUUUCCUUAACAAGGACCACAUUUGCUACCCAUGUCGGGUAAUUGACUUCGCGGACAAAGCCUAUGCCUUUGAGUUUUUCAACUUCUGCUUUCAUUGCCUCGUAUCGUUCAGCGUCAUAAGAUCUUCGCUUCUGUCUCACCGGCUUGAUCUUGGGGUCAAUACUCAAACGAUGACAGAUGACAUCGGGAGAGAUGCCUGGCAUGUCCUCGUAUGACCAGGCGAAGACUUCAGUGUUCUCUUUCAAAAAAGAUAUCAAUGCUAACCGAAGGGGUGGUGACAAUGUGGUGCCAAUCUUCACCAUGCGAUCUGGAUAAUCUCUUGAGAUAGGUACCUUCUCCAACUCUUCAGCAGGUUGGGCUUGCUGGGUGAAAGAGUCAUCUCGAGGAUCAUCGGGUUGAUUGUUGCUAUCAGGAAGAUCCAAGUUCGCUUCAUCUAGGCUGGUCUUUGUGACUUGGUCAUGUACAGACAGGGUUUCCUUGGGUCCGGGCAAGUGUUGUUGCUUAACUGAAGUGUUGUAACAUGAUCGUGCACUAAGCUGAUCUCCUCUGAUGUAGCCGUUGCCAUGGGGGGUUGGAAAUUUCAUCAACAGCAUAUGCGUGGAUACCAUAGCCUUGAGAUCAUUGAUGCCUGUGCGCCCAAAGAUGACAUUGUAUGCCGUUGGGCAGUCAACCACUAGGAAGUUAGUGGUAAUGGUAGCCGUGUAAGGGCCUGUACCAAUAGUAAAGGGUAAAUGUAUGCUCCCUAAGGGUUGCACGAUAUCACCGGAGAAGCUUAUCAGAGGAGAAAAUCGAGCGAUCGAGCAAGUGUUCAGCUACACUGAGUGCCCUGAAAGCUUCGGCAAACAUGAUAUUGACCGAAGCCCCUGUGUCUACGAGGAUUCGUCGAACAUCAAAGUUGGCUAUGUGAGCCUCCACGAUCAAUGGGUCGUUAUGAGGGUAGAUGAUGCCUCUUUCUUCCUCAGGGUAGAAACAUAUCGGAUCCCAGUUAGGUUUUUGAUACUUCCCUCCCCUGAUGUCUUCCACGUGAAACACUUGGUGACCAGGCCUCAGACUUCGUUCACUGUUUUUCAUGGCCCUAUUGGAAGAUUCAGAUAUGGGUGUGCCGCCGCUUAUGGAAUAUAUGACAUUCACCUGGCGUUGGUUACGGUUAUCCCUUUGAGGGUGAAGAAGGAAUUGAUCAAUUUUUCCUUCUCGUGCCAAAGCUUCAAUACGAUCACGGAGGAUGAUACAUUUCUCGCUAUCAUGGCCGUUAUGCUCAUGGUAGCAACAAAACAUGCCCGCGUUAUUCGGGGGCGUGUAAUCUGGGUGCCUCGGCUUUGGCUUUGGUAUCAGGUGAGCUAUGCUGGGGUAAAUGGCCGCGCAUGUGGCAUUCAAGGGCGUGUAUGUCUCAUACCUUGGGGUAGGGGGUAUCUUGACGCGGGUUUGACCCACUGCAUUGACUGCCUGGGGGCGAGCGUUAUUGUGGCGAUACCCUUGGUUAUCGGGAUAGUGUCCCUUACUCUUUUUUACUGAAAGGAGAGUGGUGAGGAUGGAAAUCCUUCCUCUUGCCUUGAAAUUGAUAUGUCUGUUGAUUCGGUGAAGCAUUAUGCAAGGCAUGGGGAGGUGCCACUGCUGUUUGGAAAGUCGAGGUCUUCUCAUUUAGGUGAGUCUGGCUUCCACCUCCCACUUGUUGAUAAAGGAUGGUUGUAGGGGGUUUCUCCUGAUAUGUCUUUGCCUCGGCGGAGGCAUGGUUAUAAGCCUGCGCCAUCACCUCAGAGUAAGUCUUCCAAGUAUUGGCAUUGAUCAUGUAUUUAAAGAAACAAUCACGUAGGCCUGCCGUGAAGGCUUUGAGGGCAGUCUUGUCGUCUGCCUCGGCACACCGGGAGUAUUCAUGGCUGAAGCGGCCAGCAUACAUACGUAAUGACUCGUCUGGCUUCUGGCGGAUAGUGUACAGGUCAUCUGCAGAGUGCAAGCGAUCGGUUUGGAAAAUGUGUUGGGAAACAAAUAGUUUCCUCAAUUCCUCAAAUGAGUCUACCGUCUCAGGUGUAAGACGACAAUACCAAUUUAGAGCUCCACUAGAGAGGGUGGAGGGGAAGAGAAGACAUCGCUCUUCGUCGGUGUGCAUCCGGUAUGCCAUGGUGGACUCAAAGAGGUUAAGGUGCUCAAUCGGGUCCUCUUUUCCAGUAUAAAGUUGCAAGCCAAGCUUUUGCUUUGUCUUUGCUUGAAGGGGGGUGUUGAGGAUCCUCCUUGUAAGAGGGCCAGGCCUGGGUUGGUUCCAGUCAGGUAUUUCAGCCUGACGUUCAGCCUUCAACUUGUUUACUUCCUCAAGAAGUUGUAGGACAAGGGGGUCCUGAGCGGAGUUAUGUGUCACUGGAGCUUUCUUUCGUAAAUCUCCAUCUCCUAUUGGAAUUAGGAAGGUUUGAUCAAGGGCAUGUGAUUUUUCCCUGGACUCGCUGUACUGGCUUCCAAGGUAUGUCUGUCGGAACACCUCUGAGUCCCCUGUACCCUCAUGUCUCUCUAGGACUUGUUGCCCCUUCCCCAAAUUGGUGGCCGGCUUGGGCAGUGGCAGGGGACCGAGUCUCUCAGAAAUCCUUGGGUCAUUAAUCUUUGAGCUUAUAUGGAUGGAAUUCUCUCGACGUUGCUUCAGGAAAUCCCGACAAUCGCGAAAGACGGCUUUCGAUCCUUCUGCCCCUUCAGCAAAGAGGUGUCUCCUUCCACUUCUCAUGGUUCGGGUCGAAGCAACUGGGUUAAGAGAAGCCUCAUGUUGAUUAUCAAGUCGAGGGGUAAUCUGUUCCCUAUCAGGGAUAUCUAUGUCGAAUGCAUGUGACCCUCCAUGUUGGAGGGCACCCAGUUGAUGGUUGACUUCCACGGGGGCAACAAGCUCGCGUGUCUGAGCUUGCCUAGCUUCGUGGAGUGUCUCGAAGAGCUUCUCAUAUUGCUCCUGGAGGACCUCAUUCCUCAUUGCUAUCUUGUUGUUCUGAGCUUCCAACUCAUCGACUUUAGCUUGAAGAAGAACUCGUUUUCCUUCCUUCUUUCGUUGUUUUCGCACUAUGUGCAAGGGGGGUGUCAUUCUGUGUGCUGUGGCUUCAUUCGCUUCCCAUGCUGGAGAGGGAUGCCUGAUCAAAAGAAAGUGUACGAAUGAUAGAAACCAGCUUGACACAGCUGAAGAGAGUAGGAAUCAGUGUCGUUUCCCACAGACGGCGCCAAAUGUUGAUGCACAAAAUCAGCGAAGACUUUGGUACAACAGAAAGUGUCAGGUUUUAUGACCUUCGCUUGGUUGCUUCGGUCACUAGUGAGGAUAAGUACGUAAAUGAAUAGAGACAGAGAAGCAAACACAGGAUGUACGUGGUUCACCCAGAUUGGCUACGUCCACGGAGUAGAGGAGUUCUUAUUAGUAGUGAAGGGCUUACACAAGUACAAAGGAUCAAGCUCUCAAUUUAGUGAGUUCUUGUGAAUGAUUUAACACAAAUGGCAUUAGGCAAUAUUGUGGGGGAAUGACCCCUAUUUAUAGAAAAACUUGUAGCUUUGUCACAUUGACAUGUGUCAUGUUAUGAUUGGUUCUUGAUGUCGACAAGUGCUGCGCUCUGAUUGGCUUCUAAUCUUGACACGUGUCGAGUAGUGAUUGGCCUCCUGGUCGGAGGGGAACUCUUCUGGGUCCUUGACAGUAUAGCGUUGGCCGGUGCUCGGUAGUUUCGGGAUUGGUCAAGUAUGGUACAAACAGGUUGGAUCCUAAAAAUCCCGCGGACUCAGAAAGUAAUAACAAAAAUGGCUAAUCUAAUAACGGAUUCCGUAAAAAAAAAAACAAAAAACGUUAAAAAAGAACUAAAGGCAGUCUCUAUGCCAUCUUACGAAAUAAAAUUCAGUGCGAGAAUGCAAAGAUCUGCACAAAUGUGCAGCCUGUUAAUGUCAAUUGCCAGGUCCCUUUAAUCUCAUAGUCCUGGUACAAAUAAAGGGCUUCAAUGAAAUAAAAAGAAUUCAACAGAAGAUUAUACGGAACGUCCUUGACACAAGGUUACCGGCCUCCAUUGCCGCCGGGGCAAAGUAUAGAAAGAGAGAAAUGAGACCAAGUGAGAAACUGGAAGCAGACGCCUGUAGACUUGAAGCCAAUAGCUACAGAGGUAGGUUCAUUUAGCUGCAGACUUCUUUUUUCAUCCUAAAGUACAACAGACCUUCUACCUCCCAUAUGGAUGAUAUCGGCCACUACCUGCACCGCCAUAUCCCCCUCCUCUACUACCGUAAAAGGAAACUCCACUACCACCUCCAUAGCCACCUCCGUAGCCACCUCCAAAACCUGCAUCAUAGCCACUCCCAUAACCACCACCACCAGCUGCCCCACCAGCACCUCCAUAUCCCCCAUAACUCUCACCAGCUCCACCAUAACCACCUCCCAUAUCAUAACCCCUGCUAUAGGCUCCUCCAUAACGGCUUGAAUAUCCUAUGGAAGAUUCUCCCCUAUAAGCCCCUAUACCGCCGCCACCACCGCCACCAUAUACUCCAUAUCCGCCAAAUUCACUGCCACCAUAUCCUCCAUAAGCACUGCCUCUACCACCAUAGGCAGCAGCUGACCUAUAACCACCAGCACCACCAUAACUGCCACCUCCAAAUCCACCAUAGCUUUCUCCAUACCCACCACCAUAUGCAGGUCUAGAAUCAUUAUAACGUUUUGAUGGUGGUGCAGGUUGGUUUGGCUUCUUUGGUUCUGCCUUUUUUAUCUCCACCUACAAGAAAUAACAGAUGAAUCUAAACUAUCAAGCUUCUUGAAUGCUCAUAGAUGCAUUUAGUACAUUACAUGGCCAAACCGUCUGAGUACAUGUAAACUAAUUUCGUGUACAUAUGUGAAUUCUACCUCAGUUUUGUUUGGUCAAGCGUAUUGUAUCAUGGUCUCCUUAUUCGUCACUUCGAAAGUGAAUAAAGCAAUAUGAACUUUAAGUAAUCUACAGGGACUACUAAACCAAGCAACAAUUUAGUGCAACCCAUUACAAAACCAUUCUUCCACAUUGAUCAGCGAAAGCAGAAAAUUAAAAAGAGGAUGCAUACAGCCACAUCAAUGCAUAGAGACCCACUACACGAUGCAUACAGCCAACCCACCUAUAUAAUCAAAACUUGGCGGCACUUCAAAUUUGAAAUUUUCUUCCUCUCUCACGACAUAGGUUAGCUAUUAAGGAAUAACAUUUCAAGAGCGACAAAUUCCACCAAAAACAUCCCCCACGUUCCAUUUCUACUGUGAAUUGGUAAUAUUAUCGAUGCAUAUGUUAUAUGAUCCUCAAACUCGCUGUAGCAUGACUAUUUAUUUAUUUAUUUAUUUAAUAUCCUUUACCUCAACUUCAUCUGUUUUUCUGUUGAGUAAAGAUAAAGGUCGUACCCAGUGCACAAGGCUCCCGCUUUACGCAGGGUCUGGGAGAGGUGAAUGUCGGCUAGCCUUACCCCCAUUUAUGGAGAGGCUGCUCCAAAGUCUCGAACCCGAGACCUACCGCUCAUGGGCGAAGGCACUUGCCAUCGCACCAAGUGCGACCUCUUUCUGUUGAGUAAAGAUGAUAAAUUUAAAAUUCAUCCCACAACCUAAGAAAUGGAAAAAAGAGAGGAGGUGAAUGUACAAAAUCCUUGCUAUGCCCUCUAUAUUUAAUAGAAAAAUAAAUUGAGUUAACGGAUAUAAUUGAAGUACCACAUGAGAUUGUGUUUGAGAACCACAAUAAGGAAAAAAAGAAAAACUAUCCUAGAAUGAAGGUAAAAUUCGUGUUCGUGACAACAAUGUCGUAUAUCUGAAAAAUAAUUCAAGUAGAUUAAGAUGUUAGUACACAAUCGUUUAUCUUGUUUAUUGAACAAACAACAAGGACAACAAUGUCGUUUUCUCUCUUUCGAAAUUCAUAAGCAACAAAAUUGAGAUUUUUAUUAAACAAUCACAUGAGCUUAGAAAAUACCACAUCAACAUUUUGCAAGCAGUCUCAUAAGAAAUCCCAAUCAAGAUAAAACCAUUCAACAGUUUAUUAGAUUUCUCCUUUCAUAUAAGAGCAUGGUUCGGAGGAUUAUUUAAUUGACGUUAUAACAUCUUUAUUCAAAGAAAAAAUGAAAAAGAAAAUAGGGCAUCCCUAAGGUAUAGGCCACAGCCACUGUUGCCACUGUUGCCACUGCUCCAACCACGGCAGCAGCUUAACAGCUCCCCUAUCAAGCUUAACAGCUUCCCUAAGGCAUCCUUCCUGGCAUCGUUCUCACUAUUCUCAAUCUGAUUGCCCUUUUCUUGUGGCUUAUCCUCGAUUUCAUCAACUUCAUCAGAAGAUGCUCCGAUUUGGCCCCUGUAAGGAAUGAAAUUGAAUUCCGUGUUCAGCUAUUUAAAUAUUCAACUCUUAAGUUUUGUCAAUAGCAAUUGAGUAAGAAUAGGUAUGAUCAAGCUUAAUAAACAAAUCACAACCACAUUACAAAUCAAAAACAUAUACAGGGUAAUGCAGUUAUAUCCAAUUCUUUUGUGCUUUCUCCACAAAAGUUCUUCCAUGUUAAUGUAACUCUAUAUCAAUUAAUCUAUCAUACAAGACUAUACAUAAUCAGCAAUUGAAAACUAUGACAACACAAGCUUCCGUCCAGUGAAAAUUUUAUCCAAAGAUAGGCAAAACCAAAAACGUACAAACCUCCACAGACGUUCUAUAAUCUUUCCCUUCCCAAUAUGCUCAUCAAGCAAUUCCGGCACAUCAUCAGGAGUGACGUCGCCAUACCUGCAAUUAAUAAUACAUAGUAUUCAAAUUCCAUCGAUCCCAAUACAACAAAAUUUUAAAUUGUUAUGAUCUGAAUAUUACCAAUGGCCCGUUAUGCUUCCAUUUGAACCUGGGCUAUAGAUAAUCAAAUUUCCAUCGUGGCCUCCAGUGUGAAAGCAAGCAUCAGUAAAUACCUGAUUCGUCAAUCCUCGUAGCUCAGCCUCCUCUUUAAACUUAUAAAUGAGAACACGUGCACUAUCACCAAUCCAUUCCUCUCGACUACCUUGUGCACAUACAAAUACAUGGGAGCCAGUCAACGACUCUUGCACUCCGGAAGCCCAUGGCUUGUCAUUCACAAGGACAUCAUCAACAAAGCUGUCCACAUUCGACUCUUUCAAGCCCCUUUGAUCAACAAACAAAAAUAUCAGAAUCACAAAAAAGGAUUUACAUGCAAGAAAAUUAGUCGUAAACUGAGCCAUUAAAUUCAAUUUCUAUAACUAAUUUCAGAAACUAACACAUAUCUAAUUAUCUAUUUGGUUCAGUAAAUUCAGCAUAAUCCCGUAACCAAAUGAGAAGUCGAAACAAAAAUUACUUUAGUCUGAGGUAGGAAAAUAAAUUGCGCUCAUGUUGGUUAUGGAAUGGGCCCUCGAUUAUGAAUUAACUACGGUUUGCCAUUGUGUGUGUUUGUGUGGGCGGUGCUUAACAGCUGGGUUGGGCUGCUGCAUUUGGGCCCAUGGUGCAGCUCUCACGCGUUUUGGGCUGGGUUUCACCGAAAGAUCAAAUGACUCUUUUGCCCUUUUCAGUCCUAAUCCAACGGCCACCAUUUGGGGCGUUUGUGUUCUGCAAUUCGGUUGCUUUCGAUCUCGUCAAGGAGAUCGAGCAGAGAGGCGGAGGGUGACAUCAAGUUUUGGGUUUGCACAUUGAGAGACAAGAGGGUUUAUGGGAAGGGUAGGAGCUAGAGAAAGGGGGGGUUCUGUUCGCUGACGUUGGUUGCGGAGAGAGAGAGAGAUGGGCAAAAGUAUGGGGGUAGGGUUGAGGGGAACGGGUACAGAGAGAAAGAGUGAGGAAGGGACAUAUGAGCUAGAGGUAUGGGUUGAUUUGUCAGGGUCGACCUGUAAACGGUCGGGUUAUUGGAUUUGGGUCGGGUUCAAUUUGACCCGUUAAGUUAACGGAUCAUCCGUUUCAUCGGUUAACACCCGUUAACAAUUAUUAUUAUUAUUUUUUUCAUAAAGUUUAUUUUUUAUUGUUAAGACUUUACUGAAAUUACUUAAACAUUCUCAACUAACGGGUGCUAAUGAGUCUAACGGGUUGACCCAAAGUGACCCGUUAUUUAACGGGUUGUUAACCAAUUCACCAGUUAACCCCGACCCAUUAAUUUUCCACCAAAAUACUAAUAUUAACUGAUCGGGUUAACAUGCCAGGUGCAAAAUGCCAGGUCUAGUCAGGGGCUGCUGCAUCCUUCCUAUUCACAAGGUAACAAAUAAUUUUCCAUUCAUUCUUUACUGUUGGUUGUGAAUUUACUGUUCGGGAAAGGAGGCUACAAAUGAUUUAUGCAUACCUUUGUAGCCUUUAGGUGUGUGUUUGCUAGCUAGCUGGGUCGUGGGUGAGUCUUGAUUGUUUUGGUUCUGUCAUCUUCGACUCUUAUGUCUUCCCUUUUUCUGAAUUUUCUUUAUUUCUCAUCCUUUAAACUUUGUAUUUUUUUUUUAUGUGUGAUGCAGAUAGAUGAACAUGUUCAAAGGGGAAUCAUGAACCACAGAUCACUGCAUCCGAAUAUCGUUUUGUUCCAAGAGGUCAGUGAUCAUAAACUAUUUUCAUUUUGUAUUUUAAGAAUGAAUUUGGCAAGUUCUGUUUGAAUUUUGUAUAAGUAUCUGCUGAGGGUGGGUGGAUGAAGACAGAACAUGCUAAAUUUGGCCUUUGGUGUGCUUAAACUGGUACGGGGGAUGGUUAGAACUUUGAGACCGGGAUGCAGUAGGACUAAGAGAAAUGCCCUACCCACCGGGGCAAUUGUUGUCAAAAUAACUCUGCUAAAAAUAUGAGCUUUCCGGCACUUUGUUUUUAGAGUGGCUUAUUUGGGAUAAUUGAUAAAGAGAUUUGUGUUUAAGACUUGAGAGUAGUGCGGUGUCUUUCUUGCUGGUUCUGCUCACACCACCUCAUCUAGAGAGUAGUGAGGUUUGUGAUGGAGUACACGGCUGGGUGAGAACUCUUCGAGAGAAUAUGCAGUGCUGGCAGAUUUAGUGAGGAUGAGAUAAAGUGGUUUCAAAUGCAGAGAACAUUUCAUUGGAAAUGAUUUUAGUGUAGAGUCUCAAAUAUGGGAUCUGUGAAUGUCCCCUGAAAUGGAAUCCAUCUCGAUUUUCGUUUAGUUUCAGAUAAGGAAAGUUAGGUCUGAAGCAUUUUGGAAUAUGAAUGGAAAUUAUGGAAUCCAUGUAGUCCAACGAGUUCUUGAAGUUUGGAAUAUCUUUGAGUUUGUGGCAGUCGUCCAGUCUCAAGAGUGUCAUUUUCGACAUCUCUGAAAAGUCGGGCAUUAUUUCCAGUGCAGUGCAGUGCAGUGCUUUGCUAUCAGUUCAAGCAAACUGUUUGGCAAAUCUAGGAUUGCCUGAAGGUUUGUGCAAUGAUUUAGCUUUAAAACCUGAAGCUGAGAAAGGCCACUGAGAAUGGGCAGCCUACUAAAACCAUUCCCACCUAGAUCUAAAAAUGUUAAAGAAGAUAGACUCCCAAUUAUUUCGAGAACGGCACCAUCUGUUAUAUUGCAGUCGUUGAGAUUUAAUCUCUUAAUCAUCUUCAGUUGUGCUAAAAAAUGGUAACUCCCACACAAACCCUUAGAGCCACUGAGGUCCAAUUCCUCGAGAUGUGGGAGUUUUGAAAAGUCUGGUAAUUCAGUCAGGUUAUGGCAGUCUCUAAGAAUGAGAUACUUCAACUUCUUAGGCAACUGUUACUCAAAAAGAGAAAACAAUAAUAAAAAUCCAAAUAAAUAAAAGAGAGAAUGCAUGACGAUGACUGAUGUUGAUAUUUACAAGGCAUUGAUAAUUAUAUCGUACCAAGUCAGAAUCCUCCCAAACUCGUAUGAUCUUGCUGUUCCACAGUUCCAUAUAAACUAGGUUUCGUUGAUCAAAAUCUGCUGGUAUGGCUUCAAGAGGAAAUCCGUUCGAACACAAAAAUCUUAACUCCUUGGAAAGAUGUUUGUAGCUUCCCGUCAGCUUUACAUUUUCCAGCAUGAGAAAUUUCAGACGCCACAUCUUCUUAAACACUUCCGUACUGAAGCUUCGCUCGUCAUCAGGAUGUUCUAGCAAAGCUAAUUGUAGUCCUUCAACUGCUUCUGUUCCCUGUUAGAGAUAUAAAAAAAAAAAAAACAAGAAAAGGAUAAUAUUUACACGAAGCAGAGCUGUGAAUUGGAUGAAUGAACUACUAGAAGGGUAGGAUACACAACAUAAUUAUGUAUUUUCUCUUUCAAUUUACAGUGGAUGAAAGCCUUUUCUUUCUUCUUUUUCUUCAAAUAUACUAUGUAUGGCAUACAUUAUAUAUAUGCGGAUAUACGUAUAUACUUCUCUUUCUUCACAUGUACUUAACAUAACAUCUUUUUAUUGCAAAAGUACUUACAGAUUCGUUUCUUAACACGUUUUUUGCAUCUUCACUAUGCCACAAUUGACUACGUUUUCCCAAUUCCGUAGGAGAUUUUGCCCGCACAAUUUCUCUUCCCAUAUCUCGAACCAAAUCAUGCAUCCUCAAAAUUUUGUCUUCAUCAAUAUAUAAGAGACCUCGAUUGCAGAGUGUGGUAAUUUCUGCUUCUACAGAAAAAUGACUACAACUAUCCAAUACUGGCAUGACUAUAUUUAUAUACCAUCCAAUAAAGACACAAGAUAUGUCAAGGAACACACCCUUCACAUGAUCAUCAAUUAGCCCAUCGUAUCUUAAUUUAAGCGUUUCAUUAAUUUCUCCUCCAUUUGGAAGCUUCUGGUCAUUAAUUUGUUCAGCUUCAUCAGAAGAUGCUCCCAUUUGGCCCCUACAAGGAAUGAAAUUGAAUUUCGUGUUCACCUAUUUAAAGAUUCAACUCUAAGUUUCGUCAAUAGCAAUUGAGUAAGAACAUGUAUGAUCAAGCUUAUAAACAAAUCACAACAUUACAAAUCAGAAACAUGUAUGGGGUAAUGUAGUUAUAUCCAAUUAUUUUGUGCUUUCUCCACAAAAGCUCCUCCAUGUUAAUGUAACUCUAUAUCAAUUAAUCUAUCAUACAAGACCAGACAUAAUCAGCAAUUAAAAAAUAUGACAACACAAGCUUUCGUCCAGUGAAAUUUUCAUCCAAAGACAGUAGGCAAAACCAAAAACAAACAAACCUCCAAUGUCGUUUUAUAAUAUCUCCCUUCCCAAUAUGCUAAUCAAACAAUUUCGGCACGUCAUCAAGAUUGACCAAGGGAUAACUGCAAUUAAUAAUACAUAAUAUUCAAUCUCCUUCAUCGAUCCCAAUACGAUAAAUUUUAAAUUGUUAUCAUCCGGAUAUUACCAUUGGAAUGAAUCUUUGCGGUAGAUAGUGGGAUUUCGAGCACAAAUGUGGCCUCCAAUGUGAAGGCAAGCAGUAACAAAUACCUCAUUCGUCAAUCCUCGCAACUCAGCCUCCUCUUUAAACUUAUCAAUGAGAACACGUGCAGGAUCACGAUUCCAUUCAUUUCGUGUCAUAUGUGCGAAUAUAAAUAGAUGGCGGCCAAUCAACGGCUCUUGCACUCCGGAAGCCCAUGGUUUGUGAUUCACAAGGACAUCAUCAACAAAGCUGUCCACAUCCGACUCUUUCAAGCCCCUUUGAUCAACAAACAAAAACAACCUCAGAAUCACAAUAAGGGAUUUAAAGGCAAUGAAUUAGUCGUAAACUGAGCCAUUCAAUUCAAUUUCUAGAACUAAUUUCAGAAGCUAAAACAUAUCUAAUUAUCUAUUUAGUUCAGUACAUUCAGCACAAUCUCGUAAUAAAAAAGAAUUUAAAACAGAAAUUACUUCAGUCUAAACUAGGAAAGUAAUUGCACUGCUCAUGUUGGUUAUGGAAUGGGGCCCUCGACAAUGGCGGAGCCACACAGAGGCCAGUGAUGGCCCAGGCCUACCCUGAUAAUUCAUUUAUGUAUGUACUCUCUGCAAGAUUUUACAAAAAUGAGCAUGCGGCUCAUUGGCUACUGGGAUUUUGCAAUUCCAAAAAGCCGCCUUCCAAGCGGUCUAGCAAUUUUUUUAGAUUUUUUUUUAAACUGAAAGGAAAAAAGGGUUCUUAUAAUUUGCCUUAUUUUUUACCAUAUUAAAACUAAGUCUUAUUUUUUAAUAUAUAAAAAAACAUACUCUCUUUUUUGGCUAGUUGAUAUAAAAAAAAGGUCUAUACACUAUAGAGCAAAAUCUAAUUUUAAGUCGUGAUUUUAAAUUUUUGUACAACUCUAAUGUGUUAAUUUUUUUUAUCAAGGCUUGUAAACAAGUUUUGUUUUUAUGAUAUAUUCAUUUCAAUACUAGGUUUUUCAUACAAAAUUUAAAGCUCCACCAUUCUUGUUUUAUUAAAAAUUUUCAUGCCAAUACAAAAAACAAAACCUUUAAUUUUUCUCCCAUUAAUUAUAUUUCAAAGGCUAAUCUUUCUAUGGCUUAAAGGCCCCUCCUAAUCUGGUUUUCUGGCUCCGCUACUGGCCCUCGAUUAUGAAUUAAUUACGGUUUGCCAUUGUGUGUUGGUGUGGGCCGUGCUUAAUAGUUGGGUUGGGGUGCUGUAGGCCCAGGGUGUAGCUCUCACGCGUUUUGGGCUGGGUUUCACCGAAAGAUCAAAUGACUCUUUUGCCCCCUUCAGUCCUAAUCCAACGGCCACCAUUUGGGGCGUUUGUGUUCUGCAAUUCGGUUGGGCGGGGGAGGGGGGAGAGAGGGGGGGUUAGGUUGCUUUCGAUCUAGUAAAGGAGAUCGUGCAGAGAGGCAGAGGGUGACAUCGAGUUUAGGGUUUGCACAGUGAGAGACAAGAGGGUUGAUGGGAAAGGUUGGGGGUGGACAGAGGGUUGAUGGGAAGGGUUGGGGGUGGACAGAGGGUUGAUGGGAAGGGUAGGAGCUAGAGAGGGGGGGGGGGUGGGGGUGAGGGUGGGUCCUCUCUCCACUGCUUGACGUCAUUUGGAUCUUCAUCCCUUUCAUGCUUCCCCAAAACUACCUUUCUGUUUCCUGACUUGAGAAGGGUCAACGUCGUAGAAUAUUGGACACACUAUUUUCCCCUCUUGUUCUUUUAGGCACCUCAUGAUUUUCGACAGCUCCCUCAGGCACCACCGGGACUCCGCGUACCCCUUCGAGAAGACGAGGAGGGCGAUUCUCGAUCCUUCGAUUUCUUGGUCAAGUUCACUCUGUAUGGUUUUCCCCCUUGUGAGCUGGUUAUCUAUAAAAGUGUUAAUUCCGGCAUUGCGUAAUGCAAUGAAGAGGUGGUUUGUAAAGGCGUUGCGGGUGUCUUCGCCUCUAAAGCUCAGGAACACCUCGUACUUCCAGCGGUUUGAGCCAGCUUCACUGGCGGAGCUGCUGGUAUCCAUUGCAGCCUGUAGAAGUGCAGCUUGGCGUUCAAAUAACCAACGUCAAGUCUUUCCCAAGAUUCCCAAGUGUUGGUGGCCCUUUUAAAUAUUUUGCAUGGGCCAAUGAUGUCGAUAACACGUGAGUGCUAUUCCCCCAAAGUUUAAUUUGUAUAAAUGUUACCAUCAAAUUUAAAUAUUUUACCAUGCAAUUUCCUCUUUUGUAGUUUUUUGAGAAAUCUGCCGCCCCCCCCCCCCCCACUUUGACCAGUUGACGAGAUUAUUGUAUUUUAAGGGUGGUGCGCAGGUCGGUCCAACUGUUGGAGUCACGCUAAAAUACGCAUUGGAAUUUGGAAGUUAGAAAGUAAAAAAAAUUAUAAUAUUCAGACGUGAAAUUUUAAAAGUGUUCACGAGAGAGAACAAAAAUGAAAAACAUUUACUCGAUUGGGUUAAGGCAUGGUCCAAUAGAACUUAUAGGCUUAAACACCGCAAGUAACCAAAUUGGACAUGGGUCUUAUGACCCAUCAGAGCACAUUAAAUUGUGAAAAUUGCACCUGCGCGUUAUUCACACGUUAGUGUAGUAACUUCAGAAAGAAUAAUACUUGAGUACUUAUUGAAAUUACCGACCCAAUGAAAUAAUUAAUAAAAAAGAACCAAUCCCAGUGACUACCCAAAUUACACGGCGUUAAAUCGUUAACCUUUUGGUUUCUAAAUUUACACGUGCCGCUCACUGAAAUGAUCAGAGUUUUGACUUUCAUUUCUUGAAAGCCAGCUGCACCAAUUGGUAAUCGAUGGAUACCAGCAGCUCCGCCCAUGGAACCGCCAUCGCAGCCUCUUCGUAUUCCCCGUGCCGCUCAAACCGCUGGAAGUCCAAGGUGUUCCUGAGCUUUAGAGGCAACGACACACGCACUAACUACACAGACAAUCUCUCCAUGCGUUACGCUAUGCCGGAAGCAACACGUUUAUAGACUACCAGCUCAGAAGGGGGGAUAAUAUACAGAGGGAACUUGACCGAAAAAUCGAAGGGUCCAGAAUCGCCAUCGUCGUCUUCUCCAAGGGGUACGCGGAGUCCCAGUGGUGCUUGAGGGAGCUGGCCAAGAUCAUGAGGUGCCGAGAAGAUCAAGAGGGCAAAAUAGUCUAUCCAAUGUUCUAUGUCGUUGUGAGGAAACAGAGUGGUGGUUUUGAGGAAGUUCGGAAGCAUGCAAGUGAUGAAAAUCCAAACGAACAAUCAGUGGAGAAAGGAUCUUAAGGCUUCUUUCCGGCGGACGGGUAUAAUUCCUUCUUUAACUCCUUCUUUACAAUUUUUUGAUGCUCAAAUUUACUCACUUAUAAUUCAAGGUUAGAAAUCCGGUCGUAUAUAGCUUAGUUAAUCACAUGGAUCAAUCUAAUUUACUCAAAUCUUCUUUGCUCAGAAAAUAUGAAUCUUGCAGUUGCAUGAUGAAUUUCACUUUUGUAUAAUUUUGAAAUUUAAUUGCCAGGCGUGAAGGGUUGUUUAUUGAGGAAAUUGCUAGGGACAUCAGAGGACUACUGAUAACAACAGACUUAAAACAAGCCAAGUGCCCAGUUGGAAUGGAUUUUCUUGUGCAAUAGUUGAGUACUGAAUGCUUAGAUGUUGGAGAUUUGCUUGAUGUUCAAAUAAAUGGAAUUUGGGGUUUGUGCAGUAUAGGUGAAACAAUACUUGCGAGAGCUAUCUGUAGCAAAUAUCAUCGUUGCUUUGGUGGUCAAUGUUUCCUUCAAAAGGUGAGGAGUAAAAAAGAAAAGUAUGGUUGCUCUGCAAGAACAACUUCUUCGAGGUGUUUUGAAACGGCUGGACAUUAAUGUGAGCGGUGUUGCCGAAGGAACCAAAGAGAGAGAGAAAAGAUUUGGAAGCAUGAAGGUGCUUGUCGUCGUUGAUGGCAUAGAUGAUGCUGACCAGUUAGAUGAAUUGGCGAUAAAACAGGAAUCGACUAUGUUUGUUAAGAUUCCAGCCACCCAAAUCUGCAGAAGCCUUAAGAUCCUUUCUCCACUGCUCGACCUCAUUUGGAUCUUCAUCCCUUUCAUGCUUCCAAAAUGCAUUUCCAAAAAUACCACUAUUUCCUCACUUGAGAAGGGUCGACGUCGUACAAUAUUGGAUAGACUACUUUCCCCUCUUGAUCUUCUUGGCACCUCAUGAUCUUGGCUAGCCUCUUUGAGAAGACAGACAACAGUAUUCCUCGACCCUUUGAUUUCUUGGUCAAGUUCACUCUGUGUGUUUUCCCCUCUUCUGAGCUGGUAGUCAAUGAGCUUGUGGAUUCCAGCAUUGUAUAAUGCAAUGGAGAGGUGGUCUGCGAAGGUAGUGUGUGUGUCGUCGCCUCUAAAGCUCAGGAACACCUCGUACUUCCAGUGGUUUGAGUGGCACAGGGAAGACGAAGAGGCUGCGACAUCGGUUACAUGGGCGGAGCUGAUGGUAUCCAUCGAUAAUUUGUACUAGUGUUGGGAGAAUAGAGGAGUGCAGCAGGCUAUGCGGCUUGGCUUUCAGAUAGCCAAAGUCAAGUCAAACUUCAUCUUCUAAGUAUUAUAGAGAAACAAAAUGCGUGGAUUUAUAUGAAUAUGCACGCGUAUGGCAUUGCAUAUAUUUAUUACAACAUAUGGUAACACUUAAUUUUUUAUGUGUGAAGUAAAAUAUAUGAAUUUCUUACAUUGCCUUGUUUGUUUGUUUAUACAUAUUGUGAAAUUUUUAUGGACUUAGUACUAUCAGUAUUUGUCAUUAUCUGCUAGACAACACAUGAUUAUGCGUGUCAAUCAACGCUUAGGUUAGACUGCAUAAUAUGAAUUUGACCAUAUCAUGAACUCAUAAAGGAGUGAGAAUGAGGAUCAACUAGCCCGCUUAGUUUAUUUGAUUCAUUAUAUUCAUGGAUUGGAUCACGAUCGAAUGUUAAGAUGAUACCCAUGCUUUUUCUGAUUCUACACAAGUUAGUAAUUCAAACGACUUCAAAAAGGAGUAUUUUAGUAAAUACGGGAAAAUCAAGAAUCAACAUGACGUAUACGUGGCUCCCCAUAUCGAAGAAAAAAGGGACAUUGCACGUACUUAUAAGUUAUUAAACUCACAAGCAACUGAACAAUCAGAGCCAGAUGUCAAUAACGAGUAAUGGGAUUGUAAUGCUUUCAAUAUUCAAAUCAAUUAACAAGCUCAUAAGAGGAGUUUAGGUUUAGGGUCCCUCAUCAGAUGAGUGAUGGCUGGUUUAGCUCUGUCUGCAACGUCAAUAGUGUCAUCAUCAGUGCAUGUCUUCAUCAGGCAGUAUUCAUGGUAUAGUUUGAUAUCGUCACCAGACUAAUAUGGCUGGUUUAGCUCUGUCUGCGACGUCAUUAGUUUCGAUUUCGCGGUCAAGUUCUGUCUUUAUAUUCACACCACCCCCCCCCCCAACUCCCUUUCUGAGCUGGUAGUCUAUAAACAUGUUGAUUCCGGCAUUGCGAAAUGCAAUAUCGAGGUGGUCUAGUGCGUGCGUCGUCACCUCUAAAGCUUAGGAACACUUCGUACUUCCAGCAGUUUGGGCACCACAAGGAAGACGAAGAGGCCGCUGCGGCAGCUAGGCGGAGUUGCUGGUAUCCAUGCAUGCAGCCUGAAGAAGUGCAGAUUGGCCUUCAAAUAAUCAAAGUCUUUUACCAAGAUUUCCCAGUGCGGGCGGCAUUUUAAAAUUUUUAACCCCAAUAAUUUACGAAUUUAAAUCGUUUAGUUACAGGCAGGGGCGGAUCCACAGUGGGGUCGUCGGGGUCGCACGACCCCUUGGAAAGCAUGGAAACAACCUUGAAGCUCCCAUACGCGACCUCUUGGAGCUGGGGUCGUCGGGGUCGGAGUCACACGCCAAGUGUUCGACAAAAAUCCUGAACGAAGCUCGGCACUGCAGGAAGAGGAAGAAGAAGAAGCAAGCUAUUACUAUGCCAUACGGAUAUGCUUGAGUUUGCAUCCAUUGAUGAAUUCUGCAAUACCACAUUUGAUCCGUCUUUUGUUUCCCUAAGCCGGAUGUUGGAUGCUAUGGCGCUUCUCAUUCCUCACCUUAAAUGCAAUUGUGUGCAGGUGAUGAAGAGACCUGGUUGUAAUUAUAAGACCGCUCGAGUUUGAGGAGGUGAAUCCUCAAGGAAAAGUAGAGGAUCACAAACAGAGUGGAAAGAAACAGAAACAGAAAAAGAGGAAUAAGAGUAACAAGAGUAAAAGCGGUAGUGACAGAAUUGUGACAAAGGUGAAGACUAAGCUCAAGAGUUGAUUAAUACAAAACUGUUUUCGGGUUUUUUUUUUCUUUCCAGUUCCAUUCUUUCCAUGGCGUAAGCGUCAUCAAUUUUCUACGUUUUGGAAGAUGAAAGAGUUAGAAGAGAAGACAGAUCGAGCGGGGAUGCUUAAUCUAUGCGUGCUGGUAGAAAUUCAAUUGCCAUAAUUUUUGUAUCUUUUAAUUCUUUUCUCUUCUCCUGUGUUGCAUGCAGUAGUUUGGUAGAAACUGUAUAUCAGCUAUGUAUUAAAGCCAUUUAACUUAUCCGACACUGCACCAAACGCCCGACUAAUGGAGUUAGUACUAUCCGACGACUAUUUAUCUUAUCCGACUGAAAUAGUCAGUACAGUCCGAAGUACCAAACGAGGUUAAAAAAAAAUUUCGCGCUGCGCGCGCUAUGACCCCACAAACAUUAUUUCCUGGAUCCGCCACUGGUUACAGGUAUGAAGUUCUGUAAUUAAUCUUUUAAAAUUCGUAGACCUUUCGAGGUCAUAAUAAUAAUGAUUUCAAAUAGAGCUCGGUCUCACAAACGGAUAGGCGAAAACCGUUCGUGAAACGGAAUUAUAAUGAGAGAGAUGUAAACGAUUAAAGUCAAGAACAUUUAAGCAAUUUUGAUCUUCAAAUCCCGAAGCCUCCAGCUUUGCUGGAGCAGGAAGGGUGGUGAUGAAGCCACGUGUGUGGCUGUGAUGGAAAGAAGAGAAGAGAAAGGCGAGAAAGGUGAAGGGGGACUGCCCAAUCAGAAAGAAGAGCAGGAGAGACAUGAGAGAAGUGUGAGGCACUCAACCCGGACCCCCGUUCCUUGACCCGUUCACACCGCGACCCGAACCGCAUCCCGGCUUUUAAAUACAGCGCUUUCUUUUCAAAAAAAAAAAAACCUCAUUGCACGAUAUACUUGACAACGCAUGAUAUACAGUAACUGGUAAUUCAAAUAAACUCCAACUUCCUUAGUAGUAACCAAAUUCGAUCUGGGUCUUACGAUGACCAAUCUCAAACAUCAAUUGUAAUGCUUUCAAUAUUCAAAUCAAUUAACAAACUCAUAAGAUGAGUUUAGGUUUAGGGUACCUCAUCGUUAGAUGAGUGAUGGCUGGCUUAACUCUGUCUGCAACGUCAACAAUCUCUUUCAUCAGUUUAUGUCUGAUAGUCCUCGUCAUCAGUAUCGUCGCCAUACUCAUACGGUACACGCUCAUAGUCCACGCCCUUAAACUCUAUAUAUGAAAGAUCAUAUUCUAGAAUUCCAUCAGACAAAUGACAUUCUGUGAUACCCACUCCAGUUUUCUUCACCUUAAUUUGAUGAUCAUCCUCUGCUCCUUUAAUUAAAGUCUGCUGUUACAAAAACCACGUUGCCGCCUUCGGAUUCAGCUUCUUGUUUGAAAGAUGUCCCAGCCAAAGAUGACAUUCAUGGGAGGCAGUUACGGUGGCCACAAUUGGCGAAAUGACAAAAUGAGUUCGCUGGGAAUGAUUAACAACAUGAAUGCAUAGAGACCCAGUACAGCCGGAGUGGUCCCCGGAAUAAACUAUGCACACAGCCAACCCUCUUAUAUUAACAGCAGUCCUUUGCCGCACUUCAAAUUUGAUAGUUUCAUCCUCAUUCACGACAUAGGUGAACCAGUAAGGAAUAUCCAUUCCAGAGAGAAAAAGCCCGCCUAAUGCUCUCGUAAUCCAGCCCUUGGACGAGUACAACACCAUUGAGGCUGGUGGAGGAGAUGCUUGCAGAGAUCAGCAGUGGACGAUGAUCUCGACCAAACUCUUGAGCUUUGGCAACAGCCUGAAAAGUUCUCAUUAUUCUCAAUCCAAUUGCCGUUUCCUUGGGGCAUCUCCUCGAUUUUCUUACUUUCUCCUCCAUUUGGAAGCUUCGGGUCAUUAAUUUUUUCAGCUUCAUCACAAGAUGCUCCGAUUUGGACCCUGUAAGGAAUGAAAUUGAAUUUCCUGUUCAGCUAUUUAAAGUUUCGUCAAUAGCAAUUGAGUAAGAACAAGUAUGUUCAAGCUUAAUAAACAAAUCACAACAACAUUACAAAUCAGAAACAUAUACAGGGUAAUGCAGUUAUAUCCAAGUCUUUUGUGCUUUCUCCACAAAAGUUCCUCCAUGUUAAUGUAACUCUAUAUCAAUAAAUCUAUCAUACAAGAC
Molecule: long non-coding RNA, 138832 nt
Filed under: Malus domestica (apple)
Lineage: Eukaryota; Viridiplantae; Streptophyta; Magnoliopsida; Rosales; Rosaceae
Description: long non-coding RNA (MDOM_LNC007845)
Rfam family: tRNA (bases 11642-11713)
Source: RNAcentral